Molecule: long non-coding RNA, 143231 nt
Filed under: Vitis vinifera (wine grape)
Lineage: Eukaryota; Viridiplantae; Streptophyta; Magnoliopsida; Vitales; Vitaceae
Description: long non-coding RNA (VVIN_LNC001392)
Source: RNAcentral
UCUCUCCCUUGGGAGGUUUACCAAUUGGGGUUGGUGGCUUGUGUUCUGGGAGUGGUUUCUCUCCCUUGGGAGGUUUAGUGGGUGACUUGUGUUCUGGAGGUGGCUUCUCCACCGGAGGCUUGUGCUCCGGUGGUGGCUUCUUGGUUGGAGGGGGCUUGGGGUAAUCAGCAAGAGAUGGGGGGGUGAGAACCACCACUCCAAGGAACAACACUAGCAAGUAUGUGGGAGACAUUUCUGAGUUUGAGCUGAUCAGAUGAUGCAAAACUAGAAGAAUUACGUGACCUUUUAUAGCAAGUAGCUCCCAAUACCCACAUGACACGUGUUACUGUGACCAUAAAUAUUAUAGGGUCCAUUUGUGCCCUACCGGGUUGAAAACUUGGACGCUUGGCCGAGGACACACCGAACUAUGGAGGACUAUUGACGUGUGAUCACAGCUUUUGGAUUUUUCUUCCUGUGCAGCUGUCUAGCGGUUGGCAUUAUUUUUUUAAUCUUAAAUAAAGGCAUAGUUAUAGAGUACAUUUAUAUAUCUUCAGAUAGCCAUUAAUAUAUUUGAUGAAGAAAGACAAGUGCAUACAACAUGUAUACGGCUUGCUUCAAUCGAGUACAUUUAUGAUCAGUUUUCCAGUGCAAGUAAACCAGUUUUUUGUUCCACAACUAUUUUGGAAUCUUGUUUAUCAGUUUCUAUCAUUAUAAUGUCACAUAGGCUGCAAACUUGGGCACCCAAAGAUCUAGUUGGGCAAAUUUGUUUCAGAAUUUCAAUGGUGGAUUCAGUAAUUGUUAAAAGGUGUUUCUUCAUUAAGGAAAGAGUCCUGUAAAAAUAUUGUUAAAAGGUGUCAUAGAAACUAUAAUAAUUAAAUAACUUCUUUUCCCCGUGGGUGGUGUUUCUUCUGGGGAUACCCAAAAUGAGUUCAGAUUAAAAUUGGUUCGAGUCAAAGCUGUCUCUUUUGUCCAGAAAUCAACUAUUUUGCGCAUUGCAUGAAUCGAUAAAGAAAAAAUGAAAGCCAAAUCACACCUCCCCUGCAAAACCUAAACCCCGGUUGCUAACUUUCUAUGUUUCAGUCCUAUUCAUACAGGAAUAUUGGUUCAAGUUUGAGAAAAAUGGCAACUUACCUAGGGAUUACUUGGUUGUGGUUUGCGACGACUAUUUACGCAACCAACCAUGAGUUUGACUUUAACGUCAUGGGUUGAAGCCUCCUACAAUCGUGUAUGAUAGUUCAAAGCUCGUAGUAGAAAUUAUACAGGAAGGAAGAAACCUCCAAAGCUAGCUCCAAAAGAGAAUUAUCACAUCGAUAGCUCCAGAGAUUCCCAAGGGGACUGAAUCAAAGACAAGUUCCUCACUUUUUCUUCUUUUGAGGCCAAAUAUGAACCAAGGAUCACACGACCUCAUUCAACUUCAUAAGUUUGAUUUCAUGCAGUUGAACACUGGGUGAAGGCCAUGACAAGAAUUGAUUAAAAAAUUCUACCACUGUUUUAAGUAAUGGAAGAUUAUUAUCUCUGAUUGGCACCACAACAGCACAUGCUGCUAGAUCUUUCUAGACACUCCAUGCAAUGAAAGUACAAUGGAUCUUGUAACGAUAGAAACUAAGCCAUGCUACAGUACUAGAUGACGAGGUAAAACUAUUAGACAUGGGUGGCAGCCUAUAUGGGAGGGACACAAGUCUAAUUGAUUUGCAUUUCAGCGUUCUAGAUGGGUAUGUUUUGGAAGAUUUGUUCUGGAAAUACCGCACCAAGUAGGAUUCUUUUUUCUCUUGAGUGGGUCCACUUGCAUGCCAAUUAUCGAGUUGAAAAGUAGAGCACCUACCUCGUGCUCGUGGAACCGAAGGUCAGUGAAGUGGGGCUCCUUUUGGCCUCUUGUGUUUCUGUUCCAACCAAGGCGGCGGAGGGAAAAACAGCAAUAUGUCUCCGCUAAAUAUCAACGCAUGAUAGCGAAUGAGGGAGAAAAAAAGUAAUUGGCAUCUCAAUCUCACAAACUUGGUACAGUAGUGACAUUAAUAGUCUUCCACAUGGUUUUUAUUUUAUUUUAUUUUAUAUUUUAUAUUUUCCAUUUUUUUAUUUUUUUGUAUGUCAAGGCUAAUGAAUAAAAUGCGUUAGCUUGUUUUGUGAUUGGAACUGCAAAUGUCCAAAUUGGAGUUUCUCCAUUUCUCAGUUCGGAUGGUUAACUUUAUAAACAAGAUAUAGGAAACAUGUGAACGUCUUGAGGAACAAUUCGAAUUAUUGAUUAGAACUCCUAGGUUGAGUUCCAAGAUUUAAAUCAGACCCCUCUAGCAGCUUCAGGGGUACCUAGCAAUUAGAACAUAUUAAUGAAGAUUUAGGAUUUAGACUCCGGAAUACAAAUUAAUAUGUAUCUUAUGCUCUGACUAGCUUCCCUGCAUAUGCACAAAAUGGAGAUGACCCAAAAAAUAGCAGAAUCGCCUUAGUUUAUGUGGUUAAGGUGAUUCUCCGGUUAAUAUCCACAUUGGCUCAUUAUGCAAAUCAACUGAGCUAUUUUUUUUUUAAUGUCAAAUAGGAACUCCUAAUUAACCUAACCAUUGGCCUGUGUAAAUUGAUUUCACAUGCACAAUGUUGUAGUAGAAGUCCACAUUUUGAAUUUUAUUUUUGGAAAGGUAAGGAAAAUGAAGCAUUGUGUAAUUAUAAAAAUAACUUCAUUGGAAUUCACAAGGUUCACCCAAAAUGGAGCUACAUCCGUAUUCUAUCUUACAGUAGACUAUAUAGAUUGUACAAUAGUAAAUUGCAAAUACAAUUAAUAAGUCUUGUGUUUCCUUACUAAUAAUCCUUUGACAUAAACAUUGCAGCACUAAGGUCCUCUUGGGCAGACACCUUGCACCCAUGAGAGCACUAAGAGGAAGCAAGGCGGAGUCAUGGGUGCAAUGUCAUGACUUGUUGCACUAAGAGAGGCUUGGUGAUGGCAUAGUGCUGCAGUAGCAAGAAUGUUGCCUUGGCAGGGACACGAUCUAGGGACAGAUGCCAAGAAAGGCUUAGCACUCACAUGAGUUGCACAAAGAUGAAUGAAAUAGAACAUCAAAGAGACAUCUUGGCAAGCUCAAGAAAGACAUGUGGGUUGGUAAAUGAAUGGAUGCAAGAGGCAACAACAUGAGGAGUUUCAAAUGGAUAGGGAAUGAGUCAAAGACAUUUGAAAGCUACAAGUUGGAUUCUAAUUACGAUUGCAAUUUGAGUUUGAGUAGGAGUUUAUAUUAUGAUUGUAAUUGUAGUAUGAGUUGGACUAGGAUUGCUUAUCCCUAGUCAAAAUAGGAGUUGUUCAUGCCACACCCUAUGAAAAGAGUUUGAGUAGGGACUAGGAUUGCUUGCUCCUAGUCAAAUAUGGAGUAGGUGGUGCCACACCUAUAAAAAAAAAAGGGACAACAUGAGAGAGAGAGAGAAUGAAUUCACCAAAGAUAUUGUGGGAGUUUUGCUUUGUUACAUCUUGUAUUAUUAUUUAGAAUAGUAAUAAAAUACAAGUUGGGGCUAGAGCCCCAUAAUCUCGUGUGCCUUUGUGGGUUAUUCUUUAUUUGCCAUCUCGUGUGGAUUGGAUUAGAUUGAUGAGGCGAAAUAUUAUGUGGGAAAUUUAUGUUGGGACACUUACCAUAACCAGGUAAAAUCUACCAAGUCUUUUGUAAUAUCUUCUACAAAUAUUUUAGACCAGUUCUUCACAAAACAUCAUAAUAUGUUUUGUGUUUCUCUUGGAUUUUGAGUUGAAUUGUCUUAGAUCAAUUGAAUGCAUCUCAAUAUUAUUAUCUUGUUUGAAGGCUUGAUGAUUUUCCAUUUAACUUUACUUUCUUUAGGUUAUGCUUGAUUCCUUAAAAGUACUAAGGAAAACAAAAAAUAAAAAAAAAUAAAAAAUGCAGAGGGUUAGGACAUGUGUUAUCUAAUUGUCCUAUCCAAAGAUAUUAAGAAAGUCAUGUAGGAAAGUAAUUGAAAACUAGGUCAAGAAAGGAGCAAAAGGGAAUUGUUUUGGUAUUUUCUUUUUUAUUCUUGAAGGUGGCAGAGCUAAAAUUUGAGAAAUCAAGCAAAACAUACUGAAAUUACAUUGAAAGAAAGAAAAUGGUAGUUAAUGUCUUGCAGUACAUGAUAAGGACUUCAUGCAUGUAGUGUGACGACCCAUGUCUUGGACUGAUGCCACACUCACGGUUACACUUAUACCCUUGGUUCUCUCUUUACUACCUUGGCUAACCUAGAUCAGGCUAUGAGAUAGGCUCCUCACCACACCAUCACUUGCCCAGUAAUUAGUGACAUUUUCAAGCAAUGAGGUAACAUGGUGACACCAAGAGGGUUUAUCCCUCGCCCCAACAAGUCUAGACUCGGUCUCAAAAAAAUGGAGAAAAAUGAGGUGUCGUUAUGCAGAAAUACAACAACCAUGCCUUCCUUAUUACUUAGAUUCAGAAUGUGAAGGUGAAAUUGAGAAACAGAAACUCUUGAAACCAGAAUGAAAAUUGAUACUUUUACGAAGAAUUACAACAUUAGAGGAAGACUACAUUCUUCCUCUAUAUUCCUACGUUUCUACACUACUUCUACUCCACUCCAUAUUUCUACAUACAUCUUUAAUCAGUUUUCCCUCCUUUAUAUAGAGCCAUCUUCACACAAAUUCCGCAAGGUAGAAAAGAGGAAUGAAACUUGGAGCAAGGUUCGACUACUGGUUGUCGCUUGUCAAGGCUGGAAUUGAACUUUUUUUCUUGGCUUUUCUGGGCAUAGGUAGUAACUUGUGGUUCCUUUUUGGAAUGAAAAUGGUACAGCUAGAACAUGUGGCACUCUCUUGUUGGAUUAUGUGUCAAACAUGUGGCAGCCAUCUAGUGGAGAUUAUUUCAAUUUUGGGAUGGAGAGUUGGCAUCCAAUUGCAAAGAAAUAUGACAUCUACCAACAUGCAAUGUAAACCUAUAUAGAUCAUAUGGAGAUAGAGAGGAAACAUAUAGAAAUGGAUAUAUACCUAGAACUAGCUUUUUAUUAAAUGAGACGGAGAGCCAACAAUGAAGGAAAAUCAAAAUUUUUGGCUCAUAUCAAAGAAUUCACAUUGUGUUACCCUAGGUUUUCUUAAAGCUUGCACAAAGCCAAAAAGCACACAAAAAAUUAUAUUUUCUAGCUCUCUACCUUGGAUGGUCUCUUGAUCCUACUUGGAGAUGUGCAUAAAUAAAAGGAUUUGAAAAUGACAAUUGACUAAGUAUGUAGUCAAUCAAUUACUCAUUAAUUGACUAGUUGAUCAAUUAACUUUGCAACAUCAUAUGCAAUCCUAAUAGCUAGUCAUCUAAUCAACUAGGUAGUAAAUCAAUAGGCCAAAAAUAUGUUUAUAAUGACUAUUUUGUACAAAAACCACCUAUAUGGUUAAAUAUAAUGCAUUUCAUUUAUAAAUCUUCUAAUUCUUGAAUAACGAUCCUAUCAUCCUUUGAAAGUUUUUAUUACACCUUUUAUACUUUUGUUCUAAAACUUACACAUGUACAUCACCCUUAAUUGUACCAUGAGAACCUAGCUUUUUUUUUUUUUUUUUUUGUAAUUCAUCAAAGUUAGCUUUUGUAUUCAUUACUGUACUAUUUUUAUUGUAACUUAGAAAGCGAGUGUUUUCAAGUGAGUGAAAUUGACUUAUAAAUAUUGUAAAGAUUCAUUGAUGUGUAUCUUAAACUAAGUGUACAAGUUGAAACAUUUGCUAGUAGAUUUUCUCAAGAUUUAGAAUAGAGCUUGAGGCUAUUGAAAUAGGUGGGGUUGCACCAAACCACAUCACAUUGUUGUUUGCACCUUUUUUUCACUCUCUUUUACUUAGUUGCUCUAUAUUUGUUGUCUAGUAAUAUCCUAUAGGCUUGAUGGGUUAGGGAGCAUCCCUUUGUGAAAAAUUUUCAUUCAAUCCUUAGUUGUAUCACGCAUAUAUAAAAUGCCUCAUUGUUUUAAUGGUAUUCAGUCGUGGCAUCACAGAUAUGGGCAUCUAAAUUUUAAAAGUUUGAAACUUUUAUCUAAAGAAAAUAUGGUGCUUUGCCUUUUUGUAAAGCAUGUUGAUGAAAUCCAUGAGAAUUGUGUACUUGGGAAGCAACAUCGAGAUGACUUUUUUUUUUUUCAUUUUUUAUAAUGCGACACCUAAGUCCGGUUUCUAAAUGCUGAAGUGAAAGGGUAGGUAUGGACCAUUGAAAUCUGAUCACAACUUUUGGCCUUUUCCUUUCUCUGCAGCCAUGUUGUCUCUUUUUUCUUUUGCAUGAUUUUCUUACCUAAACAGAAUCAUAGACUUGUUUAAUCUCUAAAUGGUAUUUCAUCCAGCUUUAAGCUACUGUAUUAUAUCUUGGUGGAGGACUUUUAAGAGUGAAACCGACAUAGAGCACAUGCAAGUGGGUAUAUGGGACAUGAAAUUUCUUCUUAUAAAGACUGCAUGGUUUUUAUAUUAGAGUUGUUGAGGCGCAAUGUAUUUAGCUUGUUUUGCAGUUAAAUUAAUUGGAUAAGUAGACAUUGUCGUUUCUAAAUUUCCCACCUAAGAUAGUGACCUUAUCCUUGACUGCUUGAUGAGAUACACAAACAAUUAUACCUUCAAAAUCUACUGUGAAGUGCUUCAUGUAUGUGUGAAGUAUUAGAAAUUUCUUUCUUGGCAACUUGUUUUUUCUUUGCCCUCUACUGAUAGGUUUGACUCAAAUUAAAUUCCCUGUCAUGCUAAUUAAUUUUCACGUGCAUGCUCAAAAGGAUCACGUCAACUCUGGUUUCUACUAUUCAGGUCCAUUCCCAGAUAAACUGGUUCAAAUUUGAGAAAAUGGCAACAGCCCUUUAGUGAUGUUGGUUUGGAGCCAGUAGCCAAACCCGCCCUGAGCUUUACCACUAAUGUCAAGGGACAAAGCCAUUUGAACAAAAACAAUAGCUUCAAGAGACUGAAUCGUGGAUGAAAUCUGAUCCACAUUUCUUCUCAUUUUGGGAACAAAUGAGAACUUAACUACAAAGAUUCUACUGCCUCAUAGUGCUUUUCCUGAUCUAAGGUUGGUUCGUUUCCCAAAUUGUGAGGUACGUGCCAUUCUCACGCUCAGGAGUGUAUCCACGUGGUGGACAUAAGAUGGUGGCUUAAUAUCUGGUGUCGGUGGCUUUACUUUACUAGGAGAGUAGUGUGUCUUCAUCUCAUUCACUGCCGGAGGGUGGCGUAAGCAGUGACGCUAAGGUGGGGCACAGUCAAUAUCAUUUGCAUUUGACCAUUAUAGUUUUCUCCCGGCUUGAAAGUAACCUUAUCGUGAUAAAGGAUUACUAGCACUAGUUCAGAUGACAGUCAUGUUAAAUUCGGACCAUGUUUGUGUCACAUUAUCAGCAACCAUGUGUUUAUGGUUCAUGCUAUCUGCAACUAAACUUGAUAUAUAACCACGUGAACUUCAAUCUAAAUUCUGGAAGUACUCUUGUGAUAGAUGGUGCCUGUCUGCAGAGUCCAUCAAUUGAAAAAUGGAGUGAGUGUAUCUAUAAGAGGGAAGGCUUGGCAAAUGUUCAGUUUUCUGGGAACUCAACAAGGAUCUAAAAUAGAUUGUUUUCUUUGCUGAUUUCAAUGGUUGAAAUUUGAGAAGAUUGUGUCCACAUAACACAACUAUUACUGGUCCUUCUGUUGCAAUUUAUCCUCUAAGGCUCUAACAUGUCUUCCAAUUCCCACUUCCCUGUUACUCCAGGAAAGCUAUUUCUGUCAUUGUGAAGAAGAAAAGAGAAUGUACAUAUCGAUGGUUUUAAGUGACUGGGGCAUUCAUAUCAGGUGGUCUGCAGCCAUAUAUGCCACUUUGUGAAGGUUGGAACAGUCAAUCACCAGGCUAUAUUAGUGUGGCCCAGCCACUUCAAUCAAGGACAAGUCUUCAUACUUAAAGUCAAAUUCUGCCUUUAGUCUCAUUAUAAAUUGCUGUUUAAAUAUUAAGCAAACAUUUGUUUAAUGCGAUUAAGACAGUACUAACUCAAUACUUGUUCUAUUUUUGGAUGCAAAUGCUUGAUGGUUUCAUCAUUGGAUGGGAUAAAGGUGCAUUCAUGAUUAUGAAUACUUGUAGUUAUAUUUUCAUUCUCUUUUUUCUCAAUGAGACUUGUUGGCACAAUUUUGCUGUUCAGAAACCUACCUCUCCAUCGAAAAUCAGUUGUGAUUGAUAGUACUGGAUAUAUUCAAGAAAGCUAAAUAUAGAUAGCACCAAAUAUUAUCGAUAUAAAUAGCAUUAACAGCGUACGUAUGUCUCAAUGCUCAUCAGCUAUAAGCAACGGGCAAACACUUACUAUGAGCAACUUGCGUCAAAAUUCCAGAAUAGGACAUAGAAGUGACAGAUCUAUAUAUAUAUAGAACACUGCAUAUGAGUCACAAGAAAGGAAAUUACGGGUGCAUAGCAGCUCUUAUUUUACAUCCUACUCAUACUGAUCAAAGUCACUCAGUUGGGAUGGGUGGGAGUAGGAGGUUUGUGGGGUGGCUUGUGCGGAGGAGUUGGCAGCUUCUUUCCAGGACCUGGUUGCUUCUCUGCUGGAGUUGAAGGAGGCUUAAUCUUCCGAGGUGGCUUGUAUGAGUCUUCAGCAUUCUCAGCAGGAGGGUGACCAGGGUUGUGACCAUAAUGUGGUGGCUUCUCUCCCUUAGGUGGUUUGCCAACUGGGGUUGGUGGCUUGUAUGAGUCUUCAGCAUUCUCAGCAGGAGGGUGACCAGGGUUGCGACCAUAAUGUGGUGGCUUCUCUCCCUUAGGUGGUUUGCCAACUGGGGUUGGUGGCUUGUGUUCUGGGAGUGGCUUCUCCCCCUUGGGAGGUUUUUCCAAUGGGGUUGGUUUGUGUUCAGGAGGUGGCUUCUCCACUGGAGGCUUGUGUUCAGGAGGUGGCUUCUCCACCGGAGGCUUGUGUUCAGGAGGUGGCUUCUCCACCGGAGGCUUGUGUUCAGGAGGUGGCUUCUCGAAUGGGGGAUGCUCAGGGUAAUCAGCAAGUGAGGGGUUGGUGAGAACCACCAUGCCAAGCAACAGGACUAGCAAGUAUGUAGGAGACAUCUUUGGGUUUGGACUUAAGACAGUGGAAAACUGCGAGAAUUCUCUAGCCUUUUAUAGCGGGUCGACCCAGUACUCACAUGACACGUGUCAUUAUGACACAUGUGCCAUGGGGUCGAUUUGGGUCCUACAGUGUUGAAAAGUUGGGCAUUUGAGGUGUGAGCACAACUUUUGGCCUUUGCUUUCUCUACAGCCGCCAUGCUUUUCCCUUUUUUCCUUUUCCUUUUGUUUUCCUCCUGCCUCGUGUUCUCAACUAAACACAAUUAGGUUGUUUAAUUGUUAAAUGAGAUUUUUGUCUGUCAAUCAUAUUAUAUCCUAUCAAGAGAGAACAGAGUGUAAUGUAGUACACAUAACACGAGGCAGUAGUAAUUUUAUCAUUUAUUUUUAUAGCUUGGACCACCGCAUUUUUUCUUCUAAAAUAUUCUGUCUUGUUAAGAGACGCAAUAAUACACAAUUUUAUCUGCCAUUCAACAUUUACUGUAAAGUUCUUUUAUCUCUUUGUAGUUCUAGAAAAGUACAAAAUGGAACAUCAUGUAUAUGGUGCCUUCUGUCCUAAAAAAGAAACUGGACAAAUUAUGAACUGCAUGCUAAAAAGAGGCAAAGGAGCUUAAUUCGCAGCAUAAUUAUUUUGGUUUCUAGAGAGCCCGGGGCCUUUUGGUUGGUUUGGGGUCAGAAAAUGAACAUCAUAGGGAUUGUGCCCUUAACUGGCCUUGUUACUACAAAGAAAUUGCCAUAGAAAUUUAUUCCAGGCUGAGUAUCUCCGGAUAGACCCCAGAAAAGAAGAGUCAUAAUGAGAAUCAACCUUUGUUGAGUUUGAUUCCAUGCCUCCAUUGUGUUCAUUUCAUGAAUCUGAUUUGCAUUUAACAUUACAGUUUUGUUCUGGAAACAAUCAAAGGAGCAUCGUUUGCUUCUUGGGUGACCCAUAGUGGUGGGUGGGUCGAUUUGCUUAGUUGAAAAUUGGACAAUUGGCUCCAUCGCCUACCUCUUGGAUUCCAUGCUCGGAUAAAACGACAACAAAUAAAUAUUUAUAACUUACAACUGGGGAAAGGAAAAAAUAGUACUAAAUUCAUGGUACAUGAUAGUGAGAGAAGGGGGUGUUACACUCAGCUAAAGUUCUUUUCUAAAUAUUGCAUGGUGUUUAAUUUUAUGUGUCGGCGCGCGUGUGAAUGGAACCUGCAAAAGUCCAAAUUGGCGUUUCUCCAUUUUCCACAUAGGAUGGUGACGUUAAUAGACAAAGAUACAAUAUCUGUAGACAUUGCUUAAAAAUCGAUGUGAAGUAUUAGAAAUUACAGGCCACUGUACUGGGGGAGCGGCUGCCCCGCCAAAGGAAGAAUGUAGCAAUUUCUUCUGUUAGCCAGGCCUUAGGAUUUAUGCAUGGGAUGCCUAAUAACAAACAGAGAAAAUAUGCUUUUGGGGAAGGUAUCCAACAACAGACACCAUCAUUCAGAUGGUGGGAAGGUAUCCAACAGAUGCCAUCAUUCAGAUGGUAACAUAUAUAUACAUUUAUUAGUGAGUUUUUUUAAUACCUAUAAAAAAAAUAUACACUUUGAUAUUGUGGCUGAAUCCAUUACAUACUCAACUAACCUUGCUCAUUAGGGAUUUGACGUAACAAGGGCAACGUUGCAGUAAAAGCUCGAAACUUUAUGCAGGUGACAUUACAUUUGGUAAAGAAGAGGAAAAUAAGGAAAGCCAUCCAUAAAAGCAAAAUUCCUCAUGGGAUGAAAUUCACAAACUUCAUUUACGUUAGAGUCGCAUCCAGGCAAUUAAUUCCACAUUAGACCGCCUUUUGACAUGUGUACGGAUCUUUUUUCAAAAAUUAUUUAUAAAUAAUUGAUACUUACAAAAAUAAUUUAAGAUUUAUAAAGGAUAAAAAAAUAUUUUCAAAUCUAUGACAAUUUAUAAAAUAUUAAUAAAAAAUUAUCUCUUAAACUUAGUAUAGUUUUAUCGUAUUAAACUUUUAUUUUGAACAAAUAAUUUUAAUCUAAGUUUUAAAUUCUAAAAUUAUUUCCUUAAAAUAAAAUUUUAAAAUUCAACACUUCAAUUGAAAUUGUCUUUUAAAAAAAAUAUCUUCUUAUUUUAAUCCUUAUAAACUAUAGUUGAUUGAAAAUACUAUUGAAGUUCUCUCUUCAAAAAAAGUCUUAUUUUAAUCUUCAUAAAUUGCCCUUGAUUUGAAAAUAAACUUUGGGUUAUCAUAUUUUAAAUAAUAUAUAUAUAUAUAUAUAUAUAUAUAUAUAUAUAUAACAAAUACUCUAUUUUUUUUUUAAAUGAACUAAUUUUAAUUAUAUUUUAUUUUAUUUUUUUAUAUAUUUUUAAUGAUAAACCAAACAUAGAAAAUCAUUUUUCUAAAUAUUUUAAAAUUUCUAAGCAACCAAACAUAAUCUUCAAAAUAAAAGGAGAAUAAGGAGGGACAAGUGAGAAAUGGCGAUUAAAAAAAAGUGUACAAAAGCUCAAUUAAUUUUCUUCUAGUCUUUUAUAUAAAAAAGUAUUGGUAUGUAAAUUAAUAUUUGGAUUUUAAUAGUAUUUUAUUUGUCUUUCUCUAUCUCAUGUAAAAGAGAAUUUAAGAUAUUUCCUAAAGCAAAGCAUUAGUUAUCUGCAAUCAGUGGUGAUCAUGGUCCAUGUCAAUUUCGGACCCAUAUCUUAAAACCGUAUAAUUUGCGUUUCAACAUUACUGAUUUCUCAGAUGUUUCAUACUCCACAGAAGAGUAUUGUUAGUGAAAGCAUUUUGUAACUGUUACUCAUAGUGUUUUGACUCUGGCUCAACAACAUCAGCCAUUGACGGAUUUUCAUACAUGCAAAUCAAAUAGUCUUCUUCCUCCCUUAGGAAUUUCGGUUUAAAUGUUAUUAAGCAUACAUUUGGCUGACAAUUAUUAACCACUUCAUGAUAUGGUUUCUUACCCUUAAUCAAUGGUUUCUAAGUGAAUAUAUGCAGAAGGAAAUCUGAACUGUAGACAGCAGUAUUGAUAACUCUCAAUAUUCUUUAUAUAAGAGAAUAAACAACGUCAUAGUGAUCGUCGCCUACAAGAAAGGUACAUUUCCCAACAAGAUGUAGUGGUGACUGCUACAUGGACGCAAUUAACUCGUAGAAAAGGAUAAGACCAGUGCACGGCAGCUCUUAUUUUACAUGCUAAUUAUGCUAACCAAAGUCACUCAGUUGGGAUGGGAGGGAGAUGGAGGUUUGUGCGGUGGCUUGUGGGGCGGAGUUGGUGGCUUCUUUUCAGGAGCUUGUGGCUUUUUCGGAGCUGAAGGAGGCUCAAUCUUAUGAGGCGGCUUGUACGAGUCUUCUUUACUCUCGACAGGAGGGUGACCAGGGUUGUGACCAUAAUGUGGUGGCUUCUCUCCCUUAGGUGGCUUGCCAACUGGGGUUGGUGGCUUGUGUUCAGGAAGUUGUUUCUCUCCCUUGGGAGGUUUACCAAUUGGGGUUGGUGGCUUGUGUUCUAGGAGUGGUUUCUCUCCCUUGGGAGGUUUAGUGGGUGACUUGUGUUCUGGAGGUGGCUUCUCCACCGGAGACUUGUGUUCUGGAAUUGAUUAAAAAAAUUCUACCACUCUUUUAAGUAAUGGAAGAUUAUUAUCUCUGAUUGGCACCACAACAGCACAUGCUGCUAGAUCUUUCUAGACACUCCAUGCAAUGAAAGCACAAUGGAUCUUGUAACGAUAGAAACUAAGCCAUGCUACAGUACUAGAUGACGAGGUAAAACUAGUAGACAUGGGUGGUAGUUGAUUACUACUCAAAAAGUACUCUUUUAUAGUUUGAAACUAACUGUUUUAAACACUUUUGAGUAGUAGUUAAUAAAUUUUAACUCAAUUGGCACAUUAAGGAACCUAGCAAGGGUUACUAAUAAACUUUUGGCAAGUUUUGGUGUUUUUGGUAGUUAUUCGAUCAUUGAAACAAGCCAAGAAUGAGGGAGAAUUUUGUGAAGUCCAUGGCAAUGCAAGUUAAAGCUCAAAUACACGAAGAAUCCAAGCUUUGGAGCACUACAUAGCCCUUUGCCAAGCCAAUUAGAGAUGCAAGGAACAAAACCAAAGGAAGAAAUCCAACAACCAACAUUUUCGCAUGGUUGUGUGAAAUUUCGCACACCAUGCGAAACCACAAGAGGUAGCCAAAGAAUUUCACAUGGUAUGCGAAAUCUUCUCAUGCACCGACUCCGUUAGAUUUUUAUCUUCAGAUAUUUUGUGUAAUUUCCUAGUUUCUCCUUGUAACCAACCUAGAUAUUUUCUUUUAUAUCUUUUUUUAUAUUUUUUAGGUAACAUCAUAUAUAAGGGGAGAGACAUAAGGAGGAUAUGGAUGUUUUUCAUAGAACACUUGUAAAUUUUCAGUAGUAAGAAAUAUACAAAGCUUUUUGCUAUGCCUUACCUUCUCAUUUUGUUUUCACCUGUCUUUCUAGCCAAACAACCUCUAAGGAUGAUUUCUCAGGGGAUGAGUGGCUAGGUUUUACGUUUCUUGGAGUGAGGGAAGCUAGGUGAAGGACCUGAAUGCAAAGAUGAGAGUUUUCCUUGCUUUAAAUGAAAGUAGUUGUUAAACAUUAAUGGUUUUUAUUUUAAGGUUUAGCUUUAAAUCCCUUAAAAACACCUUGAAUGACCAAUACUUGGUAAGCUUUUCGGAUUCUAUGGAUGCUUAUUGCUAGAUCCAUGGAUGUCUAUUAGUUAUCAUUUACGAGCCUUUGGAAGGUGAUUCAAGGUGAGGGUCUUUAGUGUUUGAAGCCAUUAAUGGGAAGCAAUUACCAUUUUUUCAUGAAUCCUUUGGAUCAAAUCUUAAUUGCUAAAUAUAAAACCGAUUUGGGAAAUAACCAUCCUUUAUGUUAUUAUCCCCAACGCAAGGAGAAGAUCCGGAAUCUUCCCUUUUGUCUAAGGAACCCGAUCCUAGUGACCUAAAGCUCCAAGAGACCUUUUCUUUGUAGUUAACUUCAUUUAUUGUUUUUGCUUAACUUAAAAUCAAUCUUUGCAACCACAAUUCCAUUUUCUUUAAAAGCUAAUUUUUAUAAGGAAAAACACCAUUUUAUUUCCUUCACUAAGUCAACUGUACGAUGAAAACCCAUCCCUGUGGACGAUCCUAGAGCCAUUAUACUAUGUUAGCUAUGCUACCCUAGUGUGAGGUGAUUUAGGUUUUAUAAAUUUUGUUGAUAACACCCAUCUGAGCCAGAAUCAAAUGGCACAACUGAACCAGGGACGAAUCAAAUGGCGCCGCUAUCGAGGAUGGUGCCAAAGUACAUUGACAUGACUUUUGGUGAACACUUGUGAUCUUCAUCACAAGUUUGGUGAUUUUUCUAUUACUAAUUUUUUUCUUUGUUUUUAUUUUAGCUUAUCUUUUAUUUAGUUUUUAGCUAACCUUAACUUUUUCUUAGAAUUGUAUUUCUUCUAUUUUCUUUGUUUUUGUUUCAGUGAUCUUUAGUUGUGCAUGCCCUAUUGGAUAAGAAAUAUUGAGGGAAUACUUGUGAAGAUUGAAAAUCCUCGAGAAACUGAGUUGGAAGUGUGAUUGAACAUCAUGGAUGUUCCACCUGAAGACCAGAAUAGCCAACAUGGUUAAGAGGAUAAUUUCAAAGCAUACCGAUCCAUGAGGGACUGCAUGCAUCCACCUCGUAUGAGUGCACCGUCAUGCAUAGUGCCUCCCACUGAGCAACUAGUAAUCUGACCUCACAUUGUGCCACUCCUACCUACUUUCCAUGGGAUGGAGAGUGAGAAUCUCUACUCGCAUAUUAAGAAAUUCGAGGAGGUUUGUAAUACAUUCCAAGAAGGAGGAGCUUCAAUUGACUUGAUGAGGCUCAAGCUAUUUCCUUUCACUUUGAAGGAUAAGGCUAAGAUUUGGCUUAAUUCUUUAAGGCCAAGGAGUAUCCGAACUUGGACUAAUUUGCAAGCCGAUUUUCUUAAGAAGUUCUUCCUUACCCAUAGGACCAAUGGUUUGAAAAGGCAAAUUUCGAACUUCUCAGCUAAAGAGAAUGAGAAAUUCUAUGAGUGAUGGGAGAGGUACAUGGAAGCUAUUAAUGCUUGUCCUCACCAUGGCUUUGACACAUGGCUCUUAGUGAGUUAUUUUUACGAUGGUAUGUCUUCUUCAAUGAAGCAACUCCUAGAAACUAUGUGUGGAGGAUACUUCAUGAGUAAGAAUCCGAAGGAAGCCAUGGACUUUUUGAGUUAUGUGGCUGAAGUUUUAAGAGGAUGGGAUGAACCAAAUGCUAGAGAGGUGGAAAGAAUGAAGUCUCAACCUAAUGCUAAGGGUGGGAUGUAUGUUUUGAAUGAAGACAUUGACAUGAAAGCAAAGGUUGUAGCUAUGGCAAGGAGAUUGGAAGAGCUAGAAAUGAAGAAGGCACAAAAAGUGGAAGCCAUUUCUGAGACAUCAGUGCAAGCUAUGCCUUGUUCCAUUUGUCAACCUAAUGCUAAGGGUGGGAUGUAUGUUUUGAAUGAAGACAUUGACAUGAAAGCAAAGGUUGUAGCUAUGGCAAGGAGAUUGGAAGAGCUAGAAAUGAAGAAGGCACAAAAAGUGGAAGCCAUUUCUGAGACAUCAGUGCAAGCUAUGCCUUGUUCCAUUUGUCAAUCUUAUGAGUACCUAGUGGAGGAGUGUCCUACAAUUCCAGUAGUGAGAGAGAUGUCUGGUGAUCAAGCAAAUGUUAUUGAUCAAUUCAAGCCUAAUAAAAAUGCUUCAUAUGGCAACACCUACAAUUCAAAUUGGAUGAACCAUCCAAAUUUCUCUUGGAAACCAAAGCUACCUCAAUACACACAACCUGCUCAAGCACCUUAGCAAUCCUCGAAUCUUGAACAAGCUAUUGUGAACCUUAGUAAGGUUGUGGGAGAUUAAAAGUCCAUCAAUGCUCAACUGAAUCAGAGAAUUGACAGUGUAGAGAGUACAUUGAACAAAAGGAUGGAUGAGAUGCAAAAUGAUCUGUCUCAAAAGAUAGACAAUGUCCAAUAUGCAAUCUCAAGGCUUACCAACCUCAACACAGUGCAAGAGAAAGGAAAGUUUAUUUCUCAACCUCAUCAAAAUCCCAAGGGUAUCCAUGAAGUGGAGGCUCAAGAGAGAGAAUCUUCAAAGGUGAGGGAAGUCAAAGCAGUUAUCACCUUGAGGAGUGGUAAAGAGGUUGAUCAACCCACAUCCAAGCCAAAGCAUAAUGAAGAGAGUUUUGUAGAAAAAGAAAAGAGAGGAAAAUAAAGGAAAGAGAAUAGAGAAAAGUACAAAGAAAGAUGACCAUGAGUCUAGUGUGGAUGAAGAGCCCAAGAGGAUAGUGAUCAAGGAAAAUAUGAUGAAGAAACACAUGCCUCCACCUUUCCCCUAAGCUUUGCAUGACAAAAAAGGAACCAAUAAUACAUCGGAAAUUUUUGAAGUAUUGAGGCAAGUGAAGGUCAAUAUCCCUUUGCUAGAGAUGAUCAAACAAGUGCCGACAUAUGCAAAAUUCUUGAAGGACUUGUGCACUGUAAAGAGAGGGUUGAAUGUGAACAAGAAAGCUUUCUUGACCGAGCAAGUGAGUUCCAUCAUACAGUGCAAGUCUCCAGUGAAGUACAAAUAUCCGGGCUACCCUACCAUCUCAGUGAGUAUUGGAGGUACUUGUGUGGAAAAAGCUUUGUUGGACUUGGGAGCAAGUGUGAAUUUGCUACCCUACUCUGUCUAUAAGUAGUUGGGACUUGGAGAGUUGAAGUCAACAUCCAUCACCCUAUCUCUGGCAGAUAGAUCAGUGAAGAUUCCAAGAGAGAUGAUAGAAGAUGUCUUGGUUCAAGUUGACAAAUUCUACUAUCCAGUGGAUUUUGUUGUUCUUGAUACGGAUCCGAUUGUCAAAGGAACUAAUUAUGUUCCUAUCAUACGAAGACCCUUCCUAGCUACAUCAAAUGCAAUCAUCAAUUGUAGGAAUGGAGUCAUGAAACUCACGUUUGUCAACAUGACAUUAGAGCUCAACAUCUUCCAUUUGUACAAGAAGCAUAUCCAUUCAGAAGAAAAAGAAGGUCUAGAGGAAGUGUGCAUGAUUGACACUUUAGUGGAGGAGCAUUGUGAUCGACAAUGCAAGAAGAUUUAGUUGAGAGUUUUGGGGAUCUUGAUGAAGGGUUACUUGAACCCUCAGAUUUGCUUGCUACCCUACUCCAUUGGAGGAAGAGAGAAGAAAUUCUACCCUUAUUCAAUGAGGAGGAGACACAAAGAGCUGCUAAAGAUAAGCCCCCAAAGCUUAUUCUUAAGCCACUACCCACAGAGUUGAAGUAUGCAUACUUGGAAGAAGACAAGAAGUGCACUGUUGUUAUAUCUUUAGCUCUUACCAUUCAUCAGGAGGAUUGUCUACUUGAAGUCCUUAGAAGAAGUAAGAAGGUAAUAGGGUGGCAAAUUUCUGAUUUGAAAGGGAUCAGCCCUUUUGUCUGCACCCAUCAUAUUUACAUGGAGGAUGAAGCUAAGCCAAUUCAUCAACCUCAGAGAAGGUUGAACCCUCACAUGCAAGAAGUGGUGAGAGUUGAAGUUCUUAAGCUACUUUAGGCUGGUAUUAUUUACCCCAUAUCAGAUAGCCCAUGGGUGAGUCCUACUCAAGUUGUGCCAAAGAAGUCGGGGAUCACGGUGGUGCAAAAUGAUAAGGGAAAAGAUGUCUCUACAUGUCUCACUAUAGGUUGGAGGGUGCGUAUCAAUUACAGGAGGUUGAAUGUAGUGACAAGGAAUGACCAUUUCUCGUUGCCCUUUAUUGAUCAAGUGCUUGAGAGGGUCUCUGGGCAUCCUUUUUAUUGUUUCUUGGAUGGCUACUCGAGGUAAUUUAAGAUAGAAAUUGAUGUUGAAGACCAGGAGAAGACCAUUUUCACAUGCCCAUUUAGAACCUAUGCAUAUAGGAGAAUGUCUUUCGGCUUAUGCAAUGCACCCACAACUUUCCAAAGAUGCAUGUUAAGCAUUUUCAAUGAUAUGGUGGAGCAUAUUAUGGAAGUCUUUAUGGAUGAUAUCACCAUAUAUGGAAGUGCAUUUGAUGAAUGCUUGGUCAACUUAGAAGUUGUUCUGAACCGAUGCAUUGAGAAAGACUUAGUGCUUAAUUGGGAGAAGUGCCAUUUCAUGGUACACCAAGGGAUUGUCCUUGGGCACAUCAUCUCCAAGCAAAGCAUUGAAGUUGACAAAGCAAAGGUUGAACUCAUUGUUAAGUUGCCAUUCCCAACAAAUGUCAAAGGAGUAAGGCAAUUCCUUGGCCAUGCCGGGUUCUAUAGGAGGUUUAUCAAGGAUUUCUCUAAGCUUGCAAGGCCUCUUUGUGAAAUAUUGGUGAAGGAUGUUAAAUUCAUAUGGGAUGAUAGAUGCCAAAGGAGUUUUGAAGAAUUGAAGCUAUUUUUGACAACCUCACCAAUAGUGAGGGCUCCCAACUAGCAACUGCCCUUUGAGGUAAAGUGUGAUGUCAAUGACUUUGCUAUAGGAGCUGUUCUUGGGCAAAGAGAAGAUGGAAAACCUUAUGUGAUCUACUAUGCGAGCAAGACAUUGAAUGAGGUGCAAAGAAACUACAUAACCACCGAGAAAGAAUUGUUAGCUGUAGUUUUUGCCUUGGAUAAGUUUCGUGCUUACUUGGUGGGAUCCUUCAUCGUGGUUUUUAUUGAUCACUUUGCUUUGAAGUAUCUAUUGACUAAGCAAGAUGCUAAAGCAAAACUGAUUAGAUGGAUUUUCUUGCUUCAAGAGUUCAAUCUCCAGAUCAAAGACAAGAAAAAAAUGGAGAAUGUGGUAGUAGACCACAUUUCAAGGCUAGCUAUCGCACAUAAUUCCCAUGCUUUGCCCAUUAAUGACGAUUUUCUAGAGGGGUCUCUCAUGUUGGUGGAAGUUGUCCCUUGGUACGCUCACAUUGCUAACUACCUGGUCACAAGAGAAGUUCCAAGUGAGUGGAAAGCACAAGAUAAGAAGCACUUCUUUGCAAAAAUUCAUGCCUACUAUUGGGAAAAGCCAUUUCUAUUCAAGUAUUGUGCGGAUCAGAUAAUAAGGAAGUGAGUUCCUGAAGAAGAGCAACAGGGGAUCCUCAGUCAUUGCCAUAAAAAUGCAUGUGGAUGCCACUUUGCUUAUCAGAAGACAACCAUGAGGGUGCUGCAAUCGGGUUUCUGUUGGCCAUCACUUUUCAAAGAUGCCCACACCAUGUGCAAGAGUUGUGAUCGAUGCCAGAGGCUUGGGAAGUUAUCAUGUAGGAACAUGAUGCCUUUGAACCCCAUUUUAAUAGUUGAUCUUUUUUAUGUUUGGGGCAUUGACUUCAUGGGACUUUUCCCUAUAUCUUUUGGCUACUCUUACAUCUUGGUGGGAAUAGAUUAUGUUUCUAAGUGGGUUGAGGCAGUCCCAUGCAAACACAAUGACCAUAGAGUGGUUCUCAAGUUUCUUAAGGAGAACAUCUUCUCAAGAUUUGGGGUGCCCAAAGCCAUAAUUAGUGAUGGGGGUACUCAUUUUUGCAACAAGCCUUUUGAAACUCUCCUAGCCAAGUAUGGGGUGAAGCAUAAGGUAGCUACACCUUACCACCCUCAAACUAAUGGGCAAGUUGAGUUAGCAAACAAGGAGAUUAAAAACAUAUUGAUGAAGGUGGUGAACACAAACAGAAAAGAUUGGUCAGUCAAGCUCUUCGAUUCACUAUGGUCAUGUAGAACAGCUUACAAGACCAUUAUCGGGAUGUCUCUUUAUCACCUAGUCUAUGGAAAAAAUGCCAUCUCCUUGUGAAAUUGGAAUACAAAGCUUGGUGGUCAAUCAAGAAGCUCAACAUGGAUUUGAGCAGAGCUGGGUUGAAGAGGUUCUUAGACCACAAUGAGAUGGAGGAAUUGAGAAAUGAUGCCUACAUCAAUUCAAAAAUUGUAAAAGAAAAAUUGAAGAGGUGGCAUGAUCAGUUGAUUUCCCGCAAGAAUUUUCAAAAUGGAUAAAGAGUCUUGCUCUAUGACUCUAAACUCCACAUCUUUCCGAGCAAGCUGAAAUCAAGGUGGAUAGGUCCUUUUACCAUUCACCAAGUGCAUUCAAAUAGAGUAGUGGAACUACUCAACUCCAACAACAUCGGGAGCUUCAAAGUGAAUGACCAUUGUCUCAAGCCCUUUGUAGAGUCUUUUUUCUCGCGACAAGGAGGAAUUCAUCCUCCUUGAUCCACAUCAAGCUUGACAAGACCAGUUUUUUUUUAUGGACUUAGUCUUUCUAAAGACUAUCGAGUCCAUAACUUUUUAUUUUAUUUUUUAUUUGAGAGUUUUUCGGUAUUAUUACUUGUUUUGUUUUUUAUUUUUCGUUUUACUUUUAUUUGGUUUGAUUUAACUUAGAUUUUUUAUGAUCAAUUGCAGGGGGGAUUUCAAAUAGAGGAAAAACCAAGAUAAUUCGCACACCCUGCGAAAAUUUCGCAAGGCAUGCGAAAUUUAUGGCUCAUUUCGCAUGGGAUGCGAAAUUUCGCACACCCUACGAACCAAUUUCGCACACUUUGUGAAAAUAAACCAACCCUACGAAAUCAUUUCAAAUACUCUACGAAAUUUUCGCAGAGCAUGUAAAAAAUUUCGCAGACCAAACACCAUUUCGCAUACUAUGCGAAAAUGUAAGGGGUCUACAAAACCAUUUCGCACCUCCAAAGCCAUUUCGCACAUUGUGCAAAAAUGAAAAGUCGCCCUAUCAUCCAUUUUUAAACCCCUUGAGCCCUGAAAUCCCCAUUUCGCAAGCACCCCUGUCCUUGCGAAUCCCUCAUUUUCCUCUGCCACCUUGCGACCUUGUCCCUCUCCAUUUGAUAUCGUGCCCUGCGCACAUCUCAUUUCAAAGACUCGCACUCUGCGCCCUCUCAAAGCACGAACCCAAGGCUCACAUUCCAUUUCCGACAUGGCACAGACCCGAGGAGCCCUUCCCGCCCCUUCAUCGAGACGCACACCAAGGUAGAGAGCCUCUUUUGCUCAGAUGCCAAGUGAUUCUCCAUUUCAGGCCACGGAGGCCCUGCGGAUUCCACAUUCCAAGGGUAGAACAGCCACUGGUCCUUCCUCUUCUAUUCCUCAGCGUAGAUAUGAGACGAGGAGACCACCUACUACACAAAGGGCGACUACUUCGCGCCAUGAGAAUUCGGUACGACACCCUCCUGCCAAGAGGGCCAGGACUUCAGGCCCAGGCGAGUCAUCCAAAGCUUCACAGCCUGAGCCUCCUGCAGAUUCCGAGGUUCCUACUGACAUAUCAUCGGAGUCUAUUAUCAAACGCCCGAUGCUCACAGCACCGCCCAUUGAGGGCAACUCUGAUUGUAGAGCGAGACCUUUCCACUUGGAGCUAUAUUUUAAUUAAGAGGCCAUGCCACAGCAGCCUGAGCUCCAAGACUCUUAUGGCUUACUACAGAGGUACCAUCUUGAGGACCUUAUGACUCCUCGUGAGUUCUUUUAUCCCAGAGUAGCACUAGACUUUUACCAGUCCAUGACUACUCGUGGCGUCCCGAGUCCUACCGCGAUGCACUUCACCAUUAAUGGACGUCAUGGUAUCCUCGAGGCCAGACAUAUUGGAGAGGCUCUACAGAUUCCUUUCGAGCUAGAGGACCCAUCUGUUUUCUGCCAAUGGUCCCCAAUAUCUCAGAGGGACAUGGUCCAUAUUUUAUCCAGGGGGACAUCUACAUAUUCGAUCCUUCUACGGAAGGAGCUUCGACCUGGGAUACUCCUCGUAGAUGUGGUGCUACUUUCCAACCUCUUUCCCUUUUAGCAUUCGAUACAUAGGCGAGGAGCUAUUUUGGACGCUUUAUUCUGUAUAUCAGAGGGCUUCUACUUUGGCCCGCACCACUUGAUCAUGGUUUCCCUCAUCCAUUUUGAGGAGAAGGUCCAUAGAAAGAAGCUUCAGAGGGCGAACACCAUUCCAUUACUAUUCCCGAGGUUGCUCUACUAGAUCUUGGAGUACAUGGGCUUUCCUACUGAGCCUCGGCUUGUGUGCCGCCGCCUUUGUCAAGAGCGAUCCACUCUCGACAAAUGGAAUCAGUUGGCGGGCUAUUCUACACCUCCAGGAGCCCCUCCCAUGGUAGCACCUCUAGUGUCCCCACAGGCAGAGUAGGGCAAGCUCCCGGUAGAGACUGCACCCCUAGUGCCCACACCUGAGGCUACUUCUGCUGUUCCGCCUACGACUCCUACUGUUCCACCAGUUGGUCCUUUUACAUCUGAGUCUUCCAUCAACAUCUCGACUUCGGAGUUUCGCGCCCUUGUGCAUACCUUUCAGACACUCACCACCACACAUACUGCUCUCUUCUAGAAAAUGGCUGAGAUGCGUGCCCAUCAGGACCAGCAGACUACUAUACUCCGCCAAAUUCAACAGCACCUGGGACUUCUGCCUCUGCCUCAGCUUGACCUUCCCACAUCAUCAGAGCCUCUAGCUCCAGUUGAGGAUACUAUUCCACCUGAGGACACUACCACAGUAGAGGUUCAGAUUCCACCACCUCAGGAGGCCACCACAGCUACAUUAGAGGAUGCAUCAUCUCCACCUGAGGCUCCCACUACUUGAUCAUAGGACAUCUCUUUAUCUUAUUGUAUUUACAUAUUAUAUUACUGGAGAUUUGUCUUUGUUUUGAUACUUUAUAUUCUGGCAUUGAAUGUAUUGCCUAAUGAUAUCUCAAUUGUACUUUCUCAUAUUAAUAUAUAGACAUCAAUUUUUUUUAGUAUACUUAGGAUUUUUCUAUUUACUCUACUCAUUACUCUUUUGUUUUUUUUUUUUUACUCAUGUGGUUUCUCCUAUACGACUCAGACUCCAUUUCACUCAGGAGGUACCACUUCUUCCCUUUAUUUUCAAUUGCUCUUGAAACAUUGAGGGCAAUGUUGAUCUUGGUUGGAGGGAGAGUUGAGGAAGGAAGUGAUUACUACUCAAAAAGUGCUAUUUCAUAGCUUGUAAUUAACUCUUUUAAAACACUUUUGAGUAGUAGUUAUCACCUUUUAACCCAAUUAACAUAUUAAGGACCCUUGCAAUCAAUUCUAAUCAAAUUGUGUUAAGUUUUGGUAUUUUGAUAGCUUUUUUAUCACCAAAGCAAUCCGAGAUUGAGGAUAUUUAUUUGGAAUCCAUGGCAAAAGAUGUUUGGACAGGACGUCCGGACACACCAUCGGAGGGCGGCGGAACGUGGGCUGUGGCAGGCUGUCGGAAUGACGUAGCAAGGCUUGUGCACUUUAGCCAAUGAUCGGGAUAACAUAUCCGAAAUUCUGCUCCGCCGACAUUCCACCCGGAUGUCUCACAUCCGGAAUUCUGCUCCGCCGACAUUACACCCAGAUGUCUCACAUCCAAAAUUCUUCUCCGUCGACAUUCCAUCCGAAUAUUUCACAUCCGACGCUUGACGCCGGAUGGGAGAGGAGGGCGUUUCAACUUCCCCGGUCAGACAUAUCCGAAUCCUUUGAUAACGCUUACCCGGAGAGUUUCGCAGCCAUUUUGCACAGUGCCGCGGUGUUCUCUUGAAGCUUCCCGAUAUGUGCGACCGACAUUUUGAGAUAUUUUGCUUUAGAUAUUUGAUGUCUAAAUCCCCAAACUCUCCUUGUAACCCACCAAUUAUAGGAUUCCUUAGUUAUUAAGUUUGGAAAAAUGGUGAAUAACCCCUUAUAUAUAGUUUGCAAUUUUCAUAAAAAAGAUAUGUAGAAUCUCGGGAGCUUGUUCCCAGAGAGACGCAUCCUUUGUACAGUUUUGGAAGGAAGUAAAAUACAGAGCACUUGCUCUGCUUUUCAUAUAUAUUUUUGUUUUCUCGUUCUUUUUAUUUCUAGCCAAUCAAAGUCUGAGGAUUUUUCCUCAGAGGAUGAGAGGCUAGGCUCUUCGUCUCUUGGAGUGAAGAAAACUAGGUAAGUUUCCACAUGCAUAAAUUGAAAGUUUUGUUGUUUUAGUUUUUAAUGAAGAGAAAGUGUGACCCGUUAAUGGUUUUUAUCUUUUUAGUUAACUUAAAACGCCUUUAAAUCACCCGGGCCAACACUUGAUAAGGCAAGUGGUCUCCAUCCAUUGAGAUGCACUAGUUUAUCUCUUGCGAGCCUUUGGGAGGUGGUUUGAAGGUAGGAUUUUCUAGAAUAACCAACACUUGAUAAGCUUUUGGACUCUAAGGAGACAUCCAUUAGUUAUCUCUUGCGAGCUUUUGACGGGUAAUCCAAGGUUAAAGAUCACCUUGAAUGGCAAGUACUAGGUGAGAGGUAUGAGCCAUUGCAAGAUGCAUUAGUGAGAGGGAUUUAGUGUUUGAACCCAUUAAAGGGAAGCAUCUGUACCACACCGGUUCGGGAAAUAACUAUAUGUUAAAUCCCCAAUGAGAGGAAAAGAAACAAGUGACCGGAACUCCCUUUUUGUAUAAGGAACCUGAGCCUAGUGAUCUAAACUCCAAGAAACACUUUUCUUUGUAAGUAAAAUCAGUUACUAUUUUUGGUUAGUUUAAAACCAAACCUUUUUCAUUCAAACAUCUUUAUGUUUUCUUUUAAAGCUAACCUUGAAAUGAAAAGGCACCAAUUCAUAUUUGAAUUAAUAUCAAUUGUGAAGUGAAAACCCAUCCCAGUGAACGAUCCUAGAGCCACUAUGCUAUAGUAGCUUUGUCUUUGCUACCCUAGUUCAUGGUUUAAUAGGUUAUAAAUUUUGUUGAUUACUCCCACAAUCAAAGGAGCACCAGUUGGACAUGAAUCAACUGAGACACUAAUUGGGCACAAAUCAGGAAGUUUUGUUAAUAAUGCUAGGUUAAUUUGUUAAUUUAGUUACUUUCUGCUUAAUUUUAAAAGUUUUCACUUUACUUUCCAUAGUUAUUAAGGAAAAAUUCUCAAAAUGAAAUGGGAGAAAUUGAAUUCUUACAUUUUUACUUGAAUUUUAGAAUUUGUAUUAUGCUUAUUGAAGCUGAUGAAUUAUUGAAACUCCUAUUGAAUUCAACCUUAUUUCUUCCACUUUAAUCUUACCACACACGGUGCACAUUAGGUUCCGAUUAUAAGAGGUGCGUUCUUAGCCUAUUGGAGGUUGGUCAAUUUGUUAAAGUUUGAGAAAGAUCUAGGUUAGGGGAGAGAGAAUAGUCUGACAUACUAUAAUCGAAAACUAAUAAACUUAACACUUAGAUCUUUGUGGAAGAGUAAGGAUUGGACCUUUGGGAGUGGAAAUUCGUUUGAUGCUUAAAUUUGCAUAAUGCUUACACUUUAUAAAUUGUGAUUAGGCAAGAGAUUUGAUGACUCUUGUUCAAGGUUGGGUUUUGCCUCUUUGAUGUUCCAUGAGAGAGUAUAAUCCUCAUCAUGCCACUUGAAAUUUUUUUUGGAGUGAUUAACAUGAUUUUGUAAAUUACUUUACUGUCUAUUUUUUUUUUAUCUCUCCUUCAUUGCUAAUGGACUAGCAAUAUGUCAGUUGAGGGGAGUGAUUACUACUCAAAAAGUACUCUUUUAUAGCUUGAAACUAACUGUUUUGAACACUUUUGAGUAGUAGUUAAUACCUUUUAACUCAAUUGGCACAUUAAAGAACCUAGCAAGGGUUACUAAUUAGUUUUUGGCAAGUUUUGGUGUUUUUGGUAGCUAUUUGAUCAUUGAAACAAGCCAAGAAUGAGGGAGAAUUUUGUGAAGUCCAUGGCAAUGCAAGUUAAAGCUCAAAUACAUGAAGAAUCCAAGCUUUGGAGCACUUCAUAGCCCUUUCCAAAGCCAAUCAGAGAUGCAAGGAAGAAAACCAGAGGAAGAAAUCCAACAAUUAGCAUUUUCGCAUGGCUGUGCGAAAUUUCGCACACCAUGCGAAACCACAAGAGGCAGCCAAAGAAUUUUGCACACUAUGCGAAAUUUCGCAUGGUAUGCAAAAUCUUCUUGUGCACCAACUCCGUUAUAUUUUUAUCUCAAAUAUUUUGUGUAAUUUCCUAGUUUCUCCUUGUAACCAACCUAGAUAUUUUCUUUUAUAUAUUUUUUAGGUAACAUCAUCUAUAGGGGGAGAGACAUAAGGAGGAUAUGGAUGUUUUUCAUAGAACACUUGUAAAUUUCCGGUAGUAAGAAAUAUACAGAGCUUUUUGCUCUACCUUACCUUCUCAUUUUGUUUUCACUUGUCUUUCUAGCCAAACAACCUCUGAGGAUGAUUUCUUAGGGAAUGAGUGGCUAGGUUUUACGUUUCUUGGAGUGAGGGAAGCUAGGUGAAAGACCCGAAUGCUAAGGUGGGAGUUGUCCUUGCUUUAAAUGAAAGUAGUUGUUAAACAUUAAUGGUUUUUAUUUUAAGGUUUAGCUUUAAAUCCCUUAAAAACAUCUUGAAUGGUCAAUACUUGGUAGGCUUUUUGGAUUCUAUGGAUGCUUAUUGCUAGAUCCCUGGAUGUCUAUUAGUUAUCAUUUAUGAGCCAUUGGAAGGUGGUUCAAGAUGAGGGUCUUUAAUGUUUGAAGCCAUUAAUAGGAAACAAUUACCAUUCUUUCAUGAAUCCUUUGGAUCAAAUCUUAAUUGCUAAAUAUAAAACUAGUUCGGGAGAUAACCAUCCUUUAUGUUAUUAUGCCCAACGCGAGGAGAAGAUUCGGAAUCUUCCCCUUUGUCUAAGGAACCCGAUCCUAGUGACCUAAAGCUCUAAGAGACCUUUUCUUUAUAGUUAACUUCACUUAUUGUUUUUUCUUAACUUAAAAUCAAUCUUUGCAACCACAAUUCCAUUUUCUUUGAAAGCUAAUUUUCAUAAGGAAAAUCACCAUUUUAUUUUCUUCCCUAAGUCAACUGUACGAUGAAAACCCAUUCCCAUGGACGAUCCUAGAGCCACUAUACUAUGUUAGCUAUGCUACCCUAAUGUGAGGUGAUUUAGGUUUUAUAAAUUUUGUUGAUAACACCUGUUUGAGCCAGAAUCAAAUGGCGCAACUGAACCAGGGACGAAUCAACAACUUAUAUGGGAGGGACACAAGUUUAAUUGAUUUGCAUUUCAACGUUAUAUAUAGGUAUGUUUUGGAAGAUUUGUUCUGGAAAUACUGCACCAAGUACGAUUCUUUUUGUCUUGAGUGGGUCUACUUGCAUGCCAAUUAACGAGUGGAAAAGUAGGAGCACCUACCUCAUGCUCGCGGAACCGAAGGUCAGUGAAGUGGGGCUCCUUUUGGCCUCUUGUGUUUCUAUUCCAACCAAGGCGGCGUAAGGAAAAACAACAAUAUGUUUGUGCUAAAUAUCAACGCAUGAUAGAUGUUUUUGUUUUUUGGUAUGUCAAGGCUAAUGAAUGAAAUGCUUUAGCUUGUUUUGUGACUGGAACUGCAAAUGUCCAAAUUGGAGUAUCUCCAUUUCUCACUUCGGAUGGUUAACUUAUAAACAAGAUAUAGGAAACAUGUGAACAUCUUGAGGAACAAUUUGAAUUAUUCAUUAGAAGUCCUGGGUUGAGUUCCAAGAUUUAAAUUAGACCCCUCUAGCAGCUUCAGGGGUACCUAGCAACCUAUAGCAUAUUAAUGAAGAUUUAGGAUUUAGACUCUAGAAUACAAAUUAAUAUGUAUCUCAUGCUUUGACUAGCUUCCCUACAUAUGCACAAAAUGGAGAUGACCUAAAAAAAUAGCAGAAUCUAGCUUCCCUACAUAUGCACAAAAUGGAGAUGACCCAAAAAAUAGCAGAAUUUCCUUAGUUUCUGUGGUUAAGGUGAUUCUCCGCUUAAUAUCACAUUGACUCAUUAUGCAAAAUCAACUGAGCUAAUUUUGUUUAUUUAUUUAAUGUCAAAUAGGAACUCCUAAUUAACCUAACCCUUGGCCUGUGUAAAUUGAUUUCACAUGCCCAAUGUUGAAGUAGAAGUCCAUAUUUUGAAUUUUAUUUUUGUAAAGGUAAGGAAAAUGAAGCAUUGUGUAAUUAUAAAAAUAACUUCAUUGGAAUUCACAAGGUUCACCCAAAAUGGAGCUACAUCCGUAUUCUAUCCUGCAGUAGACUAUAUAGAUUGUACAAUAGUAAAUUGCAAAUACAAUUAAUAAGUCUUGUGCUUCCUUACUAAUAAUCCUUUGACAUGAACAUUGCAGCACUAAGGUCCUCUUGGGAAGACACCUUGCACCCAUGAGAGCACGAAGAGGAAGCAAGGCAGAGUCAUGGGUGCAAUGUCAUGACUUGUUGUUGCACCAAGAGAGGCUUGGUGAUGGCAUGGUGUUGCAGUAGCAAGAAUGUUGCCUUGGUAGGGACAUAAUCUAGGGAUAGAUGCCAAGAAAGGCUUAGCACUCACAUGAGUUGCACAAAGAUGAAUGUAAUAGAGCAUCAGAGAGACGUCUUGGCAAGUAAAUGAAUGGAUCCAAGAGGCAACAACAUGAGGAGUUUCAAAUGGAUAAGGAAUGAGUCAAAGACAUUUGAAAGCUACAAGUUGGAUUCUAAUUACGAUUGCAAUUUGAGUUUGAGUAGGAGUUUAGAUUCUGAUUGUAAUUGUAGUAUGAGUUGGACUAGGAUUGCUUAUCCCUAGUCAAAAUAGGAGUGGUUCGUGUCACACCCUAUGAAAAGAGUUUGAGUAGGGACUAGGAUUGCUUACUCCUAGUCAAAUAUGGAGUAGGUGGUGCCACACCUAUAAAAAAAAAGGGACAACAUGAGAGAGAGAGAGAGAGAGAGAGAGAGAGAGAGAGAGAGAGAGAGAGAGAGAAAGAGAUAAUGAAUUCACUAAAGAUAUUGUGGGAGUUUUUCUUUGUUACGUCUUGUAUUAUUACUUAGAAUAGGAAUAAAAUACAAGUUUGGGCUAGAGCCCCAUAAUUAAUCUCGUGUGCCUUUGUGGUUAUUCUUUAUUUGUCAUCUCGUGUGGAUUGGAUUACAUUGACUUAGAGGGCUUCUAAGCACCACCUUUGUGGGUUAUUAUUUAUUUUCCAUUUCUUGUGGAUUAGAUUAGGUUGACUUUGAGGGCUUUUAAGCACCACCUUUGUGGGUUAUUCUUUAUUUUCCAUAUCGUGGGGAUUGGAUUAGGUUGACGAUGAGAAAAAUUAUGUGGGAAAUUUGUGUUGGGACACUUAUCAUAACCAGGUAAAAUCUGCCAAGUCCUUUGUAAUAUCUUCAACAAAUAUUUCAGACUAGUUCUUCACCAUAAACAUCAUAUUGUGUUUUGUUUUUCUCCUGGAUUCUGAGUUGAAUUGUUUCAAGUCAAUUGAAUGCAUCUGAAUAUUAUUAGCUUGUUUGAAGGCCUGGUGAUUUUCCAUUUAACUUUACUUUCUUUAGGUUAUGCUCACUAUAAGAAAAAUGAGAAAUAAUGACGCUUUUUACGCGUUAAGAAAGGCAACAGAUGAUGCUUCUCUAAAGCGUCCUCUUCGGCUCUGUCAUUAUAUGUGUUAGCCAAUAAUGACGCUUCUAGGAAGUGCCAUCUUUGAAUAAUGUUAAUAACGACACUCGUAAAAAGUGUCAUCUUUAAACAUAUUCUGGUCAAAUAAUUUUUACAAAAUUAGUAAUCUUCAAGCCGUUUCUGAAUCAUAUCUGAGCCUAUUUCUGGGGACCAGAAAACCAUCUUUUUUCCAUUCGCCUGAGAGGUCUGAUUAGCAUUUCUGGAAUCAAUCUCUAAACCCAAGCUUCCCUCAUCUACCCAUUUAACCCUCAUGCCCUCCUGUUUGAACAACUUUCCCACUAUAUACACAAAUUUUUUACCUUCUGUUGUUGGUAUUCGACCUCUUCCCAUUCCCAGCACAGAAUCCACCAUUAGUGCCACUUUGUGAAUAAAAUCAUCGAACCAGAUCUUUCGGGCGGAAGAUGAGCUCCAGAGAAAUAAAAUUUUUGGGGUCUUCCCAGCAUGAAAGUCAUAGGUAGCAUUAAUGACAUCAAGAAAUGGGGCACUGUUGAGAAAAAACAUGUUCCCAUCAACCACCCAAGAAUUGUACCAGACUCCAAACACUUCUGGAUUACAUAUGCCUUUACUAAGAUAUAUUUCUUGAUCUCCAUAUCAGAAUCUUGGAGACUCUUCAUUUUAUGAGCUCUGACACUACUGUGAAAUUGGUCCACAUCAAUCACAGGAUGACCCCUUCUAGCAAGAUCAAGCAGGAAGUCUGAAUUCGGGCCCAUAAAAAUGUAGUUCUGAAUAUUGAAACUCUCAAAGUGGCACAACAAAUUCCUUAUGACUCUUUCAGAUGCUCCAAACAGGCUCACAAGUAUAAUGGUAUCCUGUUUUUGCACAGAGUAAAGAAAAUAUCCGAGUUCUUCAAAACUCCUUACAACUAUUCCAGGAUGUACUUCUUUGAAACAGAAAUCGUACCACUUUAGCUUAGUCAGAGGUUGAAUCUAAAAUAACAAAACCCAAACUGAAAUCAAAAUCGAAAUCAACCCUAAUAGAUUUCAGAAACAACAAAUUAAAAGAGUAAAGCACAAAAGGGGGAAAACACAUAUGAAGCAAUCUCCAUACAAGCCCUAACCUUAGAUAAACCCAAAAAAAAAAAUCAAAGCAGAGAGUUACCAUAGAGCAUCUCUGUUUCAAGCUUAGAAAAUGUUUAAUGCCAUUGAUAACUAGUUGGCUAGUGGUGGACUUCAAGCUUCUCUAUUUCGGUGUUAGUAGCUCUCAAUGGCUAUGGUGAGAACAAAGAAAUGAGAGGCUUAGGGUUUGGGAUGUGAGGUUAUUGAUGAUGAUGAGGAUAAAGUUAUGGGCUCUUGGAGGGGUUAGGGAAAUUGAAGAUGGCUGAGAGUAAAGGCUAGGGUUUUUGAGAUAGUUAAUAGCUUUUUAGGGUGUGACUGUCCAUAGAUAGAAGAUAAAUGAGGGUGUGAGAAUUUAUAGAUCUCUAGGUGAUAUGGCGGGUGUGAGAAUGAAAUUUUAGAGGGAAUUGUGUGUUUGGUAGAAAUUUCACACAUGCAUAUAUAAUGUUUCAGAACAUGGCACUUUAAAAAUACGACAAGGAAGAAAUUAUUUAUUGACGCUUAAAUAAAGCGCCAAGGUCUCCAACAUUUUUGCAAUCAAUGACGUUUGUAAAAGGUGCCAUUGAAUAGGAGUGCCAUUGCUUUCCCACAAAGCAUCAUUGUUAAUCAAGCCUUUAAAAAACGCCAAGAUAUGUUGCCACUUAGGUUAAAUAUUGACGCUUUUAAAAAACGCCAAGGAAAAAAACGUCAUUAUUCAUGUUUUUUGUAGUAGUGGCUUGAUUCCUAAAAAGUAAAGGAAAGCAAAAAGUAAAAAAAUAAAAAUGUGGAGAGUUAGGACAUGCGUUAUCUAAUUGUCCUAGUCCCAAAUAUAUUAAGAAAGUCAUGUAGGUUACUUGGAGUAACGAGUCAAGUAAAGCAAGCCUUCUAGUGUUUAAGACAUUAGAUAUUACCGAACUGAUUAUGUCAUUAAUGUAUUGCAUUUGUUGUUUCUAAUAUAUAGAAGAAGAUGAAAUUAUUGGAAUAAGUGGGAAAUAGGAAUAAAUCCAAGGUACCAAAAAGUCACUUUAUCUUAGAUGUUGUUGGAAACAUAAGUGAUUUCACAAUAACGACUAUGAGACAAUCAAGGAUUAAUAAGAUAGACUUUAUAUGAUAUACCUCCCAAUUAGAGCCUAAAAAUAUGGAUGAAGCACUUAGAGAUGAAUCUUCAAUUUUUGUACUAUAGGAAGAAUUAAAUCAAUUUGUUAGCUAUUCUUUGGAUAUUUGAUUCAUCACAAGCUACAAAUCACUUUUGAUGACCAAACACGAAACUAAGAGGAUUGGGCCCAAUUCGAUGCCUAUCAACAAUGAUUUGUAUUCCACCUCAUUAAUUAUUCAAAGUUGGGAAGCUAGGUCUAACCACUUUCUCUACCUGUUCACCCUUAGAGGAGCAGAAGAAAAUUCUAACUUUGGUGCCUAAUGCCUUUGACAAUCUUUCGACAAAGAGAGUUCACUAAUUACUUUGAUUAUUUCUCUGUUGGUCACUGGGGGACAAGACUUUUGUAAUGAAGUCAACUAGAACUUGCCCUUUGAGGGCCAUUCAUGGACGAUAUUACACCAUGAAUUCCCUUAGGUCAUGUUUGGUAUGUGAGAAUGAGGAGUGGAAUGGACAUCUUAUUCAUUUUUUCAUCUAUUCAAAUGUUGGGAUAACUCAAGUGACCAUGAGAAUGAAAUCAAGAAUGAUUCAAGGGAAAUGAAAUCUUACUUAUAAGUGUGAUUUCAAUUAAUCUCUAAUAGAAAUUAUUUUGAAUCAAUAGUGCAAGUUAUUUUUAAAAACAUUUUUCCAAAAUUAAAAAAAUCAAUUUUUUUUUUUUCGAUAAGUUGUUUUUAAAAGGAUUUUUUUUAUUUUGUAAAAAGAAAAUUGUAAUUCAAUUUAUAUAAUAUAAACUAAAUUUUAUUUUAUUCAAAAAGAAAUAAUUUUUUAAUUAUAAAUAAAUUAAAAAUAAAUACUUUUAAUAAAAUAUAAAUAGUAUUAUUAUAAUAAAAUCAUAAAUAAAUUUAAUUUUUUUUAUAAAUAUUAUAAAAAUAUGGAUAUUAACAUUGGAUAAUUGAUUUAUUUUGUUAAAAUAAAAAAUAAUAAUUUUUAAUAUUAUUUUAUGUUAAAUGAAUUUUAAAAUAAAGAAAGUUUAAUUAUUUUAAGGUAUAGAAGAGCCAAAUUUUGCAUUACAUACAUAACAAACAAUAUUUAUUAGAAACAUUUCUCAAGGAGAAUCUUAUUCCAUCUCACAAAGAUACUCGUUUAUUCGAUGUUUGACCAUCCGUAACAAUCAUGUCAAUUCUACUGAUUUAAUAAUUCCUUUACAUUUAUUACUCACUUAUGAACAUGGUAUUGUGAUUUAUUUAUUUAUUUGAUGUAUAAUUAAUUAAUCAAUUUUUUAAAUUUCAAAUUAUUUUUAAAAACUAUUCAUUAAGGAAUUUAAAGCAUUAAUUAUGUCUAUUAUUUUUUAUAGUCAUUAUAUAUAUAUUGAGUUUUAAUUUAUUUUUAAAAAUUAUUAAACUUAUUAAUAAAUUCAAUAUAAAGUCUCGUUUCAUUUGAAAUUCAUUUCUUUAGUGAAAAUUUUGAAAAAAAAAUUGUUAUUUAUUUUACUUUGUUUUAAAAAAAUUGUUUCUAGAGAACAAUAAUCAAAUAAUGGUAUGAAUUUUUAAAAACAAUUUUGUUUUUAAAUCAUAUGCCCAAAUAAUUUUUUUUUAUUUAGCAAAAAACUUUGUUGUAGUAUGUGGCUCAUAUUGAGGGAAAGACAUAUAUGGAGAAAAAUGUGCAAAUGUUGGAGUGGAGCGGAGUGGAAUGACGACAUUUGUCAUUCAAACUUGUAUUUUUAUUGUUAAGGGUGACCGAUAGGUUGGUACGGUUUAGGGGUAUUUUUGGAAUUUCAUUACCUGAGGGUUAGUAUAAAUACCAUUUUAUGUAACCCUAAUUUUACAUAUAAUGUAAGUUUUCUUCCUUGUUCUUGUGGACAUAGGCAAUCCGUCGAACCACGUUAAAUCUGUGUGUUUUUUUUUCUUUUUUCUUUUUCUCUAAUUUCUUCACCAGGAAUCGUUACACUAAGAUCAACAAACUCUCAAAGAUGAUUUUUAAAAUGAAAAAAAUAAUGUAUAGUGUGAGAAUUUUUUAUUUUUUAUUUUUUUAAAAUGAAAAUAAAAAAUUGCUUUAAGGUAAAAGUGUGGAUAUUAUUGUUAAUUUAUUUCAUUUUUCAUUUUCAUUUCCAUUGUUACCUACAAUUGAAAUGGAAACAACUAAUCAUUACAACCUUACAUUCUUAUAUGCAUCCAAAUACAAAAAUUGAAAUCACCAAAUUCAUAUUCAAGGCAAAAUAGGAAUGAAAACAAAUAUUCAUUCUCAUUCUUUAUUCCCACGUGUCAAACAUGACCUCAAAGUUAUAAACAUGAACAAGAAGUCCUUGAAACACCAAUGAUCUCUUCUGGUAUAUAUAUGAGCUUGAUUGACAACUGUUUUAAAUACAGUUUUUUUUUUUUUUGUUUUCAAAAUCAAAACAAAUUUAUUUUUAUUUUUUAUAAAUAGUAGUUUUUUAAUAUUUUUUUUAAACCUUAUUAUGAAAAUAGGAUGUUUUCUAAUAUCAUAUUUUAAUUAUUUUCAAUUAUUUUCCCUUCUUUUAAGGAGGGCUAUUUUAAAAAUAUGAAAAAUGAUACAAAAUAAAGCAUUACAAAUAAAAAUCAUUUUUAAGAAAUAUAUGAAAAUAAUUUGAGAACAUUUGAAGUUCCUUAAUUAAACUUUUGUUCUAGAAAAUGCAAGAAAACUGUUUUUGAAAAUUGUUUUCAUAAUGAUAUGCAUUGAUCGUUUAAAAUUUAAUUACAUGAUAAAAAGACCUAUGUAAAAACCAGAGUUAUAUAAUCAGUCAUAGAUCAAAUCUACUAAAUAUGAAAAGUAAGUACAUAGUUGUAUAUGACUUAGAUGGAGCCUUCUCCGAAUGACAUUCUUUAGUCGGUACUCAUAUUUUUUUGUUUCGUGUCUUCAACAUAACACCUCAUGAUCCUUAAUAAAUCACCUGAAAACUAUAUUAGCACCUUAUUGUUUAAUAUUUCUCUAAAUUUUUUUAUUAAGCAAAUAAAUUCCAAAUUUAAAAUGACAAAUAAAAUUUAUUAAUUUUUAAAAAUAAUUUAAAACUCAAAAACCAAUUUAAUUGAUAUUAAAAGUCAUGAAACUUAAUAAUAUUAGAAAGUCAUGUAUCCAAAUUUAUUUUAAAUGACUUGUUUAAUUUCUUGUUUAUAUAUAUUAUAUUUUUAUAAUUUUUUUUACUAUACAAAUAAAUUUUAAAUUAAACAAAACUUAAUGCGUUGAAUUCAUUAACGAGUCUAAUAAUUUUUAAAAGUUACUUAAAAUUUAAAUACUAAAUCAAUUAGUACCACAAAUUCAUGGAAAAAAAUUGAUUUAUUACUACUAUAUUGUUUCUCUAUUGCAUAGAACCAUUAUUUUUCAAUUUUUUCAUUUGGCAAAUGAACAUCAAAUUAAACAAGACUAAGUGUAUUAAAUUCAUUAAUGGGUCUAGUAAUUUUUUAAAAUAAUUUAAAAUUCAAAUAUUGAUACUCCAAAUUAAACAAGACUUAGGUGGUGUUUGUUUUUUGGUUGAAUAGAAAAAGGUAAAAUAUUUGACUUUUUCUAUUUAGUUAAAAGUAACUUGUUGACAUCGUCCAAUAUAAUUAAAGUAAACCUAUUGAGGGCAAGUUCACUUUAAUUAUGUUGGACGAUGUCAACAGGUUACUUUUAACUCAAUAGAAAAAAUCAAAUAUUUUGACUUUUUUUUUAACUCAAAUAAUAAAUCCAUUAAUACAAAAAAAUUAUGGAUAAUUUGAAACUUUCUUUCUUUUUUUUUUUUUUUUUGCUACACAUAGCUAUAUUUUUAUAAAUUUUAUCAUUAGAGAAAUGGAUUUCAAAUCAAGUGAAACUUUGUAUUGAAUUAAUGGAUUUAACAUUUUUUAAAAAUAAUUUGGAACUAAAAAAAAAAGAUUUAAUUACUAAGAAAAUCAUAGAUCAAAACUAAUAUAUUCUGAUCCAUGAUUUUAUUAUUUUUCCUAUACAUACAAUUAUAUUUUUAUAAUUUUCUCACUAGGUAAAGAUAUUAUAAAUUAAGUGACACAUAAUUAAUAAUUUAAAUUUUUGAAUGAAUCUUUUAAUUUUAGGAAUAAUUUGAAAUUUAAAAAGUUGAUCCAAUUAAUUGUAAAUUAACUUAAAAUAUUAUAAAAUAUUAUGUUCAUAAUUAAGUACUAAAUGUAUAUAUGUAAUGAAAACUUAACUAGUUACAUGUUACAAAAGCCAAAAUUUAUUCAUUCUUUAUUUUAAAUAAAAUAUUAUUAAUAAUUAUUUUUUUUAAAAUAAUAUUUAGUAAUUAUUGUUUUUAAAUUAUUAUUAUUAAUUUUUAAUAAAAAAAUUGCAAAGUUAUUAAUAUCAUUAUAUUUCUAACAUAAAUUUAAAUAGUAUAUUUUUUAAUAUAUAUAUAUAUAUAUAUAUAUAUAUAUAUAUAUAUAUAUAUAUAUAUAUAUAAUUUAUGAUUUCAUUAUAAUAUUUUUAUUCAUGAUUGACGAAAAAUUAUUUAUUGUUUAAUUUAUUUGAAUUGCAAAACUAUUUUUCAAAAUUCAAGCGAGAAAAUAGGCCUGGAUUUGAAUUUCCUGUAGAAGAGAAGGAUGUGGAGAAUAUGUUGGGAGUAUUUGUGGAUAAAGAAAAGGCCAGGGUACUGAGAAAGGAGAGAGAACUUGCUCUUGCCAAAAGAGCCCUGCACAGGUAUUCUACUGAUUCUAAUUAUCGGUUCUUACAUGAUCAGAUUUCAGAUUUAUUUGCUGAGCUUCUGAAAUCUGAUACAGUAUUUAAACUCCGGUGAGCUUUACAAGAUUAGUCUCGCAUCCAAUUCCAAAUGGUGUCCCACAAUUGAUUCUUCUUAUGAUAAAUCCACCUUGAUAUGUGAAAAUAUUGCUCGAAAGGUUUAUCCUCGCGAGGAAUAUCCAGAAUACUAAGGAAUUGAGGAGGCUCACUAUGUUUAUAGAGUCAGGGAUAGGUUGAGAAAACAAGUAGUUGUUCCAUUACAUAAGGCCCUGGAGUUGCCAGAGGUUUUCAUGUGUUCGAACAAGUGGGGAUCACUUCCCUACAACCCUGUGGCUUCAGUGGCCAUGAAAUCAUACAAGAGCCUCUUCUCAAACCAUGAUACAGAGCGGUUUGGUGAGUAUCUUGAGAAAGUGCAAACUGGGAAGGCUAAGAUUGCAGCUGGUGCAUUACUUCCCCAUGAGAUUAUAGCUUCAUUGAAUGAGGAGGAUGCCGAGAGAGUUGCCGAGCUUCAGUGGGCAAGAAUGCUGGAAGAUUGAUCAAAGAAAGGGAGGCUCACAAAUUGCAUUGCAGUAUGUGACGUAUCAGGAAGUAUGAGUGGAACUCCAAUUGAGGUGUGUGUGGCUCUGGGGCAGUUAGUUUCAGAGCUCAGUGAAGAUCCAUGGAAAUUAAGGUAAUGUAAUUACUUUCAGUGCAAAUCCUGAGCUUCACAAGAUCCAAGGAGACAGCCUUGUAUCCAAGACUGAAUUUGUGAGGAUGAUGGAAUGGGGUGCCAACACUGACUUUCAGAAAGUUUUGACAGAAUCUUACAAGUAGCAGUGGAGGGAAAUAUGAGUGAAGAUCAAAUGAUAAAGAGGGUUUUCGUUUUCAGUGAUAUGGAGUUCGAUGAAGCUUGUGGGAGGUAUAACUAUUGUGACUAUGACUAUGAUAUGGAGGAAAUUGACGAGAGUCAGAAGGCAUCUCAGAAGUGGGAGACAGAUUAUGAAGUGAUACAGAGGAAAUUCCAGGAGAAAGGAUACAGAAAAGUUCCAGAGAUAGUGUUUUGGAACCUUAGAAACUCAUCAGCGACUCCAGUGACGGCCACAGAGAACGGGGUGGCCUUAGUAAGCGGGUUUUCAAAGAAUCUGUUGACCUUGUUUUUGGAAGGAGGUGGAAUUCUGAUCCCUCAGGAUGUGAUGGAAUUCGCCAUCUCUGAUGAAGAUUACAAGAAACUUGUUCUAUUUGAUUAAGAUAUCAAGAGAUUUAUCAAUAAUAAUAUAUUUUUUUUCUAUGUGAAAUACAUAUAAUAUUAACUGUGGAGUUAUCAAAGUUCUGGAGGUUUAAUUAUUUCUUCUUUUCAAGUUUUGUUUAUUUAAGGUUUUCUUUGUCUUUGUUAGGAAUUCCCCUUGGGUGGACCCAGCUGGGGAGUUGGAUUGAGGAAGUAAGCAGGCGAACUUGUGUUCUUCUAUGGACAGAGAAAAAAAAUAAAAUAAAAAAAUAAAAAAGGAGGUUAUUUGCAUUUGGAUGUCGUGGUUUGAGGGUACAACUACAAGCUCGAAAUUGUACAUAAUGUGAAAACUCCUGUGUCCAUUGCUGAGAACAGCAUAAAUGAUGGUGAUUUUCAAGUUGUGCCUGGUAUUCUACAGGAUGAAACAAGAAAGGAUCCAGGUGGUAUAUUGAACAAUAUCCCAAUCAUGUUGGUGGCAUCUUUAUUUAGUUAAUGGUAUUCAUUUGGUGGAAGCUGGUUGUUUAUGAUGUUUUUAAUUUUUUUUAACAUGAAGUUCGAUCAAAUACGUAUCUUAGUAUGUUUUGUUUGAGCUAAUUGGCAAAUGCGCUUUAAACAUGGUCACAUGGAUGCAGUUUUAUUUGUGAAAUGAUAAUAGUCGAUUACUUGGUCAGUAAGGUUUAUAUCUCUAACUUCAACAUCUUAUUGUAGUCUUUUAAAAUGUCAAAAGUUUAAUGCUUGAGAAAUUUUGGAAUGGAGACAUUCUAAACAAAGUUAAUAAUCCACAAGACUUGGUAAAACCGAUCAGAUGAUGCUUACGUACAUCAAUGCCUUCUUUAAGCCAUAUCCUAUUUUCAUUGAACGGGAUGUGCCAUCUAGUUUGGUUCUUUAAGCCUCCAAAUCCUAAACCUAGUCUCAAUUUAGAGCAAAUUUAGGGUGCAGGGCCUGCAUGCCUCCCCCUCCCCCUUCCACAAAUAGUAGUGACCUUGCUAUGCCUAUGCAUUGUCAAUGCCUCAUUUUCUAUGGUCUCCAAUGUAAUAUCUUAGUUUCAAUGUCUCUUUCCUUACUAUCUCCAAUGCAAUAGAUUGAUUUCAAUACCUCUUUACAACUAAGACCUCCAAAUUUUCUUGGUUCAAACCUACCAGAAUUUUUCUUCUCCUUUGCUUUCUAUCAAUAUUAGUUCCCCUAAUUUAAUAUAUACUUCUUUAUUACCUUCAACUCUACCUCUCUUUCUUUCUCUAAAAGCUUCCUCAAAGAUUUAAUUGCUUUCUUGCAUGUUUUAAGAAAACAAACAUGCUCAUAUUACAUUACCUCUACUUGAGAUCUACCUUAUACUCUACCUUCUUUCUUUACCUCCUAUAUCAUCUACUACAUUAGCUUCAAAAAUAUUAUUUAGUUUGAUACUAAAUAAGGCUCCUAAUCCUACUCUUCCUUCAACAAACUUUCUUUUUACAAGUUCCUUAAACUUUAUUUUUUAUUUUUUAUUUUUUGGAAAUUCGGGUUAGAAAGAUUCCAUUACUCUUACCUAAUAUUUCAACCAUCAAGUUGAAUCCACUUAUUGCCUAAAUCCAAGGAGUCUGCCCUCCACAAAAACAAGGAAAUUGAUCCCACAAUAACAAGGAGAUUGCCUUCCACAGAAACAAAGAGAUCUCCCUUCACAGAAGCCGAAUACAUUGCAAUCUAUUUUCUUUCUUGUAAGAUCAAAUCUUCAAUCGAGCUCCAUCUUAUGGGGGCAUAUUAGAGAAAUUUAAUAUUAUCCUUAAUUUACAUAUUAAUAUUUAUCUAUUUAUUAUAUAUUGAAUUAAAAUAGAAUAUAGAAUUUGAAUCAUAGUAGAAGUUUACUAUAAGAUUGAAUUACAAUAGUUAAUAGAGUUUAAAUUAUAAUAACUCAAAUACAUUUAUAUAUAUUUGACCUUACGAGAUUUUCUAUUUAUGUAUUUGAACUACAAUCCUUAUGAUCCUUAGGUCUCUAUACCUUCGUGAUGGGCUCCUUGACAUUUCAUAGGUUGUGCUACACAUGCAUUUGAAAUUUAGAGUGCAUUUGACAGUGAUUCUGGGAAGUGUUUUUGGCAUUUCUAACACUUAAAAUUUUUUAUUUUUCAAGUAUUAGAAAUGCUACAAACACUUUUGAAAAUUACUGUCAAACACACUCUUAGGAGCGCAUAUAGUAGAAAACUAGAAAUUGUGGUUUUUUUAGGAUUUACUGUAAUGUCAUUAGGAGGGUAGUAAGUUGAAACUGAGUAUGAAUAAAUAUUUCUUUCUUUGGGAUGUUCUUCUGGUAGGUGCUGAUGAAACUGUUCUUUUUACUGCCAAUGUCACAUAUCAGCCAGAAAUUGAAAAUUUCAGUCAAGGUGUCCUCGGUUUUAGUGGUGAGGAAAGCUAGAAAUUUUAAGGUGAAGUUCUGUUAAAAACCUUAAGUAGCUGGGAUAUCAGGCCUGUUUUGCUUGAAAAAAAAAGUUGCAAGAUAACUCAUAUGCCAAACAGGUUCUGAUAUUGUGAAUCUAUCGGCAGACAUCAGUAAUCUCAUCUUCUGAGAUGGAUGUUGGGGGUGCAUGUGGUGGUGGAGGGGCAAGGUUUCAUUUGGUUUAUUUUGUUGAUGGAUAUUGUCUAGCCCCCUGCGCCAAGUUUGAGGGGUGGUGGGUUGUGAUGGCCCUACAAUUACUAUUAAUUUCUUCCUCUUUUACCGAUUAAAGUGUCCGAACAGUCGAAGUUACCCUUAUGCAUGUCAACUUGAUCACUUACCUCUUCAAUGGAGUUUAUGCUGGUUCAUUUAGGAACUGAUUUUUAUUGUUAUGCAUUCUAUGCUGAUGUUUAGGCCUCUCCAUCAUCACUAUAUACAAAAAUUCUAGGUUGAUACUAUAGGUUGAGAUUUAUUUUUUAAAUAAAAAAUAAUAAAAAUAAAAAUUAUGGUGAUGUUUAGUUGUUUUAUGGAAAAUUUUAACAAGUUAUUUUUGGGCAAGUUUUCAAACAAAAAGAAAAGUAAAAGUUGUUUUGACAAAAACAUAUAGAAAAAAAAAAUCAUAGAAAAGAAAUAAUUUCCCCAUAUUCUAACUUUUUUUAAUUUUUCUCAAUGGGCAAAGGAAUAUCAAAUCAAGUUUGAGUAGGAUUUCUUAAUUUUUAAAAUAACUUACAAUUAAAAAAUUUUGGUGUUUUCAUUUUUGGACAAUUUUUUAUUAAGCAAAUGGACUCUGAGUCAUGCAAGAGAUAUGGUUGAUUAAUGGGUCAAACAAUUUUUUUAAAAUAAUUUAAAACUCAAAUACAUAAUCAAUGUCACAAAAUUUAUAAACAAAAAUAGGUUUAGAGAAGAUCUACACAUAAUUUUACUUUUCUAAUUUUAUUUUAUUUUAUUUUUUUGUUGGAAAAUAGUCUUCAAAUCAUGUAAGAUUUAAUAGGUUAAAUUUGUUAACAAUAAAUUUUAAAUUAUAAAAUAUAAUCUGGAACUUAAAAAUCAAUUCAAGUAAUGCUAAAAAAAAUCAAAUUUGGUAUAGAAUGACUACGUAAAAUUUUUUACAAAACAAAUGAAUUUUAAAUCAAGUGAGAUUUAAUGCAUUAGAUUUUUAUCAAAUAUAGUAAUUUUAAAAUUUAAUUUGGAACUCAACAAUAGACACAAUAAAUACCAAAAAAUAAUGAACCAAAAUUGGUUUGGAAUAACUCCACAACCUCUUUUUUUUUUUUUUGGUGCACACGAAUUUUCUUACUAGGUAUAUUGCUUUCAAAUUGAGAAAGAUUUACUAUUUAGAUUUUUUUUUUUAAUGAGUUUAAUGGUAUUUUAAAAUAAUUCAAAAUUUCAAAAAUUGACUAAUUACUAUUAUAAAUUCAUAAACCAAGACUAAUUCAAAAUGCAUUGGGGGCUAAGGGGGUUGAAAAUAGGGACAAUGGGAUGGGUUUGGGACAUGACACUCAUAUCUCAUUUCCAUUCCAAUUACAUAGUUAUCUCCCAUCCUUAUCCCAAACUUGUGUUGGAGCAAGUUGAUUUGUUCCCAUCUUUGUUGAUGAAAUGACUAAUAACCUCAUCCCCUCCUUAUCUUAGAUGUACAUUUUGUCAAAUUUGAUCAGGUAUGAUUGAUCCAAGCCCUAACCCUAAUUGGUAAUGACUGGAUACUACACCUAAUUGCAUUCUUCUUUCGUCGCAAAAUAAUGAGAUUAUAAUAAUCUAGCAAAUAAGAAAAAAUAGUAUGGAAGUUCAAUUUAACACCAUAACUAUCAAUAAUUUUAAGCUUAUAGAUGACUUAAAUGAUUAAAAACUAAUGCAAAAUACCAAAAAAAAAAGUUCAUAUAAAGAAUUCACAAGAGAACAAAAUGAACAAAAACCAAAUAUGAACAUGGGUCAACAUUAGUUAUGGAUUUGGAUUCCUUUCAAGGCCAAUCUUUGAACCAAGACUUCAUCAAAUCUACUACUUCAAAGGCUUUUGUGUUCUUCUUGGGUUGUGCUCUCAAACAAAGACUUCAAGGUGAUGCUCUAGAUGAUUGCAUUACACAUAUUUAGGGUGGAGAGAUUGGAGAAGCUUGAAGAUGCCAACGAUGGGUACAAUUGAGUGGUCAAUAAGAACAAUGUAGCCUAUGACUAGUUUGAUGUCGUGGUACAAGAGUUUUAGGCAUUGAGGUUAAAGCAAGAGCAACAUGGAAUUGAUUUUGGAGUCUUUCAAUUAGUGUAAAGGAGGAAGAAGUGGUAUUGAUUCUAGAAAUAGGGUUUUAGGUGGUGCGUUAGAGGAUGAAGAAGAAGAAAAAGAAGGAUCUGUUGGAAUUAGUGUGAGUGUGAAGAGAGAAGUAUAUAAAUAAGGGGAAGUAAAAGCAAAGUUCUAAAAGCUAUAUUUUUUUUUAUUGUUGGUGUAUGGUUGCAUGAUUAUCCCUAUAAAUAAUAGGAGUUUUUUUGGUAUUCUACUAGUAGUUGAAGGAUAAUUUCAUAAAUUUAUAUUUAGAGUGGGGUGGGGUGAGUUGUGACAAAAUUCAUACCCGUCCUAAACCUUGGUUCAGAUUUUUAAAAUAUCCUCAAACUUAUCAUAUACCCAACUUUUAUAUUUCAUACUUGUCUUGAUAGAGGCAGGUUAGGCCGGGUUACUUGAGUAACCUACAUAAUUGUCAUCCCUAGUUGAAAUACACUUUUUUGGCAGUGGCCACCAACUGAGCUAGAAGCUUGAUCGAUUGACCUACAAGAUUAGUUCUCAUCAUUUUAAAAAAAGUUUUGGCCUUGGUUGUGAGUGCAAUUGAAUCUAAACUGGCAUUUCCUUAAUGCAUCUACUUCAAUCCUAAAUUUCUUACUUCCUAAGCCUCAAUUGUUGUUAGGAUUUUGGAAAGCCCAUUUCCUUAAAUUGUAAAUUUAAGAAAAAAUAAAAUAAAAGUGAGACAUUUCUUGAUUGAAUAUUGUUAAAGGUCCCUUGGCAUUAAGACUUGGUUGAAGCCUUGGAAGAUUAGUGGAACUCUCAACUUGUGUUUGAAUCUUGAGGAGAGUGGACGUAAGCCAAAAUUUUGUCAAACCAUUAAACAAAUUGAGUUUGAAUCCUCAUUUCUUGAUUUCUUAUUUAUUUGCUUUUUCUUAUUAUUACUUGAAUUGUCAUUUGCAUUCAUUAAUGUUAAAAUUGGUUAUAAUUAACCAACACUAAUUCUCUUUCCCCUUCCCUUUCUUGGGUGUAAACCUAGGUUGGAUUAACUAGAUUAAUUUAUAAAAUCUAUUAAGAUGGUAAAAGAAUAAUUAUUCUUAACACACAUAAGAUCAUCUUCAAUCAAAUGACUCAUUGGCUAAUAUGUUGAAUUUGCUUAUUACUUGCAACUCAAAAUUGUGUUCUAGUUGAUAUGUCAAGUCCCCAGUGUAUGGACAUUAAAUUUGUAGUACGUGAUGGUAAUUAGAUGGUCCAACUCCAAGAAAGUGAUUGAAAACUAGUUCAAGAAAGGUGCAAAAGGGAAUUGUUUUGGUAUUUUCGUUUUUAUUCUUGAAGGUGGCAGAGCUAAAAUUUGUGAAAUCAAGCAAAACAUACUGAAAUUACAUUGAAAGAAAGAAAAUGGGAGUUAAUGUCUUGCAGUAGAUGAUAAGGACUUCAUGCAUGUAGUAUGACCCAUGUCUUGGACUGAUGCCAACUCACGGUUACACUUAUACCCUUGGUUCUCUCUUUACUACCUUGGCUAACCUAGAUCAGGCUAUGAGAUAGGCUCCUCACCACACCAUUACUUGCCCAUUAAUUAGAGACAUUUUCAAGCACUGAGGUAACAUGGUGACACCAAGAGGGUUUAUUCCUCGCCCUCCUCGCCCUCAACAAGUCUAGACUUGGUCUCAAAAAAAUGGAGAAAAAUGAGGUGUCGUUAUGUAGAAAUACAACAACCAUGCCUUCCUCAUUACUUUGAUUCAGAAUGUGAAGGUGAAAUUGAGAAACAGAAACUCUUGAAACCAAAAUGAAAAUUGAUACUUUUACGAAGAAUUACAACAACAUUGGAGGAAGACUACAUUCUUCCUCUUUAUUCCUACAUUUCUACACUACUUCUACUCCACUCCAUAUUUCUACAUACAUCUUUAAUCAGUCUUCCCUCCUUUAUAUAGAGCCAUCUUCACACAAAUUCCGCAAGGUAGAAAAGAGGAAUGAAACUUGGAGCAAGGUUCGACUACUGGCUGUAGCUUGUCAAGGCUGGAAGUGAACCUUUUUUCUUGGCUUUUCUGGGCAUGGGUAGUAACUUGUGGGUUCCUUUUUGGGAUACAAAUGGCUAGAACAUGUGGCACUAUCUUGUUGGAUGAUGUGUCAAGCAUGUGGCAGCCAUCUAGUGGCGAUUAUGUCAAUUUUGGGAUGGAGAGUUGGCAUCCAAUUGCAAAGAAAUAUGACGUCUACCAACAGGCAAUGUAAACCUAUGUAGAUCAUAUGAAGAUAGAGAGGAAAAAUAUAGAAAUGGAUAUAUACCUAGAACUAGCUUUUUAUUAAAUGAAACGGAGAGCCAACAAUGAAGGAAAAUAAAUUUUUUUGGCUUAUAUCAAAGAGUUCACAUUGUGCUACCCUAGGUUUUCUUAAAACUUACUUUUAUGAUAACAAAAAAAAAAAAAAACAUUAUUGUUUAAUCCUUUGUUUUAAACGCAUGUUUAGCAAGUUAUAAAAUGUAAAAAUCUUUCUAAGUUCAAAUAUGAAGAUAUGACAUCAUUUCAAGCAAGAUAGUCUCUAGGAAUUAAUGUAAAGCUAAAUUAAGGUGAAAUUAAAUUAGUUCAAUGCAUUAAUUUAAGAAACUUGACCUAUCAAAAGUACAAAAUUAGAUGAAAUCCAUUUCAAUGGUUAAAAUGAUCAAAAUCAAACUUUUUCUAAGUAUUUUUUAAAAGUAUCAAUAUUGAAAGACAAUUUUAUAUUUAGUCAGAGUUUGGACAAAACCAAAAAGCACACAAAAUCCAAGCGACCAUCUCUAGCUUGGAUGGUCGCUUGAUCUCUAGCUUGUGUACUUGGAAAGCAACAUCGAGAUGAUAUAUAUAUAUAUAUAUAUUUUAUAUAAUAUUGUUUGUCCAAAUUCCCUAAAAAUUAGGCCACCACAUGUUCAUAAUUCUCCCUUCUUGAAUUUGAAAACUCGGACAAUUGGACAAUGCGACACCUAAGUCCGGUUUCUAAAUGCUAAAGUGAAAGGGUAGGUAUGGACCAUUGAAAUGUGAUCACAACUUUUCUCUGUAGCCAUGUUGUCUCUUUUUUCUUUUGCAUGAUUUUCUCACCUUAACAGAAUCAUAGACUUGUUUAAUCUCUAAAUGGGAUUAAUUUCAUCCAGCUUUAAGCUACUAUAUUAUAUCUAGGUGGAGGACUUUUAAGAGUGCAACCGACAUAGAGCACAUGCAAGUGGGUAUAUGGGACAUGAAAUUUCUUCUUAUAAAGAUUGCAUGAUUUUUAUAUUAGAGUUGUUGGGGCGCAAUGUAUGUAGCUUGUUUUGCAGUUAAAUUAAUUGGAUAAGUAGACAUUGGCGUUUCUAAAUCUACUGUGAAGUGCUUCAUGUACGUGUGAAGUAUUAGAAAUUUCUUUCUUGGCAACUUGUUUUUUCUUUGCGGUCUACUGAUAGGUUUGACUAAAAUUAUAUUCCCUGUCAUGCUAAUUAAUUUUCACGUGCAUGCUCAAAAGAAGAGUAUGACCUUAGUGCACCAAAAUCACUUUGAUUAAUUUGUGAUAGGUUUUUGUGCAUCAUGACAUUAGCCUUAUUCAUUUAGAUAAUGUUUAGUUUUUAGAAAGUAUUAAGAAAAGGAAAAUAAAUAUUAAGAAAAAUAUUCUUAUAUUUGAUUGUAUUAUGAAAAAUGUCAUAAAAAAAUCAAAUAUAAUUUAAAUUAAUUAAUAAUUUAUACAUUUUCAAAUUAUUUAAUCUUUAUAUUGAAGAUAUAAUAUAAAUGAAAUGAGUUUUAAGUAUUAUAUAAAAGUGAUUUAUUGAUCUUGCAUAUAUGUAUUUCUUUUUUUUUUCUUCUAUUUUUUUUCUUUAUUUUAUUUUCCUUAUGUUUUCCUCAACAUUUUCCGGAACCAAACAUAGCCUUAGGAAAUCCACAAUUACCUUCAACUGAGUAUAUUCGGUUGUUUUAGCAAUGUUAGGCUGCUAACUUGUGUUGGUACGAACCUGUUAAGCCUAAAGAUGUAAUUAGUUAGGAUAUUCUUUUCCCUCUAGUCUUGUAGCUCCACGUGUAUAGUUGGUUAGGACCUCAUUGUAUAUAAUGCCUGCCCUGUUAUUGUUGAAGACAACAGAGAUAAAUAAUAUUAACAUUUUUCCUCUCAUCUCUCUUUGUUUCCCUCUGUUUUCAUCUCCUCUCUCAUCUUGGUAUCAGAGCCUCCAUGGAUUCUUUCAAAGAAACCUCCGAAUCACCUUCUGCUAGCAUUGUUAAUGUGCAAAACCCAUUAUCUCAGUCAAACAACCUUCCUUCACCAGCAGCCACACCCUCUUUUUCUUUCUUGUCUAUGAAUCAACCUCUCACAGUGAAGCUGGAUAAUGGAAACUACCUCAUCUGGAAGAAUUAGCUUCUGAAUGUCAUCAUUGCGAACAGACUCGAUGAUUUCAUUUAUGGAACUCGACCCUGCCCUCCUUGAUUUCUCAAUCUGCAACAACAAACCCUCACUCCAGAGUACUCGGUCUAGCAGAGAUACAAUCGACUUCUAAUGAGUUGGCUGUACGCAUCCUUGUCCGAAGAUAUAAUGACUCAGAUUGUUGGGUAUUCAACAACUGUGGAGAUUUGGAACGUCCUUAAUCAGAUUUACUCUGCCUCUUCAAUGGCGUGGGUUACCGAGCUUCACACCAAGCUUCAAACGCUCAAGAAAGAUGGACUCUCAGUUGGUGAAUAUAUUCAAAGGCUCAAAUCCAUUUGCAAUAGUCUUGCAGCAAUAGGAGAACUAGUUUCUGAGAAAGACCAGCUUAUCUAUUUGUUCAAUGGAUUAUAUUGUGAGUAUAAUUCUUUUGUUACCUCCAUUCAAAAUCGAUCUGACCAACCAACUAUUGAGCAAAUCCAUAGCCUAUUGCUUAGCUAUGACUUUCGGCUUGAACAACAAAACUCUGUUUCUCUCCAUUAUGCCCAAGUCCGUAUGGCUCAUCUGAACAAGAAACCUUAUAAAUCAACUCCUCAACCUACAUUCAAUCAUAUUCACAUUCAACCUAGAUACUCUUCUCCACCUUUUAAGCCAACCACUAGUCAAUAUCAACCCAGGAUUUUGGGCAAACCACAACCACAACCAUGACAGCCUCAACCUCAAUGGAAACCACAUUUUUCAAUCCAGAAUCAAAAGCCUCAGUGCCAAAUUUGUGGUAAAUUUGGACACACUGCUCUUAUUUGCUUCCAUUGCACAAAUUUGAACUAUUCACCCCAACCUUCUCCUAAAUCUUUCAAUACUGUUCUCACCACAAAUUCCCAGCUCCCUAAUCCUCCAAAAUUUUCUUACCCUACAAUGGCUCAUCCUGCUGCUACGCAUAACACGAUUCCUGAUACAAAUUGGUACAUGGACUCAGGUGCUACACAUCACUUUACUCCGGACAUCAACAUGCUUGACACUGUGACACCAUUUAGUGGUUUAGAACAGGUGACAGUUGGGAAUGGUAAGCAACUCUGUAUCUCACAUCUUGGUACUGCAAAACUACCAUCCUCGUAUUCUCCUCUUGUUCUACAUCAGGUAUAUCACACUCCAAAAAUUUCAAAUAAUCUUAUUAGUGUUAGAAAAUUGUGUUCUGAUAAUAAAGUUUUUGUUGAAUUUUAUGCCACUCAUUUUCUUAUCAAAGAUCAAGUUUCGAAGAGAGUUCUCUUUCAAGGUCAACUUGAUAAUGGCUUAUACAAAGUUCAGUCGUCAUGCUCUCCUUCUACUAUUUCCUUUCAUCCUCAAGUUUUCAUAGCCAACAUCAAGGAUCAAAAUUUGUGGCACAAGAGACUAGGCCACCCAGCUUUAUCUGUUAUUAAUCAAAUCUUGGAUUCUUGUAACAUUGCUCGAACACAGAAAAUUGGUUUUAAUUUUUGUAGUUCUUGUCAAUUAGCAAAAAGCCACAGGCUUCCUUUUUCUCUGUCUCCAUCCAUUGCAGAAAAACCUUUUGAGUUAAUUCAUACAGACCUAUGGGGUCUUUCUCCUGUUCGCUCUAUUUCUGGUGCUCGUUAUUUUUUACUUUUCAUUGAUGAUCAUACUCGUUUUACUUGGUUUUAUUUGCUCAAAACAAAAGAUGAAGCAUAUCCUACUUUUCUCAAGUUUCAAGCUCUCAUUGAAAAUCAAUUUAAUACCAAGAUUAAGGUUGUCCAAUCUGAUUGGGGAGGUGAGUUUCGAUCUCUCUCCAUACUGUUUUCAAAUAUGGGCAUUGUCUAUCGUUUAUCAUGUCCAUACACCUCACAACAGAAUGAGUGGGUUGAGCGAAAAAAUCACCAUGCGGUUGAAAUGGGAUUGUCCUUUCUUGCUCGCUCGGGUAUGCCCUUAUCUUAUUGGCCUUAUGCCUUUCAAACUGCCACUUACCUUAUUAAUCGUCUCUCUACCCCUGUGCUGCACCAUCAAUCCCCUUACUUCGCACUCUAUCACAAAUUCCCAGCUUAUACUCAUCUUAAGGUCUUUGUUCCUCUUGUUUUCCAUAUUUACGCCCUUAUAAUACCCAUAAACUCCAAUACAGGUCACUGGAGUGUGCUUUUCUUGGUUGCAGUUCACACCACAAAGGUUAUCUAUGUCUUGACAUUCAUUCUAGCAGGGUGUAUAUUUCUCGCCAUGUGAUUUUUAAUGAAGAUUCUUUUACAUUCAAGAAUUUGAAAUCUUCUCUCUCUUAGUCUAUUUCUUCUUCCUCUUCUUUAUUAGUUCCUCUGUUCAUUUCCUUGCCUCCCCUCUCCCCAUAUCCUCCUAUUUCUCCAUCUAUAUCUCAUUCUUUUCUCUCUUCUUCUUCUACCUCUAGUACUUGUUCCCCUCUCGUUGCUCCUACCUCUCUUCCUCCCUCUUCACACUUUGUGUCCCAUCUAUUCCACCUCCUUCUCCACCUUCUUCGAGUGUGGACCUGCUUGUACCUUGUGUGAAUACAAAUUUACUUACUUUUUCUCGCACUCACAAUAUUCAUCCUAUGGUGACCAGAUCUAAGGGUUUGUAUCUAUAAACCUAAGUUGCUAUUGAGUGUCUCCAUAGGUUCUCUCACUAAGCCUACUUCCUUUCUUCAAGCUAUUAAAGAUCCUUCAUGGAAGCAAGCCAUGGAAUUGGAGUUUGCUGCCCUUCAACACAACAAGACCUGGCAUCUAGUUCAUUCACCUUCCUCAGGCAAAGUAAUUGGUUGUAAAUGGGUCUAUAAGAUAAAGCUUUAGCCUGAUGGCUAAUUGAGAGAUACAAGGCCCGCUUAGUAGCUUAGGGUUAUCAUCAAACUGAAGGUAUUGACUACUUCGAAACAUUCAGCCUGGUUGUCAAGCCUUCUACUACCGUAUUGUGCUCAGUCUUACUUUUUCCCAGAAUUGGUGUAUUAGACAGCUGGAUGUUCAUAAUGCCUUCUUACAUGGUGACUUAGCUGAAGACGUUUUCAUGGAACAACCACCUGGAUUUGUUGAUCCUCUCUAUCCUACUCAUGUCUGCAAGUUGGAUAAGUCUCUCUACGGUCUUAAUAGUCACCUCGGGCUUGGUAUACUAAGCUGAGUACUUCUCUACUACACUUGGGAUUUGUUACUUCUAAGAAUGACUCUUCCUUAUUUAUUUGUCAUUCGUCUCAUGGGUUACUUCUUGUUCUUGUCUAUGUGGAUGAUAUAAUCGUCACUGGGAGCCACUCUCCUCAAGUUACUCACCUUAUCCAAUAGUUGCAUCAUCAGUUUUCUUUAAAGGAUCUUGGUCAUUUACACUAUUUUCUGGGCUUGGAGGUUCAUCACACCCCUACUGGUAUUCACCUCAGCCAAGCAAAGUAUAUCACUGAUCUCCUUACCCGGGCGGCUAUGUUGGAUGCCAAGCCAUGUCCCACUCCUAUGUCCUCCAACACAUAUCUUUCUCUUCAUGAUGGAGUGGCUCUUGAAAAUGGUUCAGAUUAUUGAAGUUUUGUUGGUGCCCUUUAGUAUUGUACCAUGACACGCCCAGAUAUAGCUUUUGCAGUAAAUAAAGUGUGUCAAUUCAUGCACCAUCCCUCUGAUGUUCACUGGCAGGCUAUAAAACGUAUUCUCCAGUACUUAAAGGGCACAUCUCAUUUUGGUCUCUUCCUACAGCCUUCCUAUGACUUCAACAUCACUUGCUAUACAGAUGCCGACUGGGCUUCCUGCCUUGAUGACAAGUGUAGCACCAGUGGCUACUGCCUCUUUCUUGCCUCUAAUCUGGUUUCUUGGUCAUCUUCCAAACAAAAAGUGGUCUCCCGCUCCAGCGCCAAAUCAGAGUACCGAGGGGUAGCAAAUGGGGCUGCUGAAAUUGCUUGGACUGAAUCUCUUCUUUGUGAACUUUCCACCCACUCGACCUCCCCUCAUUGUCUGUGACAAUAUCAGUGCCACAUACUUAGCUGUCAAUCCUAUUUUGCAUGCCCGCACCAAAACAUGUGGAAAUCGACUAUCACUUUGUCUCGGAACGUGUUCUUCAACGCUCUCUCUCUCUCCAGUUUACACCUUCGGAUGAUCAACUUGCUGAUUGCAUGACCAAGCCUCUCUCCACCCAACGUUUCAUCACUCUACGCUCCAAGCUCACUGUUCUCACUAGACCAAUGAGCUUGAGGGGGGAUGUUAAGCCUAAAGAUGUAAUUAGUUAGGAUAUUCUUUUCCCUCUAGUCUUGUAGCUCCACGUGUACAGUUGGUUAGGACCUCAUUGUAUAUAAUGCCUGCCCUGUUAUUGUAGAAGACAACAGAGAUAAAUAAUAUUAACAUUUUUCCUCUCAUCUCUCUCUCUGUUUCCCUCUGUUUUCAUCUCCUCUCUCAUCUGAACCAAAUGAUCCAUGUUAACCUUGGCUUGGUUUGAUUUGGCUCUAUCUUAGAGAGCUCAAGGAUCACGUCAACUCUGGUUUCUACUAUUCAGGUCCAUUCCCAUAUGAACUGGUUCAAAUUUGAGAAAAUGGUAACAGACCUUUAGUGAUGUUGGUUUGGAGCCAGUUGCCAAACCCGCCCUGAGCUUUACCACUAAUGUCAAGGGAGAAAGCCUUUUGAACAAAAACAAUAGCUUCAAGAGACUGAAUCGUGGAUGAAAUCUGAUCCACAUUUCUUCUCAUUUUGGAAACAAAUGAGAACUUAACUAAGAAGAUUCUACGGCCUCAUAGUGCUUUUCCUGAUCUAAGGUUGGUUCGUUUCCCAAAUUGUGAGAUGCACGGGCCAGACUUCAGAACUCUCACGCUCAGGAGUGUAUCCACGUGGUGGACAUAAGAUGGUGGCUUAAGAUCUGGUGUCGGUGGCUUUACUUUACUAGGAGAGUAGUGUGUCUUCAUCUCAUUCACUGCCGGAGGGUGGCGUAAGCAGUGACGCUAAGGUGGGGCAUAGUCAAUAUCAUUUGCAUUUGACCAUUAUAGUUUUCUCCCGGCUUGAAAGUAACCUUAUCGUGAUAAAGGAUUACUAGCACUAGUUCAGAUGACAGUCAUGUUAAAUUCGGACCAUGUUUGUGUCACAUUAUCAGCAACCAUGUGUUUAUGGUUCAUGCUUUCUGCAACUGAAAUUGAAAUUGAUAUAUAACCAGGUGAACUUCAAUCUAAAUUCUGGAAGUACUCAUGUGAGCGAUGGUGCCCAUCUGCAGAGUCCAUCAAUUGAAAAAUGGAGUGAGUGUAUCUAUAAGAGGGAAGGCUUGGCAAAUGUCCAGUUUUCUGGGAAUUCAACAAGGAUCUAAAAUAGAUUGUUUUCUUUGCUGAUUUCAAUGGUUGAAAUUUGAGAAGAUUGUGUCCCACAUAACACAACUAUUACUGGUCCUUCUGUUGCAAUUUAUCCUCUAAGGCUCUAGCAUGUCUUCCAAUUCCCACUUCCCUGUUACUCCAGGAAAGCUAUUUCUGUCAUUGUGAAGAAGAAAAGAGAAUGUAGAUAUCGAUGCUUUUAAGUGACUGGAGCAUUCAUAUCAGGUGGUCUGCAGCCAUAUAUGCCACUUUGUGAAGAUUGGAACAGUCAAUCACUAGGCUAUAUAUUAGUGUGGCCCAGCCACUUUAAUCAAGGACAAUUCUUCAUACUUAAAAGUCAAAUUCUGCCUUUAGUCUCAUUAUAAAUUGCUGUUUAAAUAUUAAGCAAACAUUUGUUUAAUGCGAUUAAGACAGUACUAACUCAAUACUUGUUCUAUUUUUGGAUGGAAAUGCUUGAUGGUUUCAUCAUUGGAUGGGAUAAAGGUGCAUUCAUGAUUAUGAAUACUUGUAGUUAUAUUUUCAUUCUCUUUUUUCUCAAUGAGACUUGUUGGCACAAUUUUUCUGUUCAGAAACCUACCUCUCCAUGGAAAAUAAGUUGUGAUUGAUAGUACUGGAUAUAUUCAAGAAAGCUAAAUAUAGAUAGCACAAAAUAUUAUCGACAUAAAUAGCAUUAACAGCGUACGUAUGUCUCAGUGCUCAUCAGCCAUAAGCAUGGGGCAAACACUUACGAUGAGCAACUUACGUCAAAAUUCCAGAAUAGGACAUAGAAGUGACAGAUCUAUAUAUAUAGAACACUGCAUAAGAGUCACAAGAAAGGAAAUUACGGGUGCAUAGCAGCUCUUAUUUCACAUACUACUCAUACUGAUCAAAGUCACUCAGUUGGGAUGGGUGGGAGUAGGAGGUUUGUGGGGUGGCUUGUGCGGAGGAGUUGGCAGCUUCUUUCCAGGACCUGGUGGCUUCUCUCCCUUAGGUGGUUUGCCAACUGGGGUUGGUGGCUUGUAUGAGUCUUCAGCAUUCUCUGCAGGAGGGUGACCAGGGUUGUGACCAUAAUGUGGUGGCUUCUCUCCCUUAGGUGGUUUGCCAACUGGGGUUGGUGGCUUGUGUUCUGGGAGUGGCUUCUCCCCCUUGGGAGGUUUUUCCAAUGGGGUUGGUUUGUGUUCAGGAGGUGGCUUCUCCACUGGAGGCUUGUGUUCAGGAGGUGGCUUCUCCACCGGAGGCUUGUGUUCAGGAGGUGGCUUCUCCACCGGAGGCUUAUGCUCUGGUGGUGGCUUCUCCACCGGAGGCUUAUGCUCUGGUGGUGGCUUCUCGAAUGGGGGAUGCUUAGGGUAAUCAGCAAGUGAGGGGGCGGUGAGAACCACCAGGCCAAGCAAGACCACUAGCAAGUAUGUAGGAGACAUCUUUGGGUUUAGACUCAGAUGGUGCAAAACUAGGAGAAUUGUCUUUUAUAGCGGAUCGCACCCAAUAAUGAAAUGACACGUGUCUUUAUGACCCAUGUGUAAUGGGGUCGAUUUGGGUCCUACAGUGUUGAAAACUUCGACAUCCACUUUUGGCCUUUUGCUUUCUCUACAGCCGCCUUGCUUUUUCCCUCUUUCCUUUUGUUUUCCUCCUGCCCCAUUCUAUCAACUAAACACAAUUAUGUAGUUGUUUAAUUCUUAAAUGAGAUAUUAUCCGUCAAUCGUAUCAUAUUUUAUCAACAGAGAACGGAGUGCAAUGUGGCAAUCCAAAGAAAGAAGAUCCAUAAUGCAGCUGUAAUUUUAUCGUUUACUUUUAUCUCUUGGACCACUGCAUUUUUGUUAAGAGGUGCAAUAAUACACGUCUUUAUCUGCCAUUCAAUGUUUACAGUAAAGAGAGGGCACAAAACUCUUCACUGCUCUGCAUGUGUCCCAAAAAUGCAAUUGGACAAAUUAUGAUUUGCAUGCUAAAAAGAGGCAAAUGAGGUUAAUUCGCACCAUAAUUAUUUUGUUUUCUGGACCCCGGGGCCCUUUGGUUGGUUUGGGGGUCAGAAAAUGAACAUCAUAGGGGGUUUUUCCCUUAUGUGCAUUUGUAUCUGAUGGCUUUAACUCGCCUUGUUACUACAAAGAAAUUGUCACAUAUAGGAACUUAUUCCAGGCUGAGUAUCUCCGCAUAGACCCUAUAAAAGAAGACAAGUCAUAAUGAACAUCUAACCUUUGUUCAAUUUGAUUCAAUGCCCCAUUGUGUCCACCUCACAAAUCUGAAUUAUUAUAUCCAUUGAAUACAUAAAUUAAUGAAGAAAAUAUGAAACCCAAGAUACAUCUCUGCACAACCUCAACCCUGGUUGCUAUGUUUCCCUUCUAUUCACAUGAGGAUAUUGAUUACGGAAUAGGGAAACCUAGCAAGGGUUUACUCGGCUCUGGUUUGAUGCUAAUUGCCAAACUUGCAACAAGCCCUGAGUUUGAAGCUCACAGAAGAUGUUAUACAGGCAGGGAAAAACCUUCAGAGUUCGCUGCCAAAGAUAAUUAUUAAGGAGAUAUCACCAAGAGAAUUCCAAGGAGUCUGAAUCAAAGACAAAUUGGUCGUUCGUGGAGGUUCUUACUUUCUUUUGGGUAUAACUCACUGAGGGCACUGUCUUUUUUAUUUUCAUUUCACAUUUAGAGUUCUGUUCUGGAAACAUAUAAAAGGAGCAUCAGUUUGUUCUUGGGUAACCCAUAGUCGUGAGUGGGUCCAUUUGCAUGCUACUUAGUUGAAAAGUUGGACCAUUUGCUCCGACGCCUACCUCCUGGAUUCCAUGCUCGGAUAAAACAAGAAUAAAAAAAUAUUUAUAAUUUACAAAUGGGGGAAAGAAAAAAAUGUCAACAACAAACUAGGAAAAAAGAGUAGUAAAAUUCAUGUCACAUGCUAGUGAGAGAAGGGGUUGUUACACUCACUCGAAGUUCUUUUCAAAAUAUCGCAUGGUAUUUUAUUUUAUGUGUGAGCGCAGUUGUGAAUGGAACGUGCAAAAGUCCAAAUUGGUGACCUUUAAUAAAUAUUUAAAACAAAAAACGAAAAAAAGGAGGGAAAAGGGAUCAGAAAAGAUAAAACAAUGUGUACAAAAGCUCAAUUAGUUUGCAAAUUACUGUUUGGAUUUUGAUAGUAUUUUAUUUGAUGUAAAAGAGAAUUUAAGAUAUUUCCGAAACAAAAGCAUUAGUUUGCUCCAUGUCAAUUUCGGCAUUUCUCAUAUGUUUCACACAUACACAGAAGAGCAUCGUUUUUUAAAGCAUGCAUUUAUGUUGGAUUAAUUUGGAUUUUGUGGGAACUGGGGCAAGGAUCACAUGGAAGAGAGGUUGACUUUUUUCAGUACUUCAAUGGUUGAGACAGGUGAAGGCCUGAUUGAUACUGAAGCCUGAAAUUGCGACUCCGUCAUUUGUCAAAACAUAUGACAGCUUCCAUGCUCUCGUUUGGUUGCAUUGUUCUGUGGUCAUGCAUACAUGCCACUUAGUGAUCAGUCUGUAACUGUCAAUCAUUGGGCUUUGACUGAACAACAUCAGCCAUGUAUAAAUACUUGCAAAUCAAACGGUCUUCUUCCUCCCAUAAGGAAUUUCGGUUUAAUUAUGAAGCAUGCAUUUGGCUGACCAUCAUAAACCACUUCUUUAAAUUGAUGAAUGAUAGUUUUUCAUUCAUUCUUUCAUUCGUUCAUAUACAGAGUAUAUAUAGAGGGUAAUCAUCAUUCUAAGAAUGGGAAAGAAUGAUACAAGGAAAUAAUGAUAUAAAGAAAUAACAACUAAUAUUCUAAUAUCUCAACUUUCCUAAUAUCUAAACAUUCCUAAUAUCUCAACACUAAAUGAUAUAAAGAAAGAAUGAUAUAAGGAAAGCAUUCCUAAUAUCUCAACACUCCUCCUCAAGUUGGUGCAUAGAUGUCAAACAUGUCCAACUUGUCUAAAAAUUUUGAGAACAGUUGACUUGAGACAUCUUUGGUGAGGAUAUCGGUCAAUUGAUCUUCUGAUCGAAUCUUAGGCAAUUCCACAAUCUUAUCAUCCAACUUUUCCUUAAUGAAAAAUCUAUCCAUCUCGACAUGCUUUGUACGAUCAUGUUGUACUAGAUUAUGAGCAAUGUCACAUGCUGCUUUAUUGUCACAAAACAAUCGGAUUGGUUGCCUAGAUAGGUAACCUAAAUCCUAUAAGAGGAGUCUUAGCCAUAAUGCCUCACAAAGUCCUAAAGUCAUACCUCUAAAUUCCGCUUCUGCACUUGAACGAGCGACGACAUUUUGCUUCUUACUUUUCCAUGUCACAAGAUUACCACCUACAAAGGUAAAGUAACCAGAUGUAGAUCGCCUAUCAUCCACUGCACCGACCCAAACAGCAUUAUACUUCUAUACUCUGAUGAUCAACAUUUUUAGCGAACAAAAUUCCCUUCCUAGGAGCAUUCUUCAAAUACCUCAAAAUACGCAUGACUACAUUCAUAUGUUGCUCUCCAGGAUUAUGCAUGUAUUGACUCACUACACUCAAUGUAUAAGCAAGAUCUAGUCUUGUAUGAGCUAAGUACAUUAAUCUCCCCACAAGUCUCUGGUAUCUUCCCUUAUCGAUUGAUACUUGAUUAGGCUCAACACACAAUUUCAGACCUUCUUCUAUUGGUGUAUUAAUAGGUUGACAUCCCGACAUUCCAGUUUCCUGUAGAAGAUCUAAGGCAUACUUUCUUUGAGACAGAAAAAUUCCUUCACUUGAUCGAGAAACUUCAAUCCCAAGAAAGUAUUUCAGACGACCAAGAUCUUUCAUUUCAAAUUCUCUAGAUAGAUACUUUUGCAAAGCUUUUCUUUCUUCAGGAUCAUUUCCUGUAACUACAUGUCAUCCACAUAUAUCAUAAGUGUCGUAAUCUUACCAUGUUGCUUUUUCAAGAACAAAGUGUGAUUUGAAUUACUUUGAUGAUAGCCAAAAGCUCUCAUUGAUUUUGUGAACCUUCCAAACCAUGCUCUCGGGGAUUGCUUCAACCCAUACAAUGACUUCUUCAAUUCGCACACCUUCUGACAUUGCUUUUCUGACACCAUGCAUCCUGGUGGAAGAUCCAUAUAUACUUCUUCAGAUAAAUCGCCAUGCAGAAAGACAUUUUUUACAUCGAACUAUUGUAAUGGCCAAUCUAGGUUUGCAGCUAAAGACAAUAAUACUCGAACUGUGUUGAUCUUAGCUACAGGUGCAAAUGUCUCUGUGUAGUCAAUUCCAUAAGUUUGAAUGUACCCACUAGUCUUGCUUUAAAUCGUUCAAUACUACCAUCUGCCUUGUACUUCACAGUAUAGAUCCAACGACACCCAACUAGCUUCUUUCCUGGUGGACAUUCUACGAGUUCCCAUGUUUCAUUUUUCUGCAAUGAUUUCAUCUCUUCAUUCAUGGUUGCUUUCCACUUUGGAUCAGCUAAAGCUUCCUGCACACUAUUAGGAAUAGCUACAGUAGAUAAUUGAUUUACAAAUGACUUAUUUGAUUCAGACAAACCAUGGUGUGGACCCGCAUUUUUCACGUGCGCCUCUACUCGAUCGGCGAGACUCGCUUUCUAUUUGUGAAAAAUUAAUUUUAGAAAAGUUGGAGUCGCCACCUAUUUUAUUUUUAUUUUGAAGGGAAAAUAAAACAAGAAAGAAAAACCCUAAAAAGUGACUCCAUAGUUUUGGAAAAAGCAUGUCUUUGGGAAACCUGAGUCUAGGUCCGGGGAUCAUGUUACUUAUUGGGAAGGUACCUCUAGGAGGUAGCACCCCUCUAAGCCUUAUGAAGGUCUCUACUAACUAAAUUAAGGGAAGUGUGGCAAUAAAUCGAUUGAUCAUAGAUACCUAAGUAGACUAGGUGAUUUUAAAGUGUGGCAUGUCAAACACAAUCAAAUUGCAAUAAAGGAGAGUUAGGGCGCGUACCUGAACCGCUUCUCAAGCGCUAUCAUAAAACAUCAAUGGUUAAUUUAAAUAAUAUAUCAUCCAGCAUGUAUUUUAUUAGAAAUAAUCAAACAAUGAAACAUGUAUAUCAGAACACUCAAGCAUUAUUAGACAUAAGCAUUAUUUCACUAUUCACAGAAUUCAGAAAGUAGGUGAUAGAGGACAUACCUGGAUAGCAUAGAUAAUUUGUAAUGUGCUUCCUCAAGUUGUAAGGGGUUAGAUAACAAAUAAUAAAAUAUAGAAAUCCUAGCAUGCUCGUUAUCUAAUUAGCAUAGCAAAAGUGAUCACAGUAUACAGAAUCAUCAAUUAUCACAUACAUCUUGUAUAUAAUUCCUAAAAAAAAUAGAUAGACAUGAUUUCAACAAGUGUCAAAUGUGGCAACAAAAAUAAAUUUUGAAAAGAUUUUCUUAUGUAGGGGUUUCACCAAUUCCCCAAAUUAAUAUACACGAAUUUAGCUUAGAAUUAUCCCAUUUAUUUGGGACUACAAGCUUUGAUUCGUGUUUUUGUUCAAAACCAAAAAUUUUUGUUGAAAAUCAAGAAGGAUGCGAACCGAACAAGAUAUGGUUGCAUAUUAUUUUUAAAUAAAUAAAUAAAUAAAUAAAGGAGAUUUUGAUCCUGAGGACUUUAAUGAGUUUUUUUUUUUAAAAUAGAUUUUUAAAAUGAUUUUUUUGAGAAAAGUAUUUUAUUUUAAAAUAAAAGGGAUUAAUUUGGGAAAAAAAUAAAAUAUAAGAAAUAAAAUACCAAACAAAACAAAAAUGAAACCUCAAAGUAAAAUUUUUUUAGUAAUUAACAAAAAUGAUAAUGGUGAUGGUAGAGGGCAAUCUUCAUGAUUUUCCAAUGGCCUCAGAAAGAAAAUCAAAUUAAAUGAAGGAUCACUAACAGGCAAGACAUUCUAAAUUAGACAAACUAACAAAGUAUCAAUUCAUGAACUAACCGCUAGGAUUUUGAAAGCAUAUAAGCUAAGAUAAGGGUGAUCAGGAACUAAUAUUAAUGAUUUUGAAAUAAAAACUAAAAAAAAGGAUCAAUUCGGGUAAGGAACUAAAAUUAUAAAAGUACCUAAACUAAUUAUGACGAGUUUGACUAAAUUAAACUAAAAACAUGAACUUUCAAACAUAGAAUUAAUUUUACUAAUGAACCAAAGCAAACUAAAAAUAUGUACUUUCAAGCAUAGAAUUAAUUUUAUUGAUGAACUAAACUAUAACAAAUAUCUAAACUAAAUAUAAUGAAUCAAAUUAAAUUAAAGCAACUUAAAAACGCAAACUUUCAAACAUAGAAUCAAUUUUAUCAAUGAAUUAAAACUAUAAAUGUAUUUGAACUAAAUAGAUGAAUCAAACUAAAUCAGAGCAAAAUUAAAAAAAAAAAAGAACUUUCUAACAUGAAAUCAAUUUUAUCAACAAAUAAAUGAAUGAAUAACAAGUAAUUAAAAGAAUAGCUACUACAUGAAUAACUGAAUGAAUAAAAUUCAAAUGUUUUCAAUCUGAAGCAAUCAAUCAAAAUUAAAUAGGGAUCAAAUCAAAAUAAUCGAAAUCGGAAAAACAAUAUGCAAUCUUUCUAAAGGUUUAACCAGACAAUUGAAUUAAAAUUAUGAAUAGAAUAAAUUAAUAAACCAAAUCGAAACCUAAAUUGUACCUAAAAAGAUUAAUUAAUUAAACUAAGAAAUCAAAAUCAAUAACAAAACUAAACUAAGGAGUAAAUUAAGACAAGACUAAUUAAAUUAAACUCACAAACACGUUUUAACUAUCAUAUGGAUUAAAACAAAAUUAGCAUGGACUUAUGAAUUACGAACAAAAAUAAUCAAAACUAUUUUAAAAAACUCACCUCUAUUAUAAGAAAAAAUCUGCCUUUGAUGCGUUGAGGUGGCUCCCCUCUCUGUGUGGAUCUCUCUGCUCCCCAGAAAAAAAAUGUCUCUUCCUCCGUUCUCUUUUGUUUCAGCAAAAUAAUAUAUCCCCUGCUGUGGAUCUCUCUACUCCCAGAAAAUAAUAUAUUCUCUCCGUGUCCUAAAGUGGACCUAGGGUGCCUAAGUGGACCUAGGGUGCCUAAAUGGGCCUAGGGUGCCUAAAUGGGCCAAGUGUAUCUAAAUAGGCUUAGGGUGCCUAAGUGGGCCUAAGUCUAAGUGAGCCUAAGUCUAAAUCAAGACUACCAAGGAUCAUAAUAAGGGGUUAGGCAAUCCCUUAACCAAAGUCUCCAAGGUGGCUAAAAAAAAGUAAGUAGUAUGAGUAGCUAUGGGUCACCAAGGAACUACUGUGGAGCAUUGAAAACGAAUUUAAAGACAUGUGCCAAAGGGACAAAAUUGAGGGUCUACAGAUGGUUAGACACAUAGUUGCUCAUGGGAUAUUUGACUUUGGUAAACAAUUCAGAUUCAUAUGUGGGUUUAGGAAUACCUUUAUUAUGACGGUGUGGUAAUCGUUUCAUGAAUGGAUCAGGUUGCAAAUUAAGAACACCCUCAGCAAACAACGAUUGGUUUGGUAUUUCAGUGAAGACAUCUUCGAACCCAAAUUGUUGACCACUCAUAUCCAACUCACCCGCUUCCUGGUUCACUAGUUCAGAUUGUCCAAAUUCAUCAUUCUCAUAGAUAUGAUAAUCAUAAUCGAGAGUCUGAAUUUCCUUAUGGUACUCCCCCUGAAGUUCAGACUUAGAUGAAAAAUACAUCGAAUAUUCAUGAAACAGCNNNNNNNNNNNNNNNNNNNNNNNNNNNNNNNNNNNNNNNNNNNNNNNNNNNNNNNNNNNNNNNNNNNNNNNNNNNNNNNNNNNNNNNNNNNNNNNNNNNNNNNNNNNNNNNNNNNNNNNNNNNNNNNNNNNNNNNNNNNNNNNNNNNNNNNNNNNNNNNNNNNNNNNNNNNNNNNNNNNNNNNNNNNNNNNNNNNNNNNNNNNNNNNNNNNNNNNNNNNNNNNNNNNNNNNNNNNNNNNNNNNNNNNNNNNNNNNNNNNNNNNNNNNNNNNNNNNNNNNNNNNNNNNNNNNNNNNNNNNNNNNNNNNNNNNNNNNNNNNNNNNNNNNNNNNNNNNNNNNNNNNNNNNNNNNNNNNNNNNNNNNNNNNNNNNNNNNNNNNNNNNNNNNNNNNNNNNNNNNNNNNNNNNNNNNNNNNNNNNNNNNNNNNNNNNNNNNNNNNNNNNNNNNNNNNNNNNNNNNNNNNNNNNNNNNNNNNNNNNNNNNNNNNNNNNNNNNNNNNNNNNNNNNNNNNNNNNNNNNNNNNNNNNNNNNNNNNNNNNNNNNNNNNNNNNNNNNNNNNNNNNNNNNNNNNNNNNNNNNNNNNNNNNNNNNNNNNNNNNNNNNNNNNNNNNNNNNNNNNNNNNNNNNNNNNNNNNNNNNNNNNNNNNNNNNNNNNNNNNNNNNNNNNNNNNNNNNNNNNNNNNNNNNNNNNNNNNNNNNNNNNNNNNNNNNNNNNNNNNNNNNNNNNNNNNNNNNNNNNNNNNNNNNNNNNNNNNNNNNNNNNNNNNNNNNNNNNNNNNNNNNNNNNNNNNNNNNNNNNNNNNNNNNNNNNNNNNNNNNNNNNNNNNNNNNNNNNNNNNNNNNNNNNNNNNNNNNNNNNNNNNNNNNNNNNNNNNNNNNNNNNNNNNNNNNNNNNNNNNNNNNNNNNNNNNNNNNNNNNNNNNNNNNNNNNNNNNNNNNNNNNNNNNNNNNNNNNNNNNNNNNNNNNNNNNNNNNNNNNNNNNNNNNNNNNNNNNNNNNNNNNNNNNNNNNNNNNNNNNNNNNNNNNNNNNNNNNNNNNNNNNNNNNNNNNNNNNNNNNNNNNNNNNNNNNNNNNNNNNNNNNNNNNNNNNNNNNNNNNNNNNNNNNNNNNNNNNNNNNNNNNNNNNNNNNNNNNNNNNNNNNNNNNNNNNNNNNNNNNNNNNNNNNNNNNNNNNNNNNNNNNNNNNNNNNNNNNNNNNNNNNNNNNNNNNNNNNNNNNNNNNNNNNNNNNNNNNNNNNNNNNNNNNNNNNNNNNNNNNNNNNNNNNNNNNNNNNNNNNNNNNNNNNNNNNNNNNNNNNNNNNNNNNNNNNNNNNNNNNNNNNNNNNNNNNNNNNNNNNNNNNNNNNNNNNNNNNNNNNNNNNNNNNNNNNNNNNNNNNNNNNNNNNNNNNNNNNNNNNNNNNNNNNNNNNNNNNNNNNNNNNNNNNNNNNNNNNNNNNNNNNNNNNNNNNNNNNNNNNNNNNNNNNNNNNNNNNNNNNNNNNNNNNNNNNNNNNNNNNNNNNNNNNNNNNNNNNNNAACCAAAGGAAGCAUGUUCCAGACGUCGAUGCCACAACCAAAUUUCAGACUUUUUCUUCUCCUCCUUAGAUCCAUCUGCCAUCAAGGCUUGUUGCAACUUAUUUGAAUCCUUUGAUUGCAAGUCCAAGUAUAGAGUUUCCCCCGCUUAAUACGACAACCAAUCGUCUGUCUUGUUUGAAUGUCCUUAAUCACACAAAAUUCAGGCCAAAAAAUGACAAUACAAGAUAAGGCUGCAGUGAUUUGAGAAACUAACAAAAGAUUGUAAUCUAAAGAUGGAACAACUAAAACAGAAUCCAAAUUCAAAGUAUCAGUAAGAGUUAAGGAUCCUUCCCCAAUGACUGGGGUUGUGUUACCAUUGGCUGUGGAAACAAUUUUUUGUGAGGAAGGUCUAAGGGGUGAAACCUGUCUAGAAUCAAAAGUCAUAUGAUCUGUAGCACCAGAAUCAAUUAUCCAUGCACUAUUAAUAACAGGUGUAAAAGUAUUUAAAAACUUACCACAAUGAUCUGUAGCGGCUACUAAUGCAGAGACUUUCUCAACAACAUUAGUCUUUGUUUUUAUUUCGGUAACAGUUGCAAUCAAGGUUUUCUUGGAAUUCUUCUUCCGUUGAUCACGAUUAUUAUCAUUAAUAACAAAGUGUUGAUAGCCUAAACAUGAUCUAAAGGUCCAUGGUGCAAACCCUCGGUUCCUCAUUGUUUUCCUGGUCAUACCAAGAGUUGUUGCUUUGAAAUUGUGGGAUAUCCAGACUGGUGGGAUCAGUUUUAUUGCAGUGAGUGCAUUUGAAUGUUGACUUAUCAAUAUUAGGGCUUGUCUUCGGAUGGUUGAUUGCUGUUGGACUACCAUAGCGACAAAAUAUCCAGGAUUUCAAUUCCAGGGCUCUGAUACCAUCUUCAAAUUGAUGAAUGAUAGUUUUUCAUUCAUUCUUUCAUGUACAGAGUAUAUAUAGAGGGUAAUCACCAUUCUAAGAAUGGGAAAGAAUGAUACGAGGAAAUAAUGAUAUAAGGAAAUAAUAACUAAUAUCCUAAUAUCUCAACUUUCCUAAUAUCUCAAUAUUCCUAAUAUCUCAACUUUCCUAAUAUCUAAACAUUCAUAAUAUCUCAACACUAAAUGAUACAAGGAAAGAAUGAUAUAAGGAAAACAUUCCUAAUAUCUCAACACCACUUCAUGAUAUAUAUAGUUUCUUACCCUUAAUCAAUGGUUUCUAAGUGAAUUUAUAUAGAAAGAAAUCCAAACUGUAGACAGCAGUAUUGGUAACACUCAAUAUUCUGUAUAUAAUAGAAUAAAUAGCGUCACAGUGAUCGUCGCCUACAAGCAAGGUACAAAUACCACAAAGAGUGACCCACAUAGACAUUCCCCAACAAGAUGUAGUAGUGACUGACACAUAGCCACAAUUAACACGUAGAAAAGGAUAAGACCGGUGCACAGUAGCUCUUAUUUUACAUACUACUUAUGCCAACCAAAGUCACUCAGUUGGGAUGGGAGGGAGAUGGAGGUUUGUGCGGUGGCUUGUGGGGCGGAGUUGAUGGCUUCUUUCCAGGAGCUUCUGGCUUUUUCAUCGGAGCUGAAGGAGGCUCAAUCUUAUGAGGCGGCUUGUACGAGUCUUCUUUGCUCUCGAAAGGAGGGUGGCCAGGGUUGUGACCAUAAUGUGGUGGUUUCUCUCCCUUGGGAGGUUUACCAAUUGGGGUUGGUGGCUUGUGUUCUGGGAGUGGUUUCUCUCCCUUGGGAGGUUUAGUGGGUGACUUGUGUUCUGGAGGUGGCUUCUCCACCGAAGGCUUGUGCUCCGGUGGUGGCUUUUUGGUUGGAGGGGGCUUGGGGUAAUCAGCAAGAGAUGGGGUGGUGAGAACCACCAGUCCAAGGAACAACACUAGCAAGUAUGUGGGAGACAUUUUUGAGUUUGGGCUGAUCAGAUGAUGCAAAACUAAAGCAUUACGUGACCUUUUAUAGCAAGUAGCUCCCAAUACCUACUUGACACGUGUUACUGUGACCCAUAAAUAUUAUGGGGUCUAUUUGUGCCCUACCGGGUUGAAAACUUGGACAAUUGGGCAAGGACCCGCCUGACUAUGGAGGACUACUGAGGUGUGAUCACAGCUUUAGGAUUUUUCUUCCUCUGCAGCCGUCUUGCCGUUGGCAUGAUUUUCUUAAUCUCAAAUAAAGGCAUAGUUAUAGAGUUGUUUAAUCUCUAAAUGGGAUUUUAUAUAUCUUCAGAUAGCCAUUAAUACAUUUGAUGAAGAAAGAAAGACAAGUGCAUACAACAUGUAUACGACUAGCUUUCAUGGAGUUCAUUUAUGAUCAGUUUUCCUGUACAUGUAAACCAAGAUCAUAUAUGUUUUUGUUCCACAACAAUUUUGGAAUCUUGUUUAUCCGUUUUUAUCAUUAUAAUGUCACAUAGGCUGCCAACUUGGGCGCUAAAUUAAAGAUCCAGUUGGGCAAGUUCGUUUCAGAAUUUCAAUGGUGGAUUCAGGAAUUGUUUUAUAAGAUAUGCAAAAUAGUAGAGGGAUGAAUAGUGUUUCAUUAAGAAAAGAGCCCUGUAAAAAUAUUGUUUAAAGGUGCCAUAGAAACUAUAAUCAAUAAAUAACUUUUUUUCCCCAUGGGUGGUGUUUCUUGUGGGGAUCAGUGACUGGUUUGAGUCAACGCCGUGUCUCUUUAGUCCAGAAAUCAACUAUUUUAUGCAUUGAAUACAUCAACAAAGAAAAUAUGAAAGCCAAAUGACACCUCCCCCGCAAAAACUAAACCCUGGUUGCUAACUUUCUAUGUUUCAGUUCCAUUCACACAAGAAUAUUAGUUCAAGUUUGAGAAAAAUGGCGACUUACCUAGUGAUAACUCGGUCUUGGUUUGCGAUUUGACUUUAACGUCAUGGGUUGAAGCCUCCUACAAUCAUCGUGUAUGCUAGUUCAAAGCUCGUGGAAGAAGUUAUACAGGGAGGGAGAAACCUCCACAGCAAGCUCCAAAAGAGAAUUAUCACAUUGAAAGCUCCAGUUGAACACUGGGUGAAAGCCAUAACAAGAUUGGUUUUCUAUCGCUCUUUUAAGUAAUGGAAGAUUAUUAUCUCUGCUUGUCACUACAACCGUGCAUGCUGCUAGAUCUUUCUAGACACUUCAAACAGUGAAACCAAGUAUGAUUCUUUUUCUCUUGAGUGGGUCCACUUGCAUGCCAAUGAACGAGUUGAAAAGUUGGACAAUUGGCCACAGCGCGCACUUACCUUCUGGAACCGAAGGUCAGUGAAGUGGGGUUCCUUUUGGCCCCUUGUGUUUCUGUUCCAACCUACUCCAGGAACCGAAGUUCAGUGAAGUGGGGCUACUUUUGGCCUCUUGUGUUUCUGUUCCAACCAAACAAAAAUGGGAGGGAAAAAUAGCAUUAUGCUUGUGCUAAAGAUCAACGCAUGAUAGCUGAAUAAGGGAGAAAAAGGCAUUGCUAUCUCAAUUUCAUAAACUUGAUAAGUAGUGACAUUAAUAGUCUUCCUCAUAGAUGGAUACAUGGUUUUAUUUUAUUUAUUUAUUUUUAUUUUUUUGUUUUAUGUCAAUGCUAAUGAAUGAAGUGCAUUAGCUUGUUUUGUGACUAGAACUACAAAUGUCCAAAUUGGAGCUUCUCCAAUAUAUUUCUCAGUGAGUUAUUGAUUAGAACUCUUGGAUUGAGUUCCAAGAUUUGAAUCAGACCCCUCUAGCAGCUUCAGGGGUACGUAGCAACCUAUAGCAUAUUAAUGAAGACUUAGGAUUUAGACUUAGGAAUACAAAUUAAUAUGUACCUCAUGCUCUGACUAGCUUCCCUGCGUAUGCACAAAAUGGAGAUGACUCCCAAAAAAAUAGCAGAAUCGCCUUAGUAUGUUUUUGUGGUUAAGAUGAUUCUCCACUUUAUAUAUCCACAUUGGUUCAUUAUGCAAAUUAAUCAACUAAGCUAUUUUUAUUUUUUCUUAAAUGUGAAAUAGGAGCUCCAAAUUAACCUAACCAUUGGCCUGAUUGAAUUGAUUUCACUUGCAUAAUGUUAUAGUAGAAGUCCGUAAUUUGAAUUUUAUUUUUGCAAAAGGUAACGUAAAUGAAGCAUUGUAAUUAAAUUUAUUUGUAAUUACAAACUAAUUUUAUUUUAUUAAGAAUUAAUUUAAUUACUCAUUUAAAAUAAAAAUCAGUUAUACUUUUACCAAGAUGAUAAUAUUCAUAUUUUUCUAGUUAACAUAUAUAAAAUAGUACACUUUUUCAUAUAAAAAAAUAAUUUAUGAUUUAUUAUAAUGUUACUAUUCACAUUUUACUAAAUUGAUGGUACAUGAUAGUGAGAGAAGGGGGUGUCACACUCAGCUAAAGUUCUUUUCAAAAUAUUGCAUGGUGUUUAAUUUUAUGUGUCGGCGCGCGUGUGAAUGGAACCUGCAAAAGUCCAAAUUGGCGUUUCUCCAUUUUCCACAUAGGAUGGUGACGUUAAUAGACAAAGAUACAAUAUCUGUAGACAUUGCUUAAAAAUCGAUGUGAAGUAUUAGAAAUUACAGGGCACUGUACUGGGGGAGCGGCUGCCCCGCCAAAGGAGGAAGAAUGUAGCAAUUUCUUCUGUUAGCCAGGCCUUAGGAUUUAUGCAUGGGAUGCCUAAUAACAAACAGAGAAAAUAUACUUUUGGGGAAGGUAUCCAACAACAGACACCAUCAUUCAGAUGGUGGGAAGGUAUCCAACAGAUGCCAUCAUUCAGAUGGUAACAUAUAUAUACAUUUAUUAGUGAGUUUUUUUAAUACCUAUAAAAAAAAAUAUACACUUUGAUAUUGUGGCUGAAUCCAUUACAUACUCAACUAACCUUGCUCAUUAGGGAUUUGACUUAACAAGGGCAACGUUGCAGUACAAGCUCAAAACUUUAUGCAGGUGACAUUACAUUUGGUAAAGAAGAGGAAAAUAACGAAAGCCAUCCAUAAAAGCAAAAUUCCACAUGGGAUGAAAUUCACAAGCUUCAUUUACGAUAGAGUCGCAUCCAGGCAAUUAAUUCCACAUUAGACCGCCUGUUGACAUGUGUACCAAUCUUUUUUCAAAAAAUAUUUAUAAAUAAUUGAUACUCACAAAAAUAAUUUAAUAUUUAUAAAGGAUAAAAAAAUAUUUUCAAAUCUAUAACAAUUUAUAAAAUAUUAAUAAAAAAUUAUCUCUUAAACUUAGUAUAGUUUUAUCAGAUUAAACUUUUAUUUUGAACAAAUAAUUUUAAUCUAAGUUUUAAAUUCUAAAAUUAUUUCCUUAAAAUAAAAUUUUAAAAUUCAACACUUCAAUUGAAAUUGUCUUUUUAAAAAAUAUCUUCUUAUUUUAAUCCUUAUAAACUAUAGUUGAUUGAAAAUACUAUUGAAGUUCUCUCUUAAAAAAAAGUCUUAUUUUAAUCUUCAUAAAUUGCCCUUGAUUUGAAAAUAAAUUUUCAGUUAUCAUAUUUUAAAUAAUAUCUAUAUUUAAAAUACUCUAUUUAAAAAAAAAUGAACUAAUUUUAAUUAUAUUAUAUUUUAUUUUUUUAUAUAUUUUUAAUGAUAAACCAAACAUAGAAAAUCAUUUUUCUAAAUAUUUUAAAAUUUCUAAGCAACCAAACAUAAUCUUCAAAAUAAAAGGAAAAUAAGGAGGGACAUUUGAGAAAUGGCGAUUAAAAAAAAGUGUACAAAAGCUCAAUUAAUUUUCUUCUAGUCUUUUAUAUAAAAAAGUAAAGGAAUUGAAAAGUAUUGAUAUGUAAAUUAAUAUUUGGAUUUUAAUAGUAUUUUAUUUGUCUUUCUCUAUCUCAUGUAAAAGAGAAUUUAAGAUAUUUCCUAAAGCAAAGCAUUAGUUAUCUGCAAUCAGUGGUGAUCAUGCCCCAUGUCAAUUUCGGACCCAUAUCUUAAAACUGUAUAAUUUGCAUUCAAACAUUACUGAUUUCUCAGAUGUUUCAUACUCCACAGAAGAGCAUUGUUUGUGAAAGCAUGCAUUUAUGUUGGAUUUUGGAUGAUGUGGGAACUGGGGCAAGGAUCAUAUGGAAGAGUGGUCGAUUUUGUUCUGUACUUUAACAUUUGAAAUAGGAGAAGCUCGGGCAUUUGUGGGGCUUAAUUGAUUUUGAAGCCUGAAAUUGCGUUUCUGUCAUUUUGUAAAAAAUAUGGCAGAUUCCAUGCUCUCAUAUGUUUGGUCUGUGGCCAUGUAUAGAUGCCCCUUAGUGACCAGUUUGUAACUGUCAAUCAUAGUGUUUUGACUCUGGCUCAACAACAUCAGCCAUUGACGGAUUUUCAUACUUGCAAAUCAAAUAGUCUUCUUCCUCCCUUAGGAAUUUCGGUUUAAAUGUUAUUAAGCAUACAUUUGGCUGACAAUUAUUAACCACUUCAUGAUAUGGUUUCUUACCCUUAAUCAAUGGUUUCUAAGUGAAUAUAUGCAGAAGGAAAUCUGAACUGUAGACAGCAGUAUUGAUAACUCUCAAUAUUCUUUAUAUAAGAGAAUAAACAACGUCAUAGUGAUCGUCGCCUACAAGAAAGGUACAUUUCCCAACAAGAUGUAGUUGUGACUGGUACAUGGACGCAAUUAACUCGUACAAAAGAAUAAGACCAGUGCACGGCAGCUCUUAUUUUACAUGCUAAUUAUGCUAACCAAAGUCACUCAGUUGGGAUGGGAGGGAGAUGGAGGUUUGUGCGGUGGCUUGUGGGGCGGAGUUGGUGGCUUCUUUUCAGGAGCUUGUGGCUUUUUCGGAGCUGAAGGAGGCUCAAUCUUAUGAGGCGGCUUGUACGAGUCUUCUUUACUCUCGACAGGAGGGUGGCCAGGGUUGUGACCAUAAUGUGGUGGCUUCUCUCCCUUAGGUGGCUUGCCAACUGGGGUUGGUGGCUUGUGUUCAGGAAGUGGUUUCUCUCCCUUGGGAGGUUUACCAAUUGGGGUUGGUGGCUUGUGUUCUGGGAGUGGUUUCUCUCCCUUGGGAGGUUUAGUGGGUGACUUGUGUUCUGGAGGUGGCUUCUCCACCGGAGGCUUGUGCUCCGGUGGUGGCUUCUCCACCGGAGGCUUGUGCUCCGGUGGUGGCUUCUUGAUUGGAGGGGGCUUGGGGUAAUCAGCAAGAGAUGGGAUGGUGAGAACCACCACUCCAAGGAACAACACUAGCAAGUAUGUGGGAGACAUUUCUGAGUUUGAGCUGAUCAGAUGAUGCAAAACUAGAAGAAUUACGGGACCUUUUAUAGCAAGUAUCUCCCAAUACCCACAUGACACGUGUUACUAUGACCAUAAAUAUUAUAGGGUCCAUUUGUGCCCUACCGGGUUGAAAACUUGGACGCUUGGCCGAGGACACACCUGACUAUGGAGGACUAUUGACGUGUGAUCACAGCUUUUGGAUUUUUCUUCCUGUGCAGCUGUCUAGCGGUUGGCAUUAUUUUCUUAAUCUUAAAUAAAGGCAUAGUUAUAGAGUUGUUUAAUCUCUAAAUGGGAUUUUAUAUAUCUUCAGAUAGCCAUUAAUAUAUUUGAUGAAGAAAGACAAGUGCAUACAACAUGUAUACGGCUUGCUUCAAUCGAGUACAUUUAUGAUCAGUUUUCCUGUGCAAGUAAACCAGUUUUUUGUUCCACAACUAUUUUGGAAUCUUGUUUAUCAGUUUCUAUCAUUAUAAUGUCACAUAGGCUGCAAACUUGGGCACCCAAAGAUCUAGGUGGGCAAAUUUGUUUCAGACUUUCAAUGGUGGAUUCAGUAAUUGUUAAAAGGUGUUUCUUCAUUAAGGAAAGAGUCCGGUAAAAAUAUUGUUAAAAGGUGUCAUAGAAACUAUAAUAAAUAAAUAACUUCUUUUCCCCAUGGGUGGUGUUUCUUCUGGGGAUCAGUGACUGGUUAGGGUCACCCAAAAUGAGUCCAGAUUAAAAUUGGUUCGAGUCAAAGCAGUCUCUUUUGUCCAGAAAUCAACUAUUUUGCGCAUUGAAUGAAUCGAUAAAGAAAAAAUGAAAGCCAAAUCACACCUCCCCUGCAAAACCUAAACCCCGGUUGCUAACUUUCUAUGUUUCAGUCCUAUUCAUAUAGGAAUAUUGGUUCAAGUUUGAGAAAAAUGGCAACUUACCUAGGGUUUACUUGGUUUUGGUUUGCGACUAUUUACGCAACCAACCAUGAGUUUGACUUUAACGUCAUGGGUUGAAGCCUCCUACAAUCAUGUAUGAUAGUUCAAAGCUCGUGGAAGAAAUUAUACAGGAAGGAAGAAACCUCCAAAGCUAGCUCCAAAAGAGAAUUAUCACAUCGAUAGCUCCAGAGAUUCCCAAGGGAACUGAAUCAAAGACAAGUUCCUCACUUUUUCUUCUUUUGAGGCCAAAUAUGAACCAAGGAUCACACGACCUCAUUCAACUUCAUAAGUUUGAUUUCAUGCAGUUGAACACUGGGUGAAGGCCAUGACAAGAAUUGAUUAAAAAAUUCUACCACUCUUUUAAGUAAUGGAAGAUUAUUAUCUCUGAUUGGCACCACAACAGCACAUGCUGCUAGAUCUUUCUAGACACUCCAUGCAAUGAAAGCACAAUGGAUCUUGUAAUGAUAGAAACUAAGCCAUGCUACAGUACUAGAUGAGGGGGUAAAACUAGUAGACAUCUUUCUAGACACUCCAUGCAAUGAAAGCACAAUGGAUCUUGUAAUGAUAGAAACUAAGCCAUGCUACAGUACUAGAUGAGGUGGUAAAACUAGUAGACAUGGCUGGCAGUUGAUUACUACUCAAAAAGUACUCUUUUAUAGCUUGAAACUAACUGUUUUAAACACUUUUGAGUAGUAGUUAAUACCUUUUAACUUAAUUGGCACAUUAAGGAACCUAGCAAGGGUUACUAAUCAACAUUUGGCAAGUUUUGAUGUUUUUGGUAGCUAUUUGAUCAUUGAAACAAGCCAAGAAUGAGGGGGAAUUUUGUGAAGUCCAUGGCAAUGCAAGUUAAAGCUCAAAUACAUGAAGAAUCCAAGCUUUGGAGCACUUCAUAGCCCUUUGCCAAGCCAAUCAAAGAUGCAAGGAAGAAAACCAAAGGAAGAAAUCCAACAAUCAGCAUUUUGGCAUGGCUAUGUGAAAUUUCGCACACCAUGCGAAACCACAAGAGGCAGCCAAAGAAUUUCGCAUGGUAUGCGAAAUCUUCUUGUGCACUGACUCUGUUAGAUUUUUAUCUUCAGAUAUUUUGUGUAAUUUCCUAGUUUCUCCUUGUAACCAACUUAGAUAUUUUCUUUUAUAUCUUUUUUUAUAUUUUUUAGGUAACAUCAUAUAUAAGAGGAGAGACAUAAGGAGGAUAUGGAUGUUUUUCAUAGAACACUUGUAAAUUUUUGGUAGUAAGAAAUAUACAAAGCUUUUUGCUCUGCCUUACCUUCUCAAGGGAUGAGUGGCUAGGUUUUCUUGGAGUGAGGGAAGCUAGGUGAAGGACCUGAAUGCAAAGGUGGGAGUUUUCCUUACUUUAAAUGAAAGUAGUUGUUAAACAUUAAUGGUUUUUAUUUUAAGGUUUAGCUUUAAAUCCCUGAAAAACACCUUGAAUGGCCAAUACUUGGUAAGCUUUUUAGAUUCUAUGGAUGCUUAUUGCUAGAUCCAUGGAUGUCUAUUAGUUAUCAUUUACGAGCCAUUGGAAGGUGAUUCAAGGUGAGGGUCUUUAGUGUUUGAAGCCAUUAAUGGGAAGCAAUUACCAUUUUUUCAUGAAUCCUUUGGAUCAAAUCUUAAUUGCUAAAUAUAAAACCGGUUUCGAGAGAUAACCACCAUCCUUUAUGUUAUUAUCCCCAACGCGAGGAGAAGAUCCGAAAUCUUCCUUUUUAUCUAAGGAACCCGAUCCUAGUGACCUAAAGCUCCAAGAUACCUUUUCUUUGUAGUUAACUUCAUUUAUUGUUUUUGCUUAACUUAAAAUCAAUCUUUGCAACCACAAUUCCAUUUUCUUUAAAAGCUAAUUUUUAUAAGGAAAAACACCAUUUUAUUUCCUUCACUAAGUCAACUGUACGAUGAAAACCCAUCCCUGUGGACGAUCCUAGAGCCACUAUACUAUGUUAGCUAUGCUACCCUAGUGUGAGGUGAUUUAGGUUUUAUAAAUUUUUUUGAUAACACCCAUCUGAGCCAGAAUCAAAUGGCACGACUGAACCAGGGACGAAUCAAAUGACGCCGCUACCAAGGAUGGUGCCAAAGUACAUUGACAUGACUUUUGGUGAACACUUGUGAUCUUCACCACAAGUUUGGUGAUUUUUCUUUUACUAAUUUUUUUUAUUUUAGCUUAUCUUUUAUUUAGUUUUUAGUUAACCUUAAAUUUUUCCUAGAAUUGUAUUUCUUUUGUUUUCUUUGUUUUUGUUUCAGUGAUCUUUAGUUGUGCAUGCCCUAUUGGAUAAGAGAUAUUGAGGGAAUACUUGUGAAGAUUGAAACUCCUCGAGAAACUGAGUUAGAAGUGUGCUUGAACAUCAUGGAUGUUCCACCUGAAGACCAGAAUAGCCAACAUGGUUAAGAGGAUAAUUUCAACACAUACCGAUCCAUGAGGAACCGCAUACAUCCACCUUGUAUGAGUGCACCGUCAGGCAUAAUGCCUCCCACUGAGCAGCUAGUAAUCUGACCUCACAUUGUGCCACUCCUACCUACUUUCCAUGGGAUGGAGAGUGAGAAUCCCUACUCGCAUAUUAAGGAAUUCGAGGAGGUUUGUAAUACAUUCCAAGAAGGAGGAGCUUCAAUUGACUUGAUGAGGCUCAAGCUAUUUCCUUUCACUUUGAAGGAUAAGGCCAAGAUUUGGCUUAAUUCUUUAAGGCCAAGAAGUAUCCAAACUUGGAUUGAUUUGUAAGCCGAGUUUCUUAAGAAGUUCUUCCCUACCCAUAGGACCAAUGGUUUGAAAAGGCAAAAUUUGAACUUCUCAGUUAAAGAGAAUGAGAAAUUCUAUGAGUGUUGGGAGAGCUACAUGGAAGCUAUUAACGUUUGUCCUCACCAUGGCUUUGACACAUGGCUCUUAGUGAGCUAUUUUUACAAUGGUAUGUCUUCUUCAAUGAAGCAACUCCUAGAAACUAUGUGUGGAGGAGACUUCAUGAGUAAGAAUCCGGAGGAAGCCAUGGACUUUUUGAGUUAUGUGGCUGAAGUUUCAAGAGGAUGGGAUGAACCAAAUGCUAGAGAGGUGGGAAGAAUGAAGUCUCAACCUAAUGCUAAGGGUGAGAUGUAUGUUUUGAAUGAAGACAUUGACAUGAAAGCAAAGGUUGCAGCUAUGGCAAGGAGAUUGGAAGAGCUAGAAAUGAAGAACAUACAAAAAGUGCAAGCCAUUUCUGAGACAUCAAUGAAAGCUAUGCCUUGUUCCAUUUGUCAAUCUUAUAAGCACCUAGUGGAGGAGUGUCCUACAAUUCCAGCAGUGAGAGAGAUGUUUGGUGAUCAAGCAAAUGUUAUUGAUCAAUUCAAGCCUAAUAACAAUGCUUCAUAUGGCAACACCUACAAUUCAAAUUGGAGGAACCAUUCAAAUUUCUCUUGGAAACGAAAGCCACCUCAAUACACACAACCUACUCAAGCACCUUAGCAAUCCUCGAAUCUUGAACAAGCUAUUGUGAACCUUAGCAAGGUUGUGGGAGACUUUGUGGGAGAUCAGAAGUCCAUCAAUGCUCAACUGAAUCGGAGAAUUGACAGUGUGGAGAGUACAUUGAACAAAAGGAUGGAUGAGAUGUAAAAUGAUCUGUCUCAAAAGAUAGACAAUGUCCAAUACGUAAUCUCAAGGCUUACCAACCUCAACACAGUGUAAGAGAAAGGAAAGUUUCCUUCUCAACCUCAUCAAAAUCCUAAGGGUAUCCAUGAAGUAGAGGCUCAAGAGGGAGAAUCUUCAAAGGUGAGGGAAGUCAAAGUAGUUAUCACCUUGAAGAGUGGUAAAGAGGUUGAUCAACCCACAUCCAAGCCAAAGCAUAAUGAAGAGAGUGUAGCAGAAAAAGAAAAGAGAGGAAAAUAAAGGAAUUAGAAUAGAGAAAAAUACAAAGAAAGAUGACCAUGAGUCUAGUGUGGAUGAAGAGCCCGAGAGGAUGGUGAUCAAGGAAGAUAUGAUGAAGAAACACAUGCCUCCACCUUUCCCCUAAGCUUUGCAUGACAAAAAAAGAACCAAUAAUACAUCAGAAAAUUUUGAAGUAUUGAGGCAAGUGAAGGUCAAUAUCCCUUUGCUAGACAUGAUCAAACAAGUGUCGACAUAUGAAAAAUUCUUGAAGGACUUGUGCACUGUAAAGAGAGGGUUGAAUGUGAACAAGAAAGCUUUAUUGACCGAGCAAGUGAGUUCCAUCAUACAGUGCAAGUCCUAGUGAAGUACAAAGAUCCGGGUUGCCGUACCAUCUCAGUGAGUAUUGGAAGGACUUGUGUGGAGAAAGCUUUGUUGGACUUGGGAGCAAGUGUGAAUUUGCUAUCCUACUCUGUCUAUAAGCAGUUGGGAUUUGGAGAGUUGAAGCCAAUAUCCAUCACUCUAUCUCUAGCGGAUAGAUCAAUGAAGAUUCCAAGAGGGAUGAUCGAAGAUGUCCUGGUUCAAGUUAACAAAUUCUACUAUCCAGUAGAUUUUGUUGUUCUUGAUAUGGAUCCGGUUGUCAAAUGAACUAAUUAUGUUCCUAUCAUACUUGGAAGACCCUUCCUAGCUACAUCAAAUGCAAUCAUCAAUUGUAGGAAUGGAGUCAUGCAACUCACAUUUGUCAACAUGACAUUAGAGCUCAACAUCUUCCAUUUGUACAAGAAGCAUAUCCAUCAGGAGGAAAAAGAAGGUCUAGAGGAAGUGUGAAUGAUUGACACUUUAGUGGAAGAGCAUUGUGAUCGAGAAUGCAAAAAGAUUUAGUUGAGAAUUUUGGGGAUCUUGAUGAAAGGUUACUUGAACCCUCAGAUUUGCUUGCUACCCUACUCCAUUGGAAGAGAAGAGAAGAAAUUCUACCCUUAUUCAAUGAGGAGGAGACGCAAAGAGCUGCAAAGGAGAAACCCCCAAAACUUAUUCUUAAGCCACUACCCACAGAGUUGAAGUAUGUAUACUUGGAAGAAGACAAGAAGUGCCCUAUUGUUAUAUCUUCAACUCUUACCAUUCAUCAGGAGGAUUGUCUACUUGAAGUCCUUAGAAGAUGUAAGAAGACAAUAAGGUGGCUAAUUUCUUAUUUGAAAGGGAUCAGCCCUUUAGUCUGCACCCAUCAUAUUUACAUGGAGGAUGAAGCUAAGCUAAUUCAUCAACCUCAGAGAAGGUUGAACCCUCACAUGCAAGAGGUGGUUCGAGCUGAAGUUCUGAAGCUACUUCAGACCAGUAUUAUUUACCCCAUAUCAAAUAGCCCAUGGGUGAGUCCUACUCAAGUUGCGCCAAAGAAGUCUGGGAUCAUGGUGGUGCAAAAUGAUAAGGGAGAAGAUGUCUCUACACGCCUCACUACAGGUUGGAGGGUGUGUAUCAAUUACAGGAGGUUGAAUGCAGUGAUAAGAAAGGACCAUUUCUCAUUGCCCUUUAUUGAUCAGGUGCUUGAGAGGGUCUCUGGGCUUUUUUUUUUAUUGUUUCUUGGAUGGCUACUCCGGGUACUUUCAGAUAGAAAUUGAUGUUGAAAACCAAGAUAAGACCAUUUUCACAUGCCCAUUUGGAACCUAUGCAUAAAGGAGAAUGCCUUUCGGCUUAUGCAAUGCACCCGCAACUUUCCAAAGAUGCAUGUUAAGCAUUUUCAGUGAUAUGGUGGAGCGUAUUAUGGAAGUCUUUAUGGAUGAUAUCACCAUUUAUGGAAGUGCAUUUGAUGAAUGCUUGGUCAACUUAGAAGCUGUUCUGAACCGAUACAUUGAGAAAGACUUAGUGCUUAACUGGGAGAAGUGCCAUUUCAUGGUACACCAAGGGAUUGUCCUUGGGCACAUUAUCUCCAAGCAAGGCAUUGAAGUUGACAAAGCAAAGGUUGAACUCAUUGUUAAGUUGCCAUCCUCAACAAAUGUCAAAGGAGUAAGGCAAUUCUUUGGCCAUGUCGGGUUCUAUAGGAGGUUUAUCAAGGAUUUCUCUAAGCUUGCAAGGCCUCUUUGUGAAAUAUUGGUGAAUGAUGUUAAAUUCAUAUGGGAUGAUGGAUUUGAAAGGAGUUUUGAAGAAUUGAAGCUAUUUUUGACAACCGUACCAAUAGUGAGGGCUCCCAACUGGCAACUGCCCUUUGAAGUAAUGUGUGAUGUCAAUGAUUUUGCUAUAGGAUUUUUUCUUGGGCAAAGAGAAAAUGGAAAACCUUAUGUGAUCUACUAUGCGAGGAAGGCAUUGAAUGAGGCACAAAGAAACUACACAACCACCGAGAAAGAAUUGUUAGCUGUAGUUUUUGCCUUGGAUAAGUUUCGCGCUUACUUGGUGGGGUCCUUCAUCAUGGUUUUUACUGAUCACUUUGCUUUGAAGUAUCUGUUGACUAAGCAAGAUGCUAAAGCAAGGCUGAUUAGAUGGAUUCUCUUACUUCAAGAGUUCAAUCUCCAUAUCAAAGAUAAGAAAGGAGUGGAGAAUGUGGUAGCAGACCACAUUUCAAGGCUAGCUAUCGCACAUAAUUCCCAUGCUUUGCCCAUUAAUGACGAUUUUCUAGAGGGGUCUCUCAUGUUGGUGGAAGUUGUCCCUUGGUACGCUCACAUUGCUAACUACCUGGUCACGGGAAAAGUUCCAAGUGAGUGGAAAGCACAAGAUAAGAAGCACUUCUUUGCAAAAAUUCAUGCCUACUAUUGGGAAGAGCCAUUUCUAUUCAAGUAUUGUAUGGAUCAGAUAAUAAGGAAGUGCGUUCCUGAAGAAGAGCAACAGGGGAUCCUUAGUCAUUACCAUGAAAAUGCAUGUGGAGGCCACUUUGCUUAUCAAAAGACAGCCAUGAGGGUGUUGCAAUCGGGUUUCUGUUGGCCAUCACUUUUCAAAGAUGCCCACACCAUGUGCAAGAGUUGUGAUCGAUGCCAGAGGCUUGGGAAGUUGACACGCAGGAACAUGAUGCCUUUGAACCCCACUUUAAUAGUUGAUAUUUUUUAUGUUUGGGGCACUAACUUCAUGGGACCUUUCCCUAUGUCUUUUGGCUACUCUUACAUCUUGGUAGGAGUAGAUUAUGUUUCUAAGUGGGUUGAGGCAGUCCCAUGCAAACACAAUGACCAUAGAGUGGUUCUCAAGUUUCUUAAAGAGAAUAUCUUCUCAAGAUUUGGGGUGCCCAAAGCCAUAAUUAGUGAUGGGGGUACUCAUUUUUGCAACAAGCCUUUUGAAACUCUCCUAGCCAAGUAUGGGGUGAAGCAUAAGGUAGCUACACCUUACCACCCUCAAACUCAUGGACAAGUUGAGUUAGCAAACAGGGAGAUUAAAAACAUAUUGAUGAAGGUGGUGAACACAAACAGAAAAGAUUGGUCAGUCAAGCUUCUUAAUUCACUAUGGGCAUAUAGAACAACUUACAAGACCAUUCUCGGGAUGUCUCCUUAUCGCCUAGUUUAUGGCAAAGCAUGCCAUCUCCCUGUGGAAUUGGAAUACAAAGCUUGGUGGGCAAUCAAGAAGCUCAACAUGGAUUUGAGCAGAGCUGGGUUGAAGAGGUUCUUAGACCUUAAUGAGAUGGAGAAAUUGAGAAAUGAUGCCUACAUCAAUUCAAAAAUUGCAAAAGAAAAAUUGAAGAGGUGGCAUGAUCAGUUGAUUUCCCGCAAGGAUUUUCAAAAUGGACAAAGAGUCUUACUUUAUGACUCUAAACUCCACAUCUUUCCGGGCAAGCUGAAAUCAAGGUGGAUAGGUCAUUUUACCAUUCACCAAGUGCAUUCAAAUGGAGUAGUGGAACUACUCAACUCCAACAAUAUCGAGAACUUCAAAGUGAAUGGCCACCGUCUCAAGCCCUUUGUGGAGUCUUUUUCUCACAACAAGGAGAAAUUCAUCCUCCUUGAUCCACAUCAAGCUUAACAAGACCAAUUUUCUUGAUGGACUUAGUCUUUCUAAAGACUAUCGAGUCCAUAACUUUUUGUUUUAUUUUUUAUUUGAGAUUUUUUCGGUAUUGUUACUUGUUUUGUUUUUUAUUUUUCGUUUUAAUUUUAUUUGGUUUGAUUUAACUUAGGUUUUUGAUGAUCAAUUACAGGGGGGAUUUCAAAUAGAGGAAAAACCAAGAUAAUUCGCACACCCUACGAAAAUUUCGCAAGGCAUGCGAAAUUUAUGGCUUAUUUUGCAUGGGGUGAAAAUUUUCGUACAUCUUACGAACCAAUUUCGAACACUUUGCGAAAAUAAACCAACCCUGCGAAAUCAUUUCGAUUACUCUACGAAAUUUUCGUAGAGCAUGCGAAAAAUUUAGCACACCAAACACCAUUUCGCAUACUAUGCAAAAACCUAAGGGGUCUGCGAAACCAUUUCGCACCUCCAAAUCCAUUUCGCACAUUGUGCGAAAACCAAGAGGCGCUGUGCGAAAAUGAAAAGUCGCCCUGUCAUCCCUUUUUAAACCCCUCGAGCCCUAAAAUCUCCAUUUCGCAAGCACCCCUGUCCUUGCGAAUCCCUCAUUUUCCUCUACUACCUUGCAACCUCGUCCCUUUCCAUUUGAUAUUGUGCCCCGCGCACAUCUCAUUUCAGAGACUCGCACUCCGCGCCCCCUCAAAGCAUGGACUCGAGACCCACCUUCCAUUUCCGACGUGGCACGGACCCAAGGAGCCCUUUCUGCCCCUUCACUAAGACACACACCAAGGCAGAAAGCCUCCUUUGCUCAAGUGCCUAGUGAUUCUCCAUCUUAGGCCUCAGAGGCCUCGGAGGCCCCGUGGAUUCCACCUUCCGAGGGUAGAGCAGCCAUUGGUCCUUCCUCUUCUACUCCUUAGCGUAGAUACGAGACGAGGAGACCACCUACUACACAAGGGGCGACUACUUCGAGCCUUGAGAAUUCAGUACGAUGCCUUCCUGCCAAGAGGGUCAAGACUUCAGGUCCAAGUGAGUCAUCCAGAGCUUCAUAGCCUAAGCCUCCUGUAGAUUCCAAGGUUCCUACUGACAUAUCACCGGAGUCUAUUAUCAGAAGCCCGAUGCUCAUAGCACCGCCCAUUGAGGGCAACUCAGAUUAUAGAGCGAGAUCUUUCCACUUGGAGCUAUAUUUUGAUCAGGAGGCCAUACGACAGCAGCCUGAGCUCCGAGACUCUUAUGGCUUACUGCAGAGGUACCAUCUUGAGGAACUUAUGACUCCUCGUGAGUUUUUUUAUCCCAGAGUAGCACUAAACUUUUACCAGUCCAUGACUACUCGUGGCGUCCCGAGUCCUACCACGAUUCACUUCACCAUUGAUAGACGUCAUGGUAUCCUCAAGGCCAGACAUAUUACAGAGGCUCUACAAAUUCCUUUCGAGCUAGAGGAUCCAUCUGUUUUUCGCUAAUGGUCCCCAGUAUCUCAGAGGGACAUGGUCCGUAUUUUAUCUAGGGGAACAUCUACAGAUUCGAUCUUUCUACGGAAGGAGCUUCGACCUGGGAUGCUCCUCUUAGAUGUGGUGCUAUGCUCCAACCUCUUUCCCUUACAACAUUCGGUACAUAGGUGAUGAGCUAUUUUGGACGCUUUAUUCCGUAUAUCAGAGGGCUUCUACUUUGGCCCGCACCACUUGAUCAUGGUCUCCCUCAUCCACUUUGAGGAGAAGGUUCAUAGGAAGAAGCUUCAGAGGGUGGACACCAUUCCAUUACUAUUCCUGAGGUUACUUUGCCAGGUCUUGGAGUACAUGGGCUUUCCUACUGAGCCUCGGCUCGAGCUUUGCCGCCUUUGUCGAGAGUGAUCCACUCUCGACAAAUGGAAUUAGUUGGCGGGCUAUUCUGCACCUCCAGGAGCCCCUCCCAUGGUAGCACCUCCAAUGUCCCCACAGGCAAAGUAGGGCGAGCUCCCGGCAAAGACUGUACCACCAAUGCCCACACUUGAGGCUAUUUCUGCUGCUCUGCCUAUGACUCCUACUGUUCCACCAGUUGGUCCUUUUACAUCCGAGCCUUCCAUCACCAUCUCGGCUUCGGAGUUUCGCGCCCUUGUGCAUACCUUUCAGACACUCACCACCACACAUACUCCUCUCUUCUAGCAAAUGGUUGAGAUGUGUGCCCAUCAGGACCGGAAGACUACUAUACUCUGCCAAAUUCAGCAGCACCUAAGACUUUUGCCUCAACCUCAACCUAACCAUCCCAUAUCAUCAGAGCCUCUAGCUCCAACUGAGGAUACUAUUCCACCUGAGAACACUACCACAGUAGAGGUCCGGUUUCCACCACCUUAAGAGGCCACCACAGCUACAUCAGAGGAUGUGUCAUCUCCACUUGAGGCUCCCACUACUUGAUCAUAGGACAUAUCUUUAUCUUAUUGUAUUUACAUAUUAUAUUACUAGAGAUUUGUCCUUGUUUUGAUACUUUAUAUUCUGGGAUUGGAUGUAUUGCCUGAUGAUAUCUCAAUUGUACUUUCUCAUAUUAAUAUAUAGACAUCAAUUUUUUUUAGUAUACUUAGCAUUUUUCUAUUUCCUCUACUCAUUACUCUUUUGUUUUUUUUUACUCAUGUGGUUUCUCUUAUACAACUCAGACUCCAUUUCACUCAGGAGGUACCACUUCCUCCCUUUAUUUUCAAUUGCUCUUGAAAUAUUGAGUGCAAUGUUGAUCUUGGUUGGGGGGAGAGUUGAGGAAGGAAGUUUUGUUAAUAAUGCUAGGUUAAUUUGUUAAUUUAGUUACUUUCUGCUUAAUUUUAAAAGUUUUCACUCUACUUUCCAUGGUUAUUAAGGAAAAAUUCUCAAAAUGAAAUGGGAGAAAUCGAAUUCUUGCAUUUUUACUUGAAUCUUAGAAUUUGUAUCAUGCUUAUUAAAGUUGAUGAAUUAUUGAAACUCCUAUUGAAUUCAACCUUAUUUUUUCCACUUUAAUCUUACCACACACGGUGCACAUUAGGUUCCAGUUAUAAGAUAAAAAACUAUCUCACCCCCUAAACUUAGAAAAAUUUACACUUGGUACCUUUGACAUCGUUUUAAUAGUGUUGGGACACCUUAUAAAAGGCCAAUGAGCCUUUAAAAAAAAAAAAAAAAAAAAAAAGAGAAAGAACAAAGUAUUGCACUUGCCUUGAAACCUGAGCAAGAUCCGAGGGGUAUACAGUGAAAGUCUUUAAAACCUGGUGCCCUAAGCCUUGAUUGGUUGGGAGUCACCGACCUCAAUGCUCGUUAUAAGGGUGAAUAGGUGGAGUUUAACAUAUUGUAGGUGCUUGGGUAUUGAAUUUCAAUCUCAAAAGUCCGGGAAAAAAUCUAAGGAGUUAGUGGUCAAAAGAUCCUUAAAGCUUGAUGCCCUAAACCUUGAUUGGUUGAGAGUCAUUGAUGGAUCCCCGCUACAUGGACAUUUUAGAAAACAAUACCUUUAGCAUUGCACGCCUACAAUGAAAAAAAAAUGUGAAAUAAAAGAGGUGCGUUCUUAGCCUAUUGGAGGUUGGUCAGUUUGCUAAAGUUUGAGAAAUCUAGGUUGGGGGGAGAGAAUAGUCCGACAUACUAUAAUAAAAAACUAAUAACCUUAACACUUAGAUUUUUGUGGAAGAGUAAGGAUUGGACCUUUAGGGGUGGAAAUUCUUUUGAUGCUUAAAUUUGCAUAAUGCCUACUCUUUAUAAAUUAUGAUUAGGCAAGAGAUUUGAUGACUCUUGUUCAAAGUUGGGUUUUUCCUCUUUGAUGUUCCAUGAGAGAGUAUAAUCCUCAUCAUGCCACUUGAAAUCUUUUUGGAGUGAUUAACAUGAUUUUGUAAAUUAUUUUACUGUCUAUUUUUCUUUAUCUCUCUUUUAUUGCUAAUGGACUAGCAAUAUGUCAGUUGGGGGGAGUGAUUACUACUCAAAAAGUACUCUUUUAUAGCUUGAAACUAACUGUUUUAAACACUUUUGAGUAGGUGUUAAUACAUUUUAACUCAAUUGGCACAUUAAGGAACCUAACAAGGGUUACUAAUAAGUUUUUGGCAAGUUUUGGUGUUUUUGGUAGCUAUUUGAUCAUUGAAACAAGCCAAGAAUGAGGGAGAAUUUUGUGAAGUCCAUAGCAAUGCAAGUUAAAGCUCAAAUACAUGAAGAAUCCAAGCUUUGAAGCACUUCAUAGCCCUUUGCGAAGCCAAUCAGAGAUGCAAGGAAGAAAACCAGAGGAAAAAAUCCAACAACCAGCAUUUUCGCAUGGCUGUGCGAAAUUUUGCACACCAUGCGAAACCACAAGAAGUAGCCAAAGAAUUUUGCACACCAUGCGAAAUUUCGCAUGGUAUACGAAAUCUUCCUAUGCACCAACUCCGUUAUAUUUUUAUCUUCAGAUAUUUUGUGUAAUUUCCUAGUUUCUCCUUGUAACCAACCUAGAUAUUUUCUUUUAUAUCUUUUUUUUAUAUUUUUUAGGUAACAUCAUAUAUAGGGGGAGAGACAUAAGGAGGAUAUGGAUGUUUUUCAUAAAACACUUUUAAUUUUCUGGUAGUAAGAAAUAUACAAAGUUUUUUGCUCUGCCUUACCUUCUCAUUUUGUUUUCACCUAUCUUUCUAGCCAAACAACCUCUGAGAAUGAUUUCUCAGGGGAUGAGUAGUUAGGUUUUACGUUUCUUGGAGUGAGAGAAGCUAGGUGAAAGACCCAAAUGCUAAGGUGGGAGUUGUCCUUGCUUUAAAUGAAAGUAGUUGUUAAAUAUUAAUGGUUUUUAUUUUAAGGUUUAGCUUUAAAUCCCUUAAAAACACCUUGAAUGGCCAAUACUUGGUAAGCUUUUCGGAUUCUAUGGAUGCUUAUUGCUAGAUCCAUGGAUGUCAUUAGUUAUCAUUUAUGAGCCAUUGGAAGGUGGUUCAAGAUGAGAGUCUUUAGUGUUUGAAGCCAUUAAUGGGAAACAAUUACCAUUUUUUCAUGAAUCCUUUGGAUAAAAUCUUAAUUGCUAAAUAUAAAACUGGUUCGGGAGAUAACCAUCCUUUAUGUUAUUAUGCCCAAUGCAAGGAGAAGAUUUCGAAUCUUCUCAUUUGUCUAAGGAACCCGAUCCUAGUGACCUAAAGCUCCUAGAGACCUUUUCUUUGUAGUUAACUUCAUUUAUUGUUUUUGCUUAACUUAAAAUCAAUCUUUGCAACCACAAUUCCAUUUUCUUUAAAAGCUAAUUUUUAUAAGGAAAAGCACCAUUUUAUUUCCUUCACUAAGUCAACUGUAUGAUGAAAACCCAUCCCUGUGGACGAUCUUAGAGCCACUAUACUAUGUUAUCUAUGCUAUCCUAGUGUGAGGUGAUUUAGGUUUUAUAAAUUUUGUUGAUAACACCCGUCUGAGCCAGAAUCAAAUGGAACCACUGAACCAGGGACAAAUCAACAGCCUAUAUGGGAGGGACACAAGUUUAAUUGAUUUGCAUUUCAGCGUUAUAGAUAAGUAUGUUUUGGAAGAUUUGUUCUGGAAAUACUGCACCAAGUACGAUUCUUUUUCUCUUGAGUGAGUCCAUUUGCAUGCCAAUUAACGAGUUGAAAAGUAGGAGCACCUACCUCGUGCUCAUGGAACCGAAUGUCAGUGAAGUGGGGCUCCUUUUAGCCUCUUGUGUUUCUGUUCCAACCAAGGCGGCGUAGGGAAAAACAACAAUAUGUCUGUGCUAAAUAUCAACGCAUGAUAGAUGUUUUUUUUUUUUUUUUUGGUAUGUCAAGGCUAACGAAUGAAAUGCAUUAGCUUGUUUUGUGACUAUAACUGCAAAUGUCCAAAUUGGAGUAUCUCCAUUUCUCACUUCGGAUGGUUAACUUUAUAAACAAGAUAUAGGAAACAUGUGAACAUCUUGAGGAACAAUUCAAAUUAUUCAUUAGAAGUCCUGGGUUAAGUUCCAAGAUUUAAAUCAGACCCUUCUAGCAGCUUCAAGGGUACUUAGCAACCUAUAACAUAUUAAUGAAGAUUUAGGAUUUAGACUCCGGAAUACAAAUAAAUAUGUAUCUCAUGCUUUGACUAGCUUCCCUACAUAUGCAUAAAAUGGAGAUGACCCAAAAAAAAUAGCAGAAUCUAGCUUCCCUACAUAUGCACAAAAUGGAGAUGACCCAAAAAAUAGCAUAAUCGCCUUAGUUUCUGUGGUUAAGGUGAUUCUCCGCUUAAUAUCCACAUUGACUCAUUAUGCAAAAUCAACUGAGCUAAUUUUAUUUAUUUAUUUAAUGUCAAAUAGGAACUCCUAAUUAACUGAUUACUGUCGAAAAGUGCUAUUUUGUAGACCUAAUUAUAAGGGUUUUAAGCACCUUUGAGUAGUAAUCAUAUUCAUUUAACCUAAUUAAUUCAUUAAGCUCCUUAGUAAUUAGUUCUAACCAUUUUUAGUGGCAAGUUUACAUGUUUUUCAUCAGCUUAUGAACCAAUUCAAGCAUGCCAAUUGAUGGAGGAGCUACUUGGGCGAGUUAAGCAAGGAUUUUGGACGUUUACAGGCUUGAAUUUCAAGUGGAAACACGAGCACAAGCAAUGGGAACACCAUUUCGCAAGGGGAGGCAAUUCACCUUGCCAAAUGACCAAUUUCGCAAGGGGAUUUUCCUCAUGGUGCAAAAUUUGGUCAUUUCGCACCAUGAAGAAACCACCUUGCAAAAUUUCGCAAGGUGGAUUUAGGCACCUUGCGAAAUGCCAAAUUUCACAAGGUGGCUUUUCACCUUGCGAAAUUUGGACCUUUCAUCUUCCCCCCUUGCGAAAUGCCUUUGAAAUCCCCUGUUUUGAGACGCUGUUGAUGAUAUUCCACUGCCGGUUCUCCAAGAUAUUUUGCUUGACUUUUAGCUUUAUAAAUACCUAUUUUACCCUUGUAAUCAACCAAUGAAAAGGUUGCUUUUGUAAUAGCUCUUGUAAUUUAGCUUUUUAUUGUCUUUAAAUAGAGGUGAAGAGCCUCAGACACGAUCAUCUUGUAACCUGUAACUUUAUAAGUUAUAAGAGCACUUUUGUUCAUACGCUUCUUUUCUCUUUUCUUUCUCAUUUUCUUAGUAGCCAAACAUCCUUGGAGGAUGAAAUCCCCAAGGAUGAGAGGCUAAAACCUUUUAGUUUCUUGAAGUAAUGGAUGCCAUGUGAAGCUCCCGUGUCAGGAUGGAGAUUUCCAAGCCAUAAAUGUAAGUAGCUGAGCGUCAUAAAUGUUUUCAUUCAAAGUAAAGCUUUUAAUCCCUCUGACUUGCUUUGAAUGGCCAAUACUUGAUAACCUUUUGGUCUCAAUGGAUUCUUAUUGUUAGAUCCACUGACGUUCAUUAGUUAUCUCCUACGAGCCAUUGUAUUGCAAGUCGAGGAGAUGACCUAUACCAAUAAAAGAGCAUUUAUGAGGUUCAACUACCCUUUUUGUAAGUUUUCAAGGACUAAAACUCAGUUGUUAAACUCAUACCGGUUCGAGAAGUAAGCAUCACCUUAGUUGCUUCCCCAACUCGAGGUGAAAAGUCCCAAAAUCUCCAUUUUUACACAGUGAGUUAAGCAUGGCUAUCCAAAGCUUUAAGAAACUUCUUUUUCCAUCUUUUAACCUAUUUUCAUGUUAGUUUAGUUUACAACACCUUCAUCUUUUUAUGUUUUCAUCUUAACCUAAUUUUUAUUAAGAAAAGUUCACUCCAUCCUCCGAACUUCACCAGUUAAAGUAAAAACCCUUCCCAGUGUUCGAUCCUAGAGCCACUAUGCUAUAGUAGCUUUGCUACUUUAGUGUAAGGACCUUAGGUAUAAAUUUUGUUGAUACCCUUACAUGCCAAGCUACCAAGAGUCGGGUUAUCAUUAACCUAACCAUUGGCCUGUGUAAAUUGAUUUCACAUGCACAAUGUUGUAGUAGAAGUCCAUAUUUUGAAUUUUAUUUUUGUAAAGGUAAGGAAAAUGAAGCAUUGUGUAAUUAUAAAAAUAACUUCAUUGGAAUUCACAAGGUUCACCCAAAAUGGAGCUACAUCUGUAUUCUAUCCUACAGUAGACUAUAUAGAUUGUACAAUAGUAAAUUGCAAAUACAAUUAAUAAGUCUUGUGCUUCCUUACUAAUAAUCCUUUGACAUGAACAUUGCAGCACUAAGGUCCUCUUGGGAAGACACCUUGCACCCAUGAGAGCACUAAGAGGAAGCAAGGCAGAGUCAUGGGUGCAAUGUCAUGACUUGUUGUUGCACCAAGAGAGGCUUGGUGAUGCCAUGGUGUUGCAGUAGCAAGAAUGUUGCCUUGGCAGGGACACGAUCUAGGGAUAGAUGCCAAGAAAGGCUUAGCACUCACAUGAGUUGCACAAAGAUGAAUGUAAUAGAGCAUCAGAGAGACGUCUUGGCAAGUAAAUGAAUGGAUCCAAGAGACAACAACAUGAGGAGUUUCAAAUGGAUAAGGAAUGACUCAAAGACAUUUGAAAGCUACAAGUUGGAUUCUAAUUACGAUUGCAAUUUGAGUUUGAGUAGGAGUUUAGAUUUUGAUUGUAAUUGUAGUAUGAGUUGGACUAGGAUUGCUUAUCCUUAGUCAAUAUAGGAGCGGUUCGUGUCACCCUAUGAAAAGAGUUUGAGUAGGGACUAGGAUUGCUUACUCCUAGUCAAAUAUGGAGUAGGUGGUGCCACACCUAUAAAAAAAAGGGACAACAUGAGAGAGAGAGAGAGAGAGAAAGAGAGAGUGAAUUCACUAAAGAUAUUGUGGGAGUUUUGCUUUGUUACGUCUUGUAUUAUUACUUAGAAUAGGAAUAAAAUACAAGUUGGGGCUAGAGCCCCAUAAUUAAUCUCGUGUGCCUUUGUGGUUAUUCUUUAUUUGUCAUCUCGUGUGGAUUGGAUUAGGUUGACUUAGAGGGCUUCUAAGCACCACCUUUGUGGGUUAUUAUUUAUUUUCCAUCUCUUGUGGAUUAGAUUAGGUUGACUUAGAGGGCUUCUGAGCACCACCUUUGUGGGUUAUUAUUUAUUUUCCAUCUAUUGUGGAUUAGAUUAGGUUGACUUAGAGGGCUUUUAAGCACCACAUUUGUGGGUUAUUCUUUAUUUUCCAUAUCGUGUGGGUUGGAUUAGGUUGACAAGGAGAAAAAUUAUGUGGGAAAUUUGUGUUGGGACACUUACCAUAACCAAGUAAAAUCUACCAAGUCCUUUGUAAUAUCUUCAACAAAUAUUUUAGACUAGUUCUUUCAGUUAGUGUAAAGGAGGAAGAAGUGGUAUUGAUUCUAGAAAUAGGGUGUGUGUAUUUGAACUACAAUCCUUAUGAUCCUUAGGUCUCUAAACCUUCGUGAUGGGCUCCCUGACAUUUCAUAGGUUGUGCUACACAUGCGUUUGAAAUUUAGAGUGCGUUUGACAGUGAUUCCGGGAAGUGUUUUUGGCCUUUCUUACACUUGAAAAUUUUUAUUUUUCAAGUAUUAGAAAUGCUACAAACACUUUUGAAAAUUACUGUCAAACACACUCUUAGGAGCGCACAUAUAUAGUAGAAAACUAGAAAUUGUGGUUUUUUUAGGAUUUACUGUAAUGUCAUUAGGAGGGUAGUAAGUUGAAAUUGAGUAUGAACAAAUAUUUCUUUCUUUGGGAUGUUCUUCUAGUAGGUGCUGAUGAAACUGUUCUUUCUACUGCCAAUGUCACAUAUCAGCCAGAAAUUGAAAAUUUCAGUCAAGGUGUCCUCUGUUUUAGUGGUGAGGAAAGCUAGAAAUUUUAAGGUGAAGUUUUGUUAAAAACCUUAAGUAGCUGGGAUAUCAGGCCUGUUUUGCUUGAAAAAAAAAGUUGCAAGAUAACUCAUAUGCCAAACAGGUUCUGAUAUUGUGAAUCUAUCGGCAGACAUCAGUAAUCUCAUCUUCUGAGAUGGAUGUUGGGGGUGCAUGUGGUGGUGGAGGGGCAAGGUUUCAUUUGGUUUAUUUUGUUGAUGGAUAUUGUCUAGCCACCUGCGCCAAGUUUGAGGGGUGGUGGGUUGUGAUGACCCUACAAUUACUAUUAAUUUCUUCAUCUUUUACCGAUUAAAGUGUCCGAACAGUCGAAGUUACCCUUAUGCAUGUCAACUUGAUCACUUACCUCUUCAAUGGAGUUUAUGCUGGUUCAUUUAGGAACUGAUUUUUAUUGUUAUGUAUUAUAUGCUGAUGUUUAGGUCUCUCCAUCAUCACUAUAUACAAAAAUUCUAGGUUGAUACUAUAGGUUGAGAUUUAUUUUUUAAAUAAAAAAUAAUAAAAAUAAAAAUUAUGGUGAUGUUUAGUUGUUUUAUGGAAAAUUUUAACAAGUAAAAGUUAUUUUUGGGCAAGUUUUCAAACAAAAAGAAAAGUAAAAGUUGUUUUGACAAAAACAUAUAGAAAAAAAAAUCAUAGAAAAUAAAUAAUUUCCCCAUAUUCUAACUUUUUUGAAUUUUUCUCAAUGGGCAAAGGAAUAUCAAAUCAAGUUUGAGUAGGAUUUCUUAAUUUUUAAAAUAACUUACAAUUAAAAAAUUUUGGUGUUUUCAUUUUUGGACAAUUUUUUAUUAAGCAAAUGGACUCUGAGUCAUGCAAGAGAUAUGGUUCAUUAACCGGUCGAACAAUUUUUUUAAAUUAAUUUAAAAGUCAAAUACAUAAUCAAUUUCACAAAAUUUAUAAACAAAAAUAGGUUUAGAGAAGAUCUACACAUAAUUUUACUUUUCUAAUUUUAUUUUAUUUUAUUUUUUGUUGGAAAAUAGUCUUCAAAUCAUGUAAGAUUUAAUAGGUUAAAUUUGUUAACAAUAAAUUUUAAAUUAUAAAAUAUAAUCUGGAACUCAAAAAUCAAUUCAAGUAAUGCUAAAAAAAAAUCAAAUUUGGUAUAGAAUGACUUUGUAAAUUUUUUUACAAAACAAAUGAAUUUUAAAUCAAGUGAGAUUUAAUGCAUUAGAUUUUUAUCAAAUAUAGUAAUUUUAAAAAUAAAUUUGGAACUCAACAAUAGACACAAUAAAUACCAAAAAAUAAUGAACCAAAAUUGGUUUGGAAUAACUCCACAACCUUUUUUUUUUUUUUUUGGUGCACACGAAUUUUCUUACUAGGUAUAUUGCUUUCAAAUUGAGAAAGAUUUACCAUUUAGAUUUUUUUUUAAUGAGUUUAAUGGUAUUUUAAAAUAAUUCAAAAUUUAAAAAAUUGACUAAUUAAUAUUAUAAAUUGAUAAACCAAGACUAUUUCAAAAUGCAUUGGGGGCUAAGGGGGUUGAAAAUAGGGACAAUGGGAUGGGUUUGGGACAUGACACUCAUAUCUCAUUUCCAUUCCAAUUACACAGUUAUCUCCCAUCCUUAUCCCAAACUUGUGUUGGAGCAAGUUGAUUUGUUCCCAUCUUUGUUGACGAAAUGACUAAUAACCUCAUCCCCUCCUUAUCUUAGAUGUACAUUUUGUCAAAUUUGAUCAGGUAUGAUUGAUCCAAGCCCUAACCCUAAUUGGUAAUGAGUGAAUACUACACCUAAUUGCAUUCUUCUUUCAUUGCAAAAUAAUGAGAUUAUAAUAAUCUAGCAAAUAAGAAAAAAUAGUAUGGAAGUUCAAAUUAACACCAUAACUAUCAAUAAUUUUAAGCUUAUAGAUGACUUAAAUGAUUAAAAACUAAUGCAAAAUCCUAAAAAAAAUAAAAAUCAUAUAAAGAAUUCACAAGAGAACAGAAUGAACAAAAACCAAAUAUGAACAUGGGUCAACAUUAGUUAUGGAUUUGGAUUCCUUUCAAGGCCAAUCUUUGAACCAAGACUUCAUCAAAUCAACUACUUCAAAGGCUUUUGUGUUCUUCUUGGGUUGUGCUCUCAAACAAAGACUUCGAGGUGAUGUUCUAGAUGAUUGAAUUACACAUAUUUAGGGUGGAGAGAUUGGAGAAGCUUGAAGAUGCCAACGAUGGGUACAAUUGAGUGGUCAAUAAGAACAAUGUAGCCUAUGACUAGUUUGAUGUCAUGGUACAAGAGUUUUAGGCAUUGAGGUUAAAGCAAGAGCAACAUGGAAUUGAUUUCGGAGUCUUUCAGUUAGUGUAAAGGAGGAAGAAGUGGUGUUGAUUCUAGAAAUAGGGUUUUAAGUGGUGCGUGAUUACUACUCAAAAAGUGCUAUUUGAUAGCCUUUAAUUAAUCCUUUUUAACACUUUUGAGUAGUAGUUUAGGCCUUUUAACUCAAUUGGCAUGUUAAGGAUCCUUUAAAGCAAUUUUGAUCACUUUGUGCAAGUUUUGGUGUUUUUGUUAGUAUUUUGAUCACCAAAGCAAGUCAAGAAUGAGGAGAACUAUGAGGAAUCAUGGGCAAAGCUUAGAAUUCAAUUGCCAAGAGUGAAUCCGGAUUGCAAGGAGAAAAAGCAAAGAGAAUCUGUCAUGAAGCCUAUUCUUGAUGACAGUCGUAGCAGCCACUUUUGGAGCACUUUCUGAAGUCCAAAUGAUGCAAGCUAUAUACCAUUUCAAAGAUCAGGAAGUCAACAAUCCAAUGCUUCAAACGGUGCGCGAUUCGGAGUUGAAACGAAGAAGUUGCAGCCAUUACAAGCCAGUCACUCUAAAGUGUUGCGGAAUCAGCCUUUUGUUGCGAGAAUUUCGCAGCACUUUUGUACAGUAAGGUGUUUCUCCUUCUGACGAUGCACGAACCAUGCCGCGAGAGGGAAGCUAGGAACUUCAAGAUGGAAGCCAACUUUGCAGCCUGGUGAAGAUAGCUUGGUCUUGCGAAAUAAUUUCGCAGCCCUCUUGGGUGUCUGCGAAAUUUCGCAGGCACCACUUUUUUCCUGCGAAAUGGCUCCGGAAGCCUCCCGAAGCUUGCUACCGACAUUGGGAGAUAUUUUCCAUUAGAUUUUUGUUGUCUAAAUUCCAAAAUACUCCUUGUAAACCACCAAUUACAUGAUUCCUUAGUUUUUAAGUUAGUAAAAAGACCAAAUAUCUAUGUAAUAAUUAGUUUUAUAUUAGUUUGCUAUAAAUACCUCUCGGGAGCAUGUUCUCAGAGAGGAGUUCCUUCUGUAACCAUUUUGGUAAGCAAGUAAAGUCUUUUCUUUCUACUGCCUUACCUUCUCACUUUGUAUUUUCAUUUUAUUUCUAAGUUAUGAAUUCUCUGAGGAGCUUUCCCCAGAGAAUGAGUAACUAAACCUCCAAUUCCUUGGAGCUAAGGUUGCCGGGGAAGGUUCCAAGUGCAAGAAUGCAAAGCUCUGUGGUUUUAGCUAGUAAUGAAGAGGAAGUGAAAUCCUUUAGUGAUUUCAAUGUUUUUAGUUAACUUAAAACACCUUGGAGUCACCUGGGCCAACACUUGGUAAGGCAAGUGAUUUCCAACCGUGGAAAUGCACUAGUUUACCCCUUGCGAGCCUCUGGUAGGUGACUUCAAGGUAGGAUUUUCUGGAAUUACCAACACUUGGUAAGCUUUUGGACUCCUAGGAGACAUCCAUUAGUUAUCUCUUGCGAGUUUGUGAAGGGGAAUCCAAGGUUAAAGAUCACCUUGAAUGGUAAGUGCUCGUGAGAGGCAUGAACCAUUGCAAGUUGUAUCAGUGAGAGAAUUAAAGUGAAAUCUAAUUGAAGGAGUCUCUGUACAUCACCGGUUAGAGAAUUGACUAUAAGUUGAAUCUCUAAUGCGAGGAAAUGAACCAUCUGACCGGAGCUAUGUCUUUUGCAUGAGGAACCACCCCAGUGAACCUAAAUCUCCAAGGAAUGCUUUUCUUCCUAAAUUAUUCCAAACUUCUGUUAAGUUAGUUAGUUUAAGUCUAAACCUUUACCAAUCAAACUUUGUGUUUUAUUUCUUAAGCUAACCGUGAAAUGAAACAAAACCAAUUCACUUGGAAUUGGUAUCCUUGAUUGCUUGCAAAUCAUUCCCAGUGAACGAUCCUUAGAGCCACUAUACUAUAGUAGCUUUGUAUUUGCUACCCUAGUGUAUGGUGUUAUAGGUAUAAAUUUUGUUGAUCACUUCCUCAAUCAAGGAACACCAGCUGAACACAAAUCAGCUGAGACACCAAUUGGGCAUGAGUCAAAUGGCGCCGUUGCCGGGGAAUGAGUGUCAAGAUCAUUGUGAUACCAUUUUUGAGCACUUGUGAUUUUCAUCACAAGUUGGUAAAGUUUCUUUCACUUUACUAAUUUUCAUUCUCUCUUUGUUUAUUUACAAUCUAAGUUUAUCUUUUUAAAAUUUAGUCUAGUUUAAUUUUGCUAUUGUAGCCUUGUUUCUCUUGUUGUCCUCUGUUCUUGUUGUCCUCUGUUUUCAUUUUAGUUGCAGCUGAAUACUAGUUGUGUAUGCCAAAGUGGAUACGAGACAUUGGAGGUAGGCUUAUUAAGUGUGAUACACCUCAGAGAGGAGAAUUGGAAGUAAUCUUGAAUAUCAUGGAGGCUGCACCUGAAGAUCAGCAUAGUCACCAAGGUCGUCAAGACAAUCUCAAUGAAUUCAGAUCAAUGAGGGACCGUAUGCAUCCACCUCGUAUGAGUGCACCAUCAUGUAUAGUGCCCCCUACAGAGCAACUAGUGAUCAGACCAUAUCUUGUUCCACUUCUACCAACUUUCCAUGGGAUGGAAAGUGAGAAUCCGUAUGCACACAUCAAGGAAUUUGAAGAUGUUUGUAAUACAUUCCAAGAGGGAGGAGCUUCAAUUGAUUUGAUGAGGCUUAAGUUAUUUCCUUUUAAUUUAAAGGAUAAGGCCAAAAUUUGGCUUAAUUCUUUAAGGCCAAGGAGUAUCCGCUCUUGGACUGAUUUACAAGCUGAAUUCCUCAAGAAAUUUUUUCCUACUCAUAGAACAAAUGGCUUGAAAAGGCAAAUUUCAAACUUCUCAGCUAAAGAGAAUGAGAAAUUCUAUGAGUGUUGGGAAAGAUACAUGGAAGCUAUAAAUGCUUGUCCUCACCAUGGCUUUGAUACUUGGCUACUGGUGAGUUAUUUUUAUGAUGGUAUGUCCUCCUCAAUGAAGCAACUCCUCGAGAAAAUGUGUGGAGAAGAUUUCAUGAGCAAAAAUCCAGAGGAAGCUAUGGAUUUCUUGAGCUAUGUAGCUGAUGUUUCAAGGGGAUGGGAUGAACCAACUAAAGGAGAAGUGGGAAAGAUGAAGUCUCAGUUGAAUGCUUACAAUGCAAAGGCUGGGAUGUAUACUUUAAAAGAGGAUGAUGACAUGAAAGCAAAGUUGGCAGCUAUGACAAGAAGAUUGGAGGAGCUGGAGCUGAAAAGAAUGCAUGAAGUGCAAGCUGUUGCUGAAGCACCAGUGCAAGUGAAGUUGUGUCCCAAUUGUCAAUCGUUUGAACAUUUGGUAGAGGAAUGCCCUGCAAUUUCAGCUGAAAGGGAAAUGUAUAGAGAUCAAGCAAAUGUUGUUGGACAAUUCAGGCCCAAUAACAAUGCUCCUUAUGGAAAUACCUACAAUUCAAGUUGGAGGAAUCAUCCAAAUUUUUCAUGGAAGGCCAGAGCAACUCAAUACCAACAGCCGGAUCCACCAUCUCAACAAUCUUCAAGUAUUGAACAAAUAAUAGCUAAUCUCAGCAAGGUAGUGGGAGAUUUUGUGGGAAAGCAAGAAGCCACCAAUGCUCGAGUGGAUCAAAGAAUGGACAGAGUGGAUCAAAGAAUGGACAGAAUGGAGAGUAUGUUGAACAAAAGAAUGGAUGGAAUGCAAAAUGAUAUGAAUCAAAAAUUUGAUAACAUCCAAUAUUCAAUUUCAAGGCUUACAAAUUUGAAUACACUGCAAGAAAAGGGAAGAUUUCCUUCUCAACCUAACCAAAAUCCCAAAGGUGUCCAUGAAGUGGAAAGCCAUGAGGGAGAAUCAUCACAGGUGAAAGAUGUGAAAGCUUUGAUCACUCUAAGGAGUGGUAAGAAAAUUGAGCAGCCAACACCCAAGCCACAUGUUGAGAAAGAAGAAGAGAUGAAGAAAGGGAAGGAAAUGGAAGAUAAAGGCAGUGAGAUCAGUGAAGAAAAGAAGGACUCUGAUGCAACAAUGAAAGUAAUUCCAGAGAAGGAGCUUCUGAAGGAAGAAAUGCUGAAGAAAUCAACUUUUCCACCUUUUCCUCAAGCAUUACAGGGGAAAAAGGGGGUUAGAAAUGCAGCUGAAAUCCUAGAAGUAUUGAGGCAAGUGAAAGUUAAUAUUCCACUGCUGGAUAUGAUCAAACAAGUUCCAACGUAUGCAAAAUUCCUAAAGGACUUGUGUACUAUCAAAAGAGGGUUGACUGUAAACAAGAAAGCCUUCUUGACUGAGCAAGUAAGUGCAAUCUUACAGUGUAAGUCUCCUUUGAAGUACAAAGACCCUGGAAGUCCUACCAUUUCAGUCAUGAUUGGAGGAAAGGUAGUGGAGAAAGCCUUGCUAGACUUGGGAGCAAGUGUGAAUUUGCUUCCAUAUUCUGUCUACAAGCAACUGGGACUUGGAGAGUUGAAGCCAACAGCAAUCACUUUGUCUCUGGCAGAUAGAUCAGUGAAAAUUCCAAGAGGGGUAAUUGAGGAUGUAUUGGUUCAAGUAGAUAAUUUCUACUAUCCUGUAGAUUUUGUUGUUCUUGAUACAGAUCCUACUGUAAAGGAAGCUAAUUUAGUUCCUAUCAUCCUUGGAAGGCCAUUUCUUGCAACUUCAAAUGCAAUCAUCAACUGUAGAAAUGGGCUUAUGCAACUCACUUUUGGUAACAUGACACUGGAUCUAAAUAUUUUCUAUAUGUCUAAAAAGCAAAUCACUCCAGAAGAAGAAGAGGGUCCAGAAGAGCUAUGUAUUAUUGAUACUUUGGUGGAGGAGCACUGCAAUCAACAUAUGCAAGAUAAGUUGAAUGAAAGUUUUGUGGAUAUUGAGGAAGGUUUUUCUGAAUCUCCUAAUGGGCUUGCUACUCUACAAAGUUGGAGAAAGAUAGAAGGAAUUCUACCUUUGUUCAAUGAAGAAGAGGAGGCAGCUGUUGAAAAAGAAAUUCCAAAACUCAAUCUGAAGCCUUUACCUAUGGAGCUGAAAUAUACAUAUCUUGAAGAAAAUAAUCAAUGUCCUGUCGUAAUAUCUUCAUCUCAAACCAAGUCUCAAGUGAAGGAUGCAAGCUUCAAAUGGGAUCCGGGCAAACUGAAUCAGGAAGGGCAAAAAGUUUUGAUGUAUGACACAAGACUCCAUAUCUUUCCUGGGAAGCUCAAGUCAAGGUGGAUUGGUCCAUUUGUUAUUCACCGAGUAUAUUCCAAUGGAGUGGUGGACUUAUUGAAUUCCAAUGGCAAGGACAGCUUUAGAGUCAAUGGAUAUCGUCUUAAGCCGUUCAUGGAGUCAUUCAAAUCAGAAAAGGAGGCAAUCAACCUCCUUGAACCUCAAAAAGCCUAAGUGAAAUGGGUUUGCUGGACGUGGUUUUACCACAGUCCAAAAAUUUUUGUAAAUUUUGUAAAUUUUCAAGUUGUUUCCAUGCUUUUAAUCUUAGUUUUUGAUUUUAAAUCAUGUUUUUAGGUGUGUUUUAAUCGUUUUAUAUGAUCCCAGGCGGAAGAAAUUUCAAGGGGAUUGAAAAGAAAAAAAUCGGGUCGAAAUUGGAGCCGAAACAGAGCAAAAACAGGGGAAAAACAGAGCUCUGCGAAAUUUCGCAGGGUGAAGGAAACUUCUGCGAAAUUGGCAUUUUGCUGCCAAACCAUUCCGCAGCACUGUAGAAGCCUCUGCGAGUGUAUUUCGCAAUUGCGAAAGUGGAUUUGGCACACGAGUGCCACUUCGCAGCACAGUGACAUCAAUUUCGCAGCUGCGAAACUCACUGCGAAGUUGCUGCGAAAAUGGCAAGUUGCUGCGAAAUUGGCGUUUUGUUGCGAAACGUAAUCUGACCCCUGGGCUUCCGUUUUUCCUAUUUAUACCUGUCAAAAGUGCUGCGAAAAAGGUUUCAAAAAUUAGAGCACCAUUCUCGCAGCCCUUUCAUCUUCUUCGCCAAGCCACGCCGUCCGUUUCUCCGGUCGUCUUCUCCGUUUAGCAGCGCCGGCCAAAGAUCGAUAGCCCAAAAAUGGCACGAACGCGAGGGGCAAAGUCUUCAUCCCCUUCGAACCGCAAAAGGAGUCUGCGAAAGGAGCCAAGUUCAGGCUCUGUUCCAGAACCUGCUCCAAAGCCUUCGCCGUCGAGACCACAACCUUCUCCAGUGAAGCCGGCGCCACCAAAGCCGCCGGCAAGGCGAUAUUUAACCAGGUCAGGUGGUCAGCCAUUGAAGAAGAAAGCCAGAGUUGAGAGCUCUGAACCAAUCGAUUUGACUGAGCAAUCCCCUGAGAAAUCACCAAAUCCUUCACCGGUACAAAUUCCAGUGCCAUCACCGGUUCCCUCGCCAAUUCCCUCACCAGAAGCAACUCCAAUUCCAUCGCCGGUACCAUCUCCGGCACCCCAAGAAAAAGCUCAGGAGCCUCAAGCGCCAAUUCCAGAGCCCCAAAUUGCAGCUGAAGCACCUCUGGAAGAAGUGAUCCGAAGGCCAAUGCUGCCUCAGCCCCCAAUCGAAGGAAACCUGGAUUGCCGAACUCGGGCAUUCCAUUCUGAGCUUUGCUUCGAUUUAACAGCAUUCAGAGUGAGGCCAGAGCUUGCCCAAUCCUUCCAACUGCUGAGGAGAUAUCAUAUGGAGCAUCUGCUAGCUCCAAGGGAUUUUUUCUAUCCCCGGGUAGUCACGGAUUUCUACCAAACCAUGACAACCAAAGAAGUAAGAAAUCCAACUCUGAUUCAUUUCAUAAUUGAUGGAAGGCAUGGUAUUUUGGGAGCAAGACAUAUUGCUGAAGCCCUGCAAAUUCCUUUUGAGCCAACUCAAUUCGACAAUUUUAAAGCUUGGACAAAUCCUACUGAGUUAGAGAUGGUUAGCACACUAACCAGAGGAGCUGCAAAUCGAUCGCAUUUGUUGAGGGGGGAGCUACCUCCAGUUAUGUUUUUGAUUGAUGCCUUUUUGAGGCAUAAUAUCUAUCCCCUGCAGCAUUGGACCCAAAGAAGGGGAAUUCUCCUAGAAGCCUUGUACAAAAUGUCUGAAGGAUUCUUCUUUGGGCCUCAUCAUCUGAUCAUGGCAGCCCUUCUAUACUUUGAGGAGAAGGUUCACAAGAAGAAGCUUCAAAGAGCAGAUUGCAUUCCACUCCUCUUCCCAAGGCUGCUAUGCCAAGUUUUGGAGCAUCUCGGAUACCCCUCUGAGCCUCAGCAGGAAAGAAAGAGAAUAUGCCGUGAGCCUUUUACCCUUGAUAAAUGGAAUAAUAUGACGGCCUACAAAAUUGAUCAGCCUGGGCAGCCUCAGCCAGCAGCAAGGAGAGUCUCCCCAAGACAUAUACCUGAAGGUAUAACACUUGCUACUCCUGCCAUCCCUCGAGCUCCACCAGCUGCACCUGCUCCAUCACAGCCAUCCACAUCAGCUGAGCCGAGGAUGGCCAUCCCUAUAUCCGAAUAUCGAGAGCUGUGCCGUGCAUUGGAGACUCUUACAGCUUCUCAGAGCAAUCUUGCUCAGGAGUUGGCAGCCAUUAAAGCAUGCCAGGAGCAGAUGUUAGCCUCUCAGACUCAACAAGCUGCCAUCCUAAGGCAGCUUCAAGUCCAUUUCGAUCUGCCACAAGCUGUAGAGCCCUCUAUUCCUACUCCACCAGAGCCACACUCUCAGCCUUCAGAGUCUCAUCCUCCAGAACCCGAAGCACCAGCUGAUCCACCUACUGAGGAGGCAGAUCCUUCUGCCUAGCACCAUCACCCCCCUCAUCAGACAUUAUAUAUAUAUUUGCUGUUUAUGUUUUUAUGCAUGUUUGUUUUGUUUUAGUUGAAAAGAAAUCCCAGUAUUUUGGUACUAUAUAUGGGAUUCCUUGUGUUACUUGUCUUUAGUAUUGUAAUCACAUGAACUCAAAGUAAUACAAGUUGACUAUUUCUUGUUAAAAGUUAGCAUUAAAGUUUCCUUAUUUCCUUUUCUCACAUAUUCUAUUCUUUUUGAAACAUGUGGUUUUCCCCAAUCAAUAUUCGAAUUUGAUAUCAGCAUGGAGGUACCACUUCCUCCCUUUUAUUACAGUCACUCAAAUCACAUUGAGGACAAUGCUCAGUUCGGUUGGGGGGUAUGAGGAAGGAAGUAUUCUAAACCUUUUUGGUAUUGCAAUUAUAUUGGUUAAUUAGUUGUAGAUUUUACUUUUUACUAGUGUUACUCUAUUCUCCAUGAAUUUUGAGGAAAAAUUUUCAAAUUAAACCAAGAGAAAUUGAACUGUUGUUUUUCACUUGACUUAGAGUAUGGAUUAUGCUUACUAAAGUGGUUCAAUUGUUGAAACUUCUACUGAAAUUGAAUUGAGUUCUUCCACUUUAAGCUAUCCACACACUGUGCACAUUAGUUUCCGAUUAUAAGAUGAAAAGCUAUUUCCCUCUUGACUUAGUAUAUUUUUGGGACUUGGUAUAUUUGACCUCAUUUGAUAAAAAUUGAAACACCCUGCAAAAGGCCAAUGAGCCUUUGAAAUAAAGAAAGUUGUUUGCUUGCCUUGAAACCCGAGCAAGGUCUGAGGGGUAUAUGGUGAAAAUCUUUAAAGCCUGGUGCCCUAAGCCUUAAUUGGUUGGGAGUCACCGACCUCAAUGCUCGUUACAAGGGUGAAUAGGUAGAGUUAGCAUAUGGUAGAUGCUUGGGUAUUAGAAAUUCAUUCUUAAAAGUCCGGGGAAAAAUCCGAGGAGUUAGUGGUUGAAAGAUCCUUAAAACUUGGUGCCCUAAACCUUAAUUGGUUGGGAGUCAUCGAUGGACCCCCAUUACAUGGACAAGUCAGAAAGAGUACCCCAUAAAGCUACCUUAAAAAAAAAAAAAAAAAAAAAAAAAAAAAAAAAGAUGAAAGUGUGUUCUUUUCUUAUUGAUUUUGGUCAGUUUGCUAAAGUGUUGAAAAGAGAUAGGUUGGGGGGUGAGAUUAGUAGCAUAUUAUUCUCGGAACCUAAGGAACCAAUACACAUAGAUUUUUGUGGAAGAUUGAAGUUUAGUUCUUAGAAAAUGAAAUGAUUUUAAAACUUCAGUUUGCAUAAUGCACUCCCUUGAUUGACAGUGUUUAGCAUAGGUGUUAUGACUCUUGUUGAGAUUUGGGUUUGUAUUUCUUUAAUGAUUCAUGUGAGAAAUAGAUCAUCAUGCCACUUGAGAAUUAUUUUCCUUUUAGCAUGAUGUUGUAAAUUUUAGAUUAGUUUGCUAUUUAUUUUUUAUUUUCUCUCCUAUAUUGCUAAGGGACUAGCAAUAUGUCGGUUGGGGGGAGUGAUUACUACUCAAAAAGUGCUAUUUGAUAGCCUUUAAUUAAUCCUUUUUAACACUUUUGAGUAGUAGUUUAGGCCUUUUAACUCAAUUGGCAUGUUAAGGAUCCUUUAAAGCAAUUUUGAUCACUUUGUGCAAGUUUUGGUGUUUUUGUUAGUAUUUUGAUCACCAAAGCAAGUCAAGAAUGAGGAGAACUAUGAGGAAUCAUGGGCAAAGCUUAGAAUUCAAUUGCCAAGAGUGAAUCCGGAUUGCAAGGAGAAAAAGCAAAGAGAAUCUGUCAUGAAGCCUAUUCUUGAUGACAGUCGUAGCAGCCACUUUUGGAGCACUUUCUGAAGUCCAAAUGAUGCAAGCUAUAUACCAUUUCAAAGCUCAGGAAGUCAACAAUCCAAUGCUUCAAACGGUGCGCGAUUCGGAGUUGAAACGAAGAAGUUGCAGCCAUUACAAGCCAGUCACUCUAAAGUGUUGCGGAAUCAGCCUUUUGUUGCGAGAAUUUCGCAGCACUUUUGUACAGUAAGGUGUUUCUCCUUCUGACGAUGCACGAACCAUGCCGCGAGAGGGAAGCUAGGAACUUCAAGAUGGAAGCCAACUUUGCAGCCUGGUGAAGAUAGCUUGGUCUUGCGAAAUAAUUUCGCAGCCCUCUUGGGUGUCUGCGAAAUUUCGCAGGCACCACUUUUUUCCUGCGAAAUGGCUCCGGAAGCCUCCCGAAGCUUGCUACCGACAUUGGGAGAUAUUUUCCAUUAGAUUUUUGUUGUCUAAAUUCCAAAAUACUCCUUGUAAACCACCAAUUACAUGAUUCCUUAGUUUUUAAGUUAGUAAAAAGACCAAAUAUCUAUGUAAUAAUUAGUUUUAUAUUAGUUUGCUAUAAAUACCUCUCGGGAGCAUGUUCUCAGAGAGGAGUUCCUUCUGUAACCAUUUUGGUAAGCAAGUAAAGUCUUUUCUUUCUACUGCCUUACCUUCUCACUUUGUAUUUUCAUUUUAUUUCUAAGUUAUGAAUUCUCUGAGGAGCUUUCCCCAGAGAAUGAGUAACUAAACCUCCAAUUCCUUGGAGCUAAGGUUGCCGGGGAAGGUUCCAAGUGCAAGAAUGCAAAGCUCUGUGGUUUUAGCUAGUAAUGAAGAGGAAGUGAAAUCCUUUAGUGAUUUCAAUGUUUUUAGUUAACUUAAAACACCUUGGAGUCACCUGGGCCAACACUUGGUAAGGCAAGUGAUUUCCAACCGUGGAAAUGCACUAGUUUACCCCUUGCGAGCCUCUGGUAGGUGACUUCAAGGUAGGAUUUUCUGGAAUUACCAACACUUGGUAAGCUUUUGGACUCCUAGGAGACAUCCAUUAGUUAUCUCUUGCGAGUUUGUGAAGGGGAAUCCAAGGUUAAAGAUCACCUUGAAUGGUAAGUGCUCGUGAGAGGCAUGAACCAUUGCAAGUUGUAUCAGUGAGAGAAUUAAAGUGAAAUCUAAUUGAAGGAGUCUCUGUACAUCACCGGUUAGAGAAUUGACUAUAAGUUGAAUCUCUAAUGCGAGGAAAUGAACCAUCUGACCGGAGCUAUGUCUUUUGCAUGAGGAACCACCCCAGUGAACCUAAAUCUCCAAGGAAUGCUUUUCUUCCUAAAUUAUUCCAAACUUCUGUUAAGUUAGUUAGUUUAAGUCUAAACCUUUACCAAUCAAACUUUGUGUUUUAUUCCUUAAGCUAACCGUGAAAUGAAACAAAACCAAUUCACUUGGAAUUGGUAUCCUUGAUUGCUUGCAAAUCAUUCCCAGUGAACGAUCCUUAGAGCCACUAUACUAUAGUAGCUUUGUAUUUGCUACCCUAGUGUAUGGUGUUAUAGGUAUAAAUUUUGUUGAUCACUUCCUCAAUCAAGGAACACCAGCUGAACACAAAUCAGCUGAGACACCAAUUGGGCAUGAGUCAGUGCGUUAGAGGAUCAAGAAGAAGAAAAAGAAGGAACUGUUGGAAUUAGUAUGAGUGUGAAGAGAAAAGUAUAUAAAUAAGGGGAAGUAAAAGCAAAGUUCAAAAAGCUAUAUUUUUUUAUUGUUGGUGUAUGGUUGCAUGAUUAUCCCUAUAAAUAAUAGGAGUUUUUUGGUAUUCUACUAGUAGUUGAAGCAUAAUUUCAUAAAUUAAUAUUUAGAGCGGGGUGGGGUGAGUUGUGACAAAAUUCAUACCCGUCCCAAACCUUGGUUCAGAUUUUUAAAAUAUUCUCAAACUUAUCAUAUACCCAACUUUUAUAUUUCAUACUUGUCCUAAUAGAGGCACGUUAGGCCGGGUUACUUGAGUAACCUACAUAAUUGUCAUCCCUAGUUGAAAUACACUUUUUGGCAGUGGCCACCAACUGAGCUAGAAGCUUGAUUGAUUGACCUACAAGAUUAGUUCUCAUCAUUUUAAAAAAAGUUCUGGCUUUGGUUGUGAGUGCAAUUGAAUCUAAACUGGCAUUUGCUUAAUGCAUCUACUUCAAUCCUAAACUUCUUACUUCUUAAGCCUCAAUUGUUGUUAGGAUUUUGGAAAACCCAUUUCCUUAAAUUGUAAAUUUAAGAUAAAAUAAAAUAAAAGUGAGACAUUUCUUGAUUGAAUAUUGUUAAAGGUCCCUUGGCAUUAAGACUUGGUUGAAGCCUUGGAAGAUUAGUGGAACUCUCAACAUGUGUUUGAAUCUUGAGGAGAGUGGAUGUAAGCCAAAAUUUUGUCAAACCAUUAUACAAAUUGAGUUUGAAUCCUCAUUUCUUGAUUUCUUAUUUAUUUGCUUUUUCUUAUUAUUACUUGAAUUGUCAUUUGCAUUCAUUAAUGUUAAAAUUGGUUAUAAUUAACCAACACUAAUUCUCUUUCCCCUUCCCUUUCUUGGGUGUAAACCUAGGUUGGAUUAACUAGAUAAAUCUAUUAAGAUGGUAAAAGAAUAAUUAUUCUUAACAUACAUAAGAUCAUCUUCAAUCAAAUGACUCAUUGGCUAAUAUGUUGAAUUUGCUUAUUACUUGCAACUCAAAAUUGUGUUCUAGUUGUGUCAAGUCCCCAGUGUAUGGACAUUAAAUUUGUAGUACGUGAUGAGUAAUUAGAUGGUCCAACUCCAAGAAAGUGAUUGAAAAGUAGUUCAAGAAAGGUGCAAAAGGGAAUUGUUUUGGUAUUUUCGUUUUUAUUCUUGAAGGUGGCAGAGCUAAAAUUUGAGAAAUCAAGCAAAACAUACUGAAAUUACAUUGAAAGAAAGAAGAUGGGAGUUAAUGUCUUGCAGUACAUGAUAAGGACUUCAUGCAUGUAGUGUGACCCAUGUCUUGGACUGAUGCCAACUCACGGUUACACUUAUACCCUUGGUUCUCUCUUUACUACCUUGGCUAACCUAGAUCAGGCUAUGAGAUAGGCUCCUCACCACACCAUUACUUGCCCAUUAAUUAGAGACAUUUUCAAGCAAUGAGGUAACAUGGUGACACCAAGAGGGUCUAUUCCUCGCCCGGAACAAGUCUAGACUUGGUCUCAAAAAAAUGGAGAAAAAUGAGGUGUCGUUAUGUAGAAAUACAACAACCAUGCCUUCCUCAUUACUUAGAUUCAGAAUGUGAAGGUGAAAUUGAGAAACAGAAACUCUUGAAACCAAAAUGAAAAUUGAUACUUUUACGAAGAAUUACAACAACAUUAGAGGAAGACUACAUUCUUCCUCUUUAUUCCUACAUUUCUACACUACUUCUACUCCACUCCAUAUUUCUACAUACAUCUUUAAUCAGUCUUCCCUCCUUUAUAUAGAGCCAUCUUCACACAAAUUUCGCAAGGUAGAAAAGAGGAAUGAAACUUGGAGCAAGGUUCGACUACUGGUUGUAGCUUGUCAAGGCUGGAAGUGAACUUUUCUUGGCUUUCUGGGCAUGGGUAGUAACUUGUGGGUUCCUGUUUGGCAUAAAAAUGGCUAGAACAUGUGGCACUAUCUUGUUGGAUGAUGUGUCAAGCAUGUGGCAGCCAUCUAGUGGCGAUUAUGUCAAUUUUGGGAUGGAGAGUUGGCAUCCAAUUGCAAAGAAAUAUGACGUCUACCAACAUGCAAUGUAAACCUAUGUAGAUCAUAUGAAGAUAGAGAGGAAAAAUAUAGAAAUGGAUAUAUACCUAGAACUAGCUUUUUAUUAAAUGAAACGGAGAGACAACAAUGAAGGAAAAUAAAAUUUUUUGGCUUAUAUCAAAGAGUUCACAUUGUGUUACCCUAGGUUUUCUUAAAACUUACUUUUAUGAUAACAAAAAAGAAAAAACCAUUAUUGUUUAAUCCUUUGUUUUAAACGCAUGUAAGGUGUAAUUAAGUUAGUUCAAUGCAUUAAUUUAAGAAACUUGACCUAUCAAAAGUACAAAAUUAGAUGAAAUCCAUUUCAAUGGUUAAAAUGAUCAAAAUCAAACUUUUUCUAAGUAUUUUUUAAAAGCAUCAAUAGUGAAAGACAAUUUUAUAUUUAGUCGGAGUUUGGACAAAACUGAAAAACACACAAAAUCCAAGCGACCAUCUCUAGCUUGGAUGGUCGCUUGAUCCCACCUAGAGAUGUGCAUGAGUAAAAGGAUUUGAAAAUGGAAAUUGACUAUGUAGUCGAUCAAUUAACUUUGCAACAUCAUAUGCAAUCCUAAUUGCUAGUCAUCUAAUCAAUUAGGUAGUCAAUCAACAGGCCAAAAAUAUGUUUAUAAUGACUAUUUUGUACAAAAACCACCUGUAUAGUUAAAUAUAAUGCAUUUCAUUUAUAAAUCUUCUAAUUCUUGAAUAACGAUCCUAUCAUCCUUUGAAAGUUUUUAUUACACUUUUUUUACUUUUGUUCUAAAACUUACACAUCACCCUUAAUUGUACCAUGAGAACCUAGCUAUUUUUUAUUUUUUUUUUUGUAAUUCAUCAAAGUUAGCUUUUGUAUUCAUUGUUGUAUUAUUUUUAGUAUAACUUAGAAAGCUAGUGUUUUCAAGUGAGUAAAAUUAACUUGUAAAUAUUGUAAAGAUUCAUCGACAUGUAUCUUAAACUAAGUGUACAAGUUAAAACAUUUGCUAGUAGAUUUUCUCAAAAUUUAGAAUAGAGCUUGAGACUAUUGAAAUAGGUGGGGUUGCACCAAACCACAUCACAUCGUUGUUUGCACCUUUUUUCACUCUCUUUUACUUAGUUGCUCUAUAUUUGUUGUCUAGUAAUAUCCUAUAGGCUUGAUGGGUUAGGGAGCAUCCCUUUGUGAAAAAAUUUUAUUCAAUCCUUAGUUGUAUCACGCAUAUAUAAAAUGCCUCAUUGUUUUAAUGGUAUUCAGUCGUGGCAUCACAGAUAUGGGCAUCUAAAUUUUAAAAGUUUGAAACUUUUAUCUAAAGAAAAUAUGGUGCUUUGCCUUUUUGUAAAGCAUGUUGAUGAAAUCCAUGAGAAUUGUGUACUUGGGAAGCAACACCGAGAUGACUUUUUUUUUUUUUUUAUAAUAUUGUUUGUCCAAAUUCCCUACAAAUUAGGCCACCAGAUGUUCAUAAUUCUCCCUUCUUGAAUUUGAAAACUCGGACAAUUGGACAAUGCGACACCUAAGUCCGGUUUCUAAAUGCUAAAGUGAAAGGGUAGGUAUGGACCAUUGAAAUGUGAUCACAACUUUUCUCUGUAGCCAUGUUGUCUCUUUUUUCUUUUGCAUGAUUUUCUUACCUUAACAGAAUCAUAGACUUGUUUAGUCUCUAAAUGGGAUUAAUUUCAUCCAGCUUUAAGCUACUAUAUUAUAUCUAGGUGGAGGACUUUUAAGAGUGCAACCGACAUAGAGCACAUGGAAGUGGGUAUAUGGGACAUGAAAUUUCUUCUUAUAAAGAUUGCAUGAUUUUUAUAUUAGAGUUGUUGAGGCGCUAUGUAUUUAGCUUGUUUUGCAGUUAAAUUAAUUGGAUAAGUAGACAUUGGCGUUUCUAAAUCUACUGUGAAGUGCUUCAUGUACGUGUGAAGUAUUAGAAAUUUCUUUCUUGGCAACUUGUUUUUCUUUGCGGUCUACUGAUAGGUUUGACUAAAAUUAUAUUCCCUGUCAUGCUAAUUAAUUUUCACGUGCAUGCUCAAAAGAAAAGUAUGACCUUAGUGCACCAAAAUCACUUUGAUUAAUUUGUGAUAGGUUUUUGUGCAUCAUGACAUUAGCCUUAUUCAUUUAGAUAAUGUUUAGUUUUUAGAAAGUAUUAAGAAAAGGAAAAUAAAUAUUAAGAAAAAUAUUCUUAUAUUUGAUUGUAUUAUGAAAAAUAUCAUAAAAAAAUCAAAUAUAAUUUAAAUUAAUUAAUAAUUUAUACAUUUUCAAAUUAUUUAAUCUUUAUAUUGAAGAUAUAAUAUAAAUGAAAUGAGUUUUAAGUAUUAUAUAAAAGUGAUUUAUUGAUCUUACAUAUAUAUAUUUCUUUUUUUUUUCCUUCUAUUUUUUCUCUUUAUUUUAUUUUCCUUAUGUUUUCCUCAACAUUUUCCGGAACCAAACAUAGCCUUAGGAAAUCCACAAUUACCUUCAACUGAGUAGAUUCUGUUGUUUUAGCAAUGUUAGGCUGCUAACUUGUGUUGGUACGAACCUAUUAAGCCUAAAGAUGUAAUUAGUUAGGAUAUUCUUUUCCCUCUAGUCUUGUAGCUCCACGUGUACAGUUGGUUAGGACCUCAUUGUAUAUAAUGCUUGCCCUGUUAUUGUAGAAGACAACAAAGAUAAAUAAUAUUAACAUUUUUCCUCUCAUCUCUCUCUGUUUCCCUCUGUUUUCAUCUCCUCUCUCAUCUUGGUAUCAGAGCCUCCAUGGCUUCUUUCAAAGAAACCUCCGAAUCACCUUCUGCUAGCAUUGUUAAUGUGCAAAACCCAUUAUCUCAAUCAAACAACCUUCCUUCACCAGUAGCCACACCCUCUUUUUCUUUCUCGUCUAUGAAUCAACCUCUCACAGUGAAGCUGGAUAAUGGGAACUACCUCAUAUGGAAGAAUUAGCUUCUAAAUGUCAUCAUUGCUAACGGACUCGAUGAUUUCAUUGACGGAUCUCGACCCUGCCCUCCUCGAUUUCUCGAUCUGCAACAACAAACCCUCAAUCCAGAGUACUCAGCUUGGCAGAGAUACAAUCGACUUCUGAUGAGUUGGCUGUACGCAUCCUUGUCCAAAGAUAUAAUGGCUCAGAUUGUUGGGUAUUCAACAGCUAUGGAGAUUUGGAAUGCCCUUAAUCAGAUUUACUCUGCCUCUUCUAUGGCGCGGUUUACUGAGCUUCGCACCAAGCUUCAAACGCUCAAGAAAGAUGGACUCUCAGUUGGUGAAUAUAUUCAAAGGCUCAAAUCCAUUUGCAAUAGUCUUGCAGCAAUAGGAGAACCAGUUUCUGAGAAAGACCAUCUUAUCUAUUUGUUCAAUGGAUUAGAUUGUGAGUAUUAUUCUUUUGUUACCUCCAUUCAAAAUCGAUCUGACCAACCAACUAUUGACAAAAUCCAUAGCCUAUUGCUUAGCUAUGACUUCCGGCUUGAACAACAAAACUCUGUUUCUCUCCAUUCUGCCCAAGUCCAUAUGGCUCAUCUGAACAAGAAACCUUAUAAAUCAACUCCUCAACCUACAUUCAAUCAUAUUCACAUUCAACCUAGAUACUCUUCUCCACCUUUUAAGCCAACCACUAGUCAAUAUCAACCCAACAUUUUGGGCAAACCACAACCACAACCAUGACAGCCUCAACCUCAAUGGAAACCACAUUUUUCAAUCUAAAAUCAAAAGCCUCAGCGCCAAAUUUGUGGUAAAUUUGGACACACUGCUCUUAUUUGCUUCCAUCACACAAAUUUGAACUAUUCACCCCAACCUUCUCCUAAAUCUUUCAAUACUGUUCUCACCACAAAUUCCCAGCUCCCUAAUCCUCCAAAAUUUUCUUACCCUACAAUGGCUCAUCCUGCUGCUACGCAUAACACGGUUCCCGAUACAAAUUGGUACAUGGACUCAGGUGCUACACAUCACUUUACUCUGGACAUCAACGUGCUUGACACUGUGACACCAUUUAGUGGUUCAGAACAGGUGACAGUUGGGAAUGGUAAGCAACUCUGUAUCUCACAUCUUGGUACUGCAAAACUACCAUCUUCGUAUUCUCCUCCUGUUCUACAUCAGGUAUAUCACACUCCAAAAAUUUCAAAUAAUCUUAUUAGUGUUAAAAAAUUGUGUUCUGAUAAUAAAGUUUUUGUUGAAUUUUAUGCCACUCAUUUUCUUGUCAAGGAUCAGGUUUCGAAGAGAGUUCUCCUUUAGGGUCAACUUGAUAAUGGCUUAUACAAAGUUCAGUCGUCAUGCUCUCCUUCUGCUGUUUCCUUUCCUCCUCAAGUUUUCAUAGCCAACAUCAAGUAUCCAAAUCUGUGGCACAAGAGACUAGGCCACCCAGCUUUAUCUGUUGUUAAUCAAAUCUUGGAUUCUUGUAACAUUGCUCGAACACAGAAAAUUUGUUUUAAUUUUUUAAAUUCUUGUCAAUUAGCAAAGAGCCACAGGCUUCCUUUUUCUCUGUCUCCAUCCAUUGCAGAAAAACCUUUUGAGUUAAUUCAUACAGACCUAUGGGGUCUUUCGCUCGUUCGCUCUAUUUCUGGUGCUCUUUAUUUUUUACUUUUCAUUGAUGAUCAUACUCGUUUUACUUGGUUUUAUUUGCUCAAAACAAAAGAUGAAGCAUAUCCUACUUUUCUCAAGUUUCAAGCUCUCAUUGAAAAUCAAUUUAAUACCAAGAUUAAGGCUGUCCAAUCUGAUUGGGGAGGUGAGUUUCGAUCUCUCUCCAUACCGUUUUCAAAUAUGGGCAUUGUCUAUUGUUUAUCGUGUCCAUACACCUCACAACAGAAUGGGCGAGUUGAGCGAAAAAAUCGCCAUGCGAUUGUCCUUUCUUGCUUGCUCUAUGCCCUUAUCUUAUUGGCCUUAUGCCUUUCAAACUGCCACUUACCUUAUUAAUCGUCUCUCUACCCCUGUGCUGCAUCAUCAAUCCUCUUACUUCGCACUCUAUCACAAACUCCCAACUUAUACUCAUCUUAAGGUCUUUGGUUCCUCUUGUUUUCCGUAUUUGCACCCUUAUAAUACCCAUAAACUCCAAUACAGGUCACUAGAGUGUGCUUUUCUUGGUUACAGUUCACACCACAAAGGUUAUCUAUGUCUUGACAUUCAUUCUAGCAGGGUGUAUAUUUCUCGCCAUGUGAUUUUUAAUGAAGAUUCUUUUCCAUUCAAGAAUUUGAAAUCUUCUCUCUCUCAGUCUAUUUCUUCUUCCUCUUCUUUAUAAGUUCCUCUGUUCAUUCUCUUGCCUCCCCUUUCCCCAUCUCCUCUUAUUUCUUCAUCUAUACCUCAUUCUUUUCCCUCUUCUUCUUCUACCUCUAGUACUUGUUCCCCUCUCGUUGCUCCUACCUCUCUUCCUUCCUCUUCACACUCUGUGUCUCCAUCUAUUCCACCUCCUUCUCCACCUUCUCCGAGUGUGGACCUGCUUGCACCUUGUGUGAAUACAAAUUUACAUACUUCUUCUCGCACUCACAAUAUUCAUCCUAUGGUGACUAGAUCUAAGGUUUGUAUCUAUAAACCUAAGUUGUUGUUGAGUGUCUCCAUAGGUUCUCUCACUAAGCCUACUUCCUUUCUUCAAGCUAUUAAAGAUCCUUCAUGGAAGCAAUCCAUGGAAUUCGAGUUUGCUACCCUUCAACACAACAAGACCUGGCAUUUGGUUCCUUCACCUUCCUCAGGCGAAGUAAUCGGUUGUAAAUGGGUCUAUAAGCUAAAGCUUCAGCCUGAUGGCUAAAUUGAGAGAUACAGCCUGCUUAGUAGCUAAGGGUAUCAUCAAAUUGAAGUAUGGACUACUUCGAAACAUUCAGCCUGAUNNNNNNNNNNNNNNNNNNNNNNNNNNNNNNNNNNNNNNNNNNNNNNNNNNNNNNNNNNNNNNNNNNNNNNNNNNNNNNNNNNNNNNNNNNNNNNNNNNNNAGCUUCAGCCUGAUGGCUAAAUUGAGAGAUACAAGGCCUGCUUAGUAGCUAAGGGUUAUCAUCAAAUUGAAGGUAUUGACUACUUCGAAACAUUCAGCCUGAUUGUCAAGCUUUCUACUAUCUGUAUUGUGCUCAGUCUUACUUUUUCCCAGAAUUGGUGUAUUAGACAGCUGGAUGUUCAUAAUGCCUUCUUACAUGGUGACUUAGCUAAAGACGUUUUCAUGGAACAACUGCCUGGAUUUGUUGAUCCUCUCUAUCCUACUCAUGUCUGCAAGUUGGAUAAGUCUCUCUACUGUCUUAAAUAGUCACCUCGGGCUUGGUAUACUAAGCUGAGUACUUCUCGCUACACUUGGGAUUUGUUACUUCUAAGAAUGACUCUUCCUUAUUUAUUUGUCAUUCGUCUCAUGGGUUACUUCUUGUUCUUGUCUAUGUGGAUGAUAUAAUCGUCAUUGGGAGCCACUCUCCUCAGGUUACUCACCUUAUCCAACAGUUGCAUCAUUAGCUUUCUUUAAAGGAUCUUGGUCCUUUACAUUAUUUUCUGGGCUUGGAGGUUCAUCACACCCCUACUGGUAUUCACCUCAGCCAAGCAAAGUAUAUCACUGAUCUCCUUACCCGGGCGGCUAUGUUGGAUGCCAAGCCAUGUCCCACUCCUAUGUCCUCCAACACAUAUCUCUCUUUUCAUGAUGGAGUGGCUCUUGAAAAUGGUUCAGAUUAUCGAAGUUUUGUUGGUGCCCUUUAGUAUUGUACCAUGACACGCCCAGAUAUAGCUUUUGCAAUAAAUAAAGUGUGUCAAUUCAUGCACCAUCCCUCUAAUGUUCACUGGCAGGCUAUAAAACGUAUUCUCCGGUACUUAAAGGGCACAUCUCAUUUUGGUCUCUUCCUACAGCCUUCCUAUGACUUCAACAUCACUUGCUAUACAAAUGCCGACUGGGCUUCCUGUCCUGAUGACAAGUGUAGCACCAGUGGCUACUGCCUCUUUCUUGCCUCUAAUCUGGUUUCUUGGUCAUCUUCCAAACAAAAAGUGGUCUCCCGCUCCAGCGCCGAAUCAGAGUACCGAGGGGUAGCAAAUGGGGCUGCUGAAAUUGCUUGGACUGAAUCUCUUCUUUGUGAACUUUCCAUUACUCCCCCUCCCCUCAUUCUCUGUGACAAUAUCAGUGCCACGUACUUAGCUGCCAAUCCUAUUUUGCAUGCCCGCACCAAACAUGUGGAAAUCGACUAUCACUUUGUCACGGAACGUGUUCUUCAAUGCUCUCUUUUUGUCCAGUUUACACCUUCUGAUGAUCAACUUGCUGAUUGCAUGACCAAGCCUCUCUCCACCCAACGUUUCAUCACUCUACGCUCCAAGCUCACUGUUCUCACUAGACCAAUGAGCUUGAGGGGGGAUGUUAAGCCUAAAGAUGUAAUUAGUUAGGAUAUUCUUUUCCCUCUAGUCUUGUAGCUCCACGUGUACAGUUGGUUAGGACCUCAUUGUAUAUAAUGCCUGCCCUGUUAUUGUAGAAGACAACAGAGAUAAAUAAUAUUAACAUUUUUCCUCUCAUCUCUCUCUCUGUUUCCCUCUGUUUUCAUCUCCUCUCUCAUCUGAACCAAAUGAUCCAUGUUAACCUUGGCUUGGUUUGAUUUGGCUCUAUCUUAGAGAGCUCAAGGAUCACGUCAACUCUGGUUUCUACUAUUCAGGUCCAUUCCCAUAUGAACUGGUUCAAAUUUGAGAAAAUGGUAACAGACCUUUAGUGAUGUUGGUUUGGAGCCAGUUGCCAAACCCGCCCUGAGCUUUACCACUAAUGUCAAGGGAGAAAGCCAUUUGAACAAAAACAAUAGCUUCAAGGGACUGAAUCGUGGAUGAAAUCUGAUCCACAUUUCUUCUCAUUUUGGAAACAAAUGAGAACUUAACUAAGAAGAUUCUACGGCCUCAUAGUGCUUUUCCUGAUCUAAGGUUGGUUCGUUUCCCAAACUGUGAGAUGCACGUGCCAGACUUCAGAACUCUCACGCUCAGGAGUGUAUCCACGUGGUGGACAUAAGAUGGUGGCUUAAGAUCUGGUGUCGGUGGCUUUACUUUACUAGGAGAGUAGUGUGUCUUCAUCUCAUUCACUGCCGGAGGGUGGCGUAAGCAGUGACGCUAAGGUGGGGCACAGUCAAUAUCAUUUGCAUUUGACCAUUAUAGUUUUCUCCCGGCUUUAAAGUAACCUUAUCGUGAUAAAGGAUUACUAGCACUAGUUCAGAUGAUAGUCAUGUUAAAUUCGGACCAUGUUUGUGUCACAUUAUCAGCAACCAUGUGUUUAUGGUUCAUGCUUUCUGCAACUAAAAUUGAUAUAUAACCAGGUGAACUUCAAUCUAAAUUCUGAAAGUACUCAUGUGAUAGAUGGUGCCCGUCUGCAGAGUCCAUCAAUUGAAAAAUGGAGUGAGUGUAUCUAUAAGAGGGAAGGCUUGGAAAAUGUUCAGUUUUCUGGGAAUUCAACAAGGAUCUAAAAUAGAUUGUUUUCUUUGCUGAUUUCAAUGGUUGAAAUUUGAGAAGAUUGUGUCCACAUAACACAACUAUUACUGGUCCUUCUGUUGCAAUUUAUCCUCUAAAGCUCUAGCAUGUCUUCCAAUUCCCACUUCCCUGUUACUCCAGGAAAGCUAUUUCUGUCAUUGUGAAGAAGAAAAGAGAAUGUACAUAUCGAUGCUUUUAAGUGACUGGAGCAUUUAUAUCAGGUGGUCUGCAGCCAUAUAUGCCACUUUGUGAAGAUUGGAACAGUCAAUCACUAGGCUAUAUAUUAGUGUGGCCCAGCCACUUUAAUCAAGGACAAGUCUUCAUACUUAAAGUCAAAUUCUGCCUUUAGUCUCAUUAUAAAUUUCUGUUUAAAUAUUAAGCAAACAUUUGUUUAAUGCGAUUAAGACAGUACUAACUCAAUACCUGUUCUAUUUUUGGAUGCAAAUGCUUGAUGGUUUCAUCAUUGGAUGGGAUAAAGGUGCAUUCAUGAUUAGGAAUACUAGUAGUUAUAUUUUAAUUCUCUUUUUUCUCAAUGAGACUUGUUGGCACAAUUUUGCUGUUGAGAAACCUACCUCUCCAUGGAAAAUAAGUUGUGAUUGAUAGUACUGGAUAUAUUCAAGAAAUCUAAAUAUAGAUAGCACAAAAUAUUAUCGACAUAAAUAGCAUUAACAGCGUACGUAUGUCUCAGUGCUCAUCAGCUAUAAGCAUGGGGCAAACACUUACUAUGAGCAACUUACGUCAAAAUUCCAGAAUAGGACAUAGAAGUGACAGAUAUAGAACAUUGCAUAUGAGUCACAAGAAAGGAAAUUACGGGUGCAUAGCAGCUCUUAUUUUACAUACUACUACUCAUACUGAUCAAAGUCACUCAGUUGGGAUGGGUGGGAGUAGGAGGUUUGUGGGGUGGCUUGUGCGGAGGAGUUGGCAGCUUCUUUCCAGGACCUGGUUGCUUCUCUGCUGGAGUUGAAGGAGGCUUAAUCUUCCGAGGUGGCUUGUAUGAGUCUUCAGCAUUCUCAGCUGGAGGGUGACCAGGGUUGUGACCAUAAUGUGGUGGCUUCUCUCCCUUAGGUGGUUUGCCAACUGGGGUUGGUGGCUUGUAUGAGUCUUCAGCAUUCUCAGCAGGAGGGUGACCAGGGUUGUGACCAUAAUGUGGUGGCUUCUCUCCCUUAGGUGGUUUGCCAACUGGGGUUGGUGGCUUGUGUUCUGGGAGUGGCUUCUCCCCCUUGGGAGGUUUUUCCAAUGGGGUUGGUUUGUGUUCAGGAGGUGGCUUCUCCACUGGAGGCUUGUGUUCAGGAGGUGGCUUCUCCACCGGAGGCUUGUGUUCAGGUGGUGGCUUCUCCACCGGAGGCUUAUGCUCUGGUGGUGGCUUCUCGAAUGGGGGAUGCUUAGGAUAAUCAGCAAGUGAGGGGGCGGUGAGAACCACCAGGCCAAGCAACACCACUAGCAAAUAUGUAGGAGACAUCUUUGGGUUUGGGCUCAGAUGGUGCAAAACUAGGAGAAUUGGCUAGCCUUUUAUAGCGGAUCGUACCCAAUAAUGAAAUGACACGUGUCAUUAUGACCCAUGUGUAAUGGGGUCGAUUUGGGUCCUACAGUGUUGAAAACUUCGACAUCCACUUUUGGCCUUUUGCUUUCUCUACAGCCGCCUUGCUUUUUCCCUCUUUCCUUUUGUUUUCCUCCUGCCCCAUUCUAUCAACUAAACACAAUUAUGUAGUUGUUUAAUUCUUAAAUGAGAUAUUAUCCGUCAAUCGUAUUAUAUUUUAUCAAGAGAGAACGGAGUGCAAUGUGGCUGUAAUUUUAUCGUUUAGUUUUAUCUCUUGGACCACUGCAUUUUUGUUAAGAGGUGCAAUAAUACACGUCUUUAUCUGCCAUUCAAUAUUUACAGUAAAGAGAGGGCACAAAACUCUUCACUUCGCACCAUAAUUAUUUUGUUUUCUGGACACCCCGGGGCCCUUUGGUUGGUUUGGGGGUCAGAAAGUGAACAUCAUAGGGGGUUUUUCCCUUAUGUGCAUUUGUAUCUGAUGGCUUUAACUCGCCUUGUUACUACAAAGAAACUGUCACAGAUAGGAACUUAUUCCAGGCUGAGUAUCUCCUCAUAGACCCUAUAAAAGAAGACAAGUCAUAAUGAACAUCUAACCUUUGUUCAAUUUGAUUCAAUGCCCCCAUUGUGUCCAUCUCACAAAUCUGAAUUAUUAUAUCCAUUGAAUACAUAAAUUAAUGAAGAAAAUAUGAAACCCAAGAUACAUCUCUGCACAACCUCAACCCUGGUUGCUAUGUUUCCCUUCUAUUCACAUGAUUUGAUGCUAAUUGCCAAACUUGCAACAAGCCCUGAGUUUGACACCUAGUAUCGAUGGGCGAAUUUAAAGUCUCCUCCAAACAUAUAUUCCACAGCUUGAAGCUCACAGAAGAUGUUACAGGCAGGGAAAAACCUUCAGAGUUCGCUACCAAAGAUAAUUAUUAAGGAGAUAUCACAAAGAGAAUUCCAAGGGGUCUGAAUCAAAGACAAAUUGGUCGUUCGUGGGGGUUCUUACUUUCUUUUGGGUAUAACUCACUGAGGGCACUGUCUUUGUUAUUUGCAUUUCACAUUUAGAGUUCUGUUCUGGAAACAUAUAAAAGGAGCAUCAUUUUGUUCUUGGGUAACCCAUAGUCGUGAGUGGGUCCAUUUGCAUGCUACUUAGUUGAAAAGUUGGACCAUUUGCUCCGACGCCUACCUCCCGGAUUCCAUGCUCGGAUAAAACAAGAAUAAAAAAAAUAUUUAUAAUUUACAAAUGGGGGAAAGAAAAAAAUGUCAACAACAAACCAGGAAAAAAGAGUAGUAAAAUUCAUGUCACAUGCUAGUGAGAGAAGGGGUUGUUACACUCACUCGAAGUUCUUUCCAAAAUAUCGCAUGGUAUUUUAUUUUAUGUGUCAGCGCAGUUGUGAAUGGAACGUGCAAAAGUCCAAAUUGGCGUUUUUCCUUUUCCCGUGUAGGAUGGCGACCUUUAAUAAAUAUUUAAAACAAAAAACGAAAAAAAGGAGGGAAAAGGGAUCAGAAAAGAUAAAACAAUGUGUACAAGAGCUCAAUUAGUUUGCAAAUUACUGUUUGGAUUUUGAUAGUAUUUUAUUUGUCCAUCUAUAUUUGAUGGAAAAGAGAAUUUAAGAUAUUUCUGAAACAAAAGCAUUAGUGUAAAACUAAAUUAAGGUAUAAUUAAGUUAGUUCAAUGCAUUAAUUUAAGAAACUUGAUCUAUCCAAAGUACAAAAUUAGAUGAAAUCCAUUUCAAUGGUUAAAAUGAUCAAAAUCAAACUUUUUCUAAGUAUUUUUUAAAAGCAUCAAUAUUAAAAGACAAUUUUAUAUUUAGUCGGAGUUUGGACAAAACCAAAAAGCACACAAAAUCCAAGCGACCAUCUCUAGCUUGGAUAGUCACUUGAUCCCACCUAGAGAUGUGCAUGAGUAAAAGGAUUUGAAAAUGGAAAUUGACUAAAUAUUUAGUUGAUCAAUUAAAUUUGCAAUGUCAUAUGCAAUCCUAAUAGCUAGUCAUCUAAUCAAUUAGGUAGUCAAUCAAGUGUUUGUAAUGACUAUUUUGUACAAAAAACCACAUGUAUAGUUAAAUAUAAUGCAUUUCAUUUAUAAAUCUUCUAAUUCUUGAAUAACGAUCCUAUCAUCCUUUGAAAAUUUUUAUUACACCUUUUUUACUUUUGUUCUAAAACUUACAUAUCACCCUUAAUUGUACCAUGAGAACCUAGCUAUUUUUUUUUUUUUUGUAAUUCAUCAAAGUUAGCUUUUGUAUUCAUUGUUGUAUUAUUUUUAGUAUAACUUAGAAAGCUAGUGUUUUCAAGUGAGUAAAAUUAACUUGUAAAUAUUGUAAAGAUUCAUUGAUAUGUAUCUUAAACUAAGUGUACAAAUUAAAACAUUUGCUAGUAGAUUUUCUCAAAAUUUAGAAUAGAGCUUGAGGCUAUUGAAAUAGGUGGGGUUACACCAAACCACAUCACAUCGUUGUUUGCACCUUUUUUCACUCUCUUUUACUUAGUUUCUCUAUAUUUGUUGUCUAGUAAUAUCCUAUAGGCUUGAUGGGUUAGGGAGCAUCCCUUUGUGAAAAAAUUUCAUUCAAUUCUUAGUUGUAUUACGCAUAUAUAAAAUGCCUCAUUGUUUUAAUGGUAUUCAGUCGUGGCAUCACAGAUAUGGGCAUCUAAAUUUUAAAAGUUUGAAACUUUUGUAAAGCAUGUUGAUAAAAUCCAUGAGAGUUGUGUACUUGGGAAGCAACAUCGAGGUGACUUUAUUUUUUUUUCCUUUUAUAAUGCCACACCUAAGUCCGGUUUCUAAAUGCUAAAGUGAAAGGGUAGGUAUGGACCAUUGAAAUGUGAUCACAACUUUUGGCCUUUUCCUUUCUCUGCAGCCAUGUUGUCUCUUUUUUCUUUUGCAUGAUUUUCUUACCAAAACAGAAUCAUAGACUUGUUUAGUCUCUAAGCUACUAUAUUAUAUCUCGGUGGACUUUUAAGAGUGCAACCGACAUAGAGCACAUGCAAGUGGGCAUAUGGGACAUGAAAUUUCUUCUUACAAAGAUUGCAUGAUUUUUAUAUUAGAGUUGUUCACGUGCAAUGUAUUUAGCUUGUUUUGCAGUUAAAUUAAUUGGAUAAGUAAACAUUGGCAUUUCUAAAUCGACUGUGAAGUGCUUCAUGUACGUGUAAAGUAUUAGAAAUUUCUUUCUUGGCAACUUGUUUUUUCCUUGCCAUCUACUGGUAGGUUUGACUAAAAUUAUAUUCCCUGUCAUGCUAAUUAAUUUUCAUGUGCAUGCUCAAAAGAAGAGUAUGACCUUAGUGCACCAAAAUCACUUUGAUUAAUUUGUGAUAGGUUUUUUUGCAUCAUUUAGAUAAUGUUUAGUUCUAAGAAAAAUUUAUAUAAAAAUGGUUUAUUUAUCUUACAUAUAUAUAUAUAUAUAUAUAUUUUUUUUUUUUUCAUUUUUUUUUCUUCUAUUUUAUUUAUUUAUUUUAUUUUCCUUAUGUUUUCCUCACAUUUUCCGGAACUAAACAUAGUCUUACGAAAUCAACAAUUGCCUUCAACUGAGUAGAUUCUGUUGUUUUAGCAAUGUUAGGCUGCUAACUUGUGGUGGUACGAACCAAAUGACCCAUGUUAAUCUUGGCUUGGUUUGAUUUGGCUCUAUCUCAGAGAGCUAAAGGAUCACGUCAACUCUGGUUUCUACUAUUCAGGUCCAUUCCCAGAUGAACUGGUUCAAAUUUGAGAAAAUGGUAACAGACCUUUAGUGAUGUUGGUUUGGAGCCAGUUGCCAAACCCGCCCUGAGCUUUACCACUAAUGUCAAGGGAGAAAGCCAUUUGAACAAAAACAAUAGCUUCAAGAGACUGAAUCGUGGAUGAAAUCUGAUCCACAUUUCUUCUCAUUUUGGGAAAAAAUGAGAACUUAACUACAAAGAUUCUACUGCCUCAUUCAUAGUGCUUUUCCUGAUCCAAGGUUGGUUCGUUUCCCAAAUUGUGAGGUGCACGUGCCACUCUCACGCUCAGGAGUGUAUCCACGUGGUGGACAUCAGAUGGUGGCUUAAUAUCUGGUGUCGGUGGCUUUACUUUACUAGGAGAGUAGUGUGUCUUCAUCUCAUUCACUGCCGGAGGGUGGCGUAAGCAGUGACGCUAAGGUGGGGCACAGUCAAUAUCAUUUGCAUUUGACCAUUAUAGUUUUCUCCCGGCUUGAAAGUAACCUUAUCGUGAUAAAGGAUUACUAGCACUAGUUCAGAUGACCGUCAUGUUAAUUCGGACCAUGUUUGUGUCACAUUAUCAGCAACCAUGUGUUUAUGGUUCAUGCUAUCUGCAACUAAACUUGAUAUAUAACCAGGUGAACUUCAAUCAAAAUUCUGGAAGUACUCUUGUGAUAGAUGGUGCCUGUCUGCAGAGUCCAUCAAUUGAAAAAUGGAGUGAGUGUAUCUAUAAGAGGGAAGGCUUGGCAAAUGUUCAGUUUUCUGGGAAUUCAACAAGGAUCUAAAAUAGAUUGUUUUCUUUGCCGACUUCAAUGGUUGAAAUUUGAGAAGAUUGUGUCCACAUAUCACAACUAUUACUGGUCCUUCUGUUGCAAUUUAUCCUGUAAGGCUCUAACAUGUCUUCCAAUUCCCACUUCCCUGUUACUCCAGGAAAGCUAUUUCUGUCAUUGUGAAGAAGAAAAGAGAAUGUACAUAUCGAUGCUUUUAAGUGACUGGAGCAUUCAUAUCAGGUGGUCUGCAGCCAUAUAUGCCACUUUGUGAAGGUUGGAACAGUCAAUCACUAGGCUAUAUAUUGGUGUGGCCCAGCCACUUCAAUCAAGGACAAGUCUUCAUACUUAAAGUCAAAUUCUGCCUUUAGUCUCAUUAUAAAUUGCUGUUUAAAUAUUAAGCAAACUUUUGUUUAAUGCGAUUAAGACAGUACUAACUCAAUACUUGUUCUAUUUUUGGAUGCAAAUGCUUGAUGGUUUCAUCAUUGGAUGGGAUAAAGGUGCAUUCAUGAUUAUGAAUACUUGUAGUUAUAUUUUCAUUCUCUUUUUUCUCAAUGAGACUUGUUGGCACAAUGUUGCUGUUCAGAAACCUACCUCUCCAUGGAAAAUAAGUUGCGAUUGAUAGUACUGGAUAUGUUCAAGAAAGCUAAAUAUAGAUAGCACAAAAUAUUAUCGAUAUAAAUAGCAUUAACAGCGUACGUAUGUCUCAAUGCUCAUCAGCUAUAAGCAUGGGACAAACACUUACUAUGAGCAACUUACGUCAAAAUUCCAGAAUAGGACAUAGAAGUGACAGAUCUAUAUAUAUAGAACACUGCAUAUGAGUCACAAGAAAGGAAAUUACGGGUGCAUAGCAGCUCUUAUUUUACAUACUACUACUCAUACUGAUCAAAGUCACUCAGUUGGGAUGGGUGGGAGUAGGAGGUUUGUGGGGUGGCUUGUGCGGAGGAGUUGGCAGCUUCUUUCCAGGACCUGGUUGCUUCUCUGCUGGAGUUGAAGGAGGCUUAAUCUUCCGAGGUGGCUUGUAUGAGUCUUCAGCAUUCUCAGCUGGAGGGUGACCAGGGUUGUGACCAUAAUGUGGUGGCUUCUCUCCCUUAGGUGGUUUGCCAACUGGGGUUGGUGGCUUGUAUGAGUCUUCAGCAUUCUCAGCAGGAGGGUGACCAGGGUUGUGACCAUAAUGUGGUGGCUUCUCUCCCUUAGGUGGUUUGCCAACUGGGGUUGGUGGCUUGUGUUCUGGGAGUGGCUUCUCCCCCUUGGGAGGUUUUUCCAAUGGGGUUGGUUUGUGUUCAGGAGGUGGCUUCUCCACUGGAGGCUUGUGUUCAGGAGGUGGCUUCUCCACCGGUGGCUUGUGUUCAGGAGGUGGCUUCUCCACCGGAGGCUUAUGCUCUGGUGGUGGCUUCUCCACCGGAGGCUUAUGCUCUGGUGGUGGCUUCUUGAAUGGGGGAUGCUGAGGGUAAUCAGCAAGUGAGGGGGCGGUGAGAACCACCAGGCCAAGCAACACCACUAGCAAAUAUGUAGGAGACAUCUUUGGGUUUGGGCUCAGAUGGUGCAAAACUAGGAGAAUUGGCUAGCCUUUUAUAGCGGAUCGUACUCAAUAAUGAAAUGACACGUGUCAUUAUGACCCAUGUGUAAUGGGGUCGAUUUGGGUCCUACAGUGUUGAAAACUUCGACAUCCAGUUUUGGCCUUUUGCUUUCUCUACAGCCGCCUUGCUUUUUCCCUCUUUCCUUUUGUUUUCCUCCUGCCCCAUUCUAUCAACUAAACACAAUUAUGUAGUUGUUUAAUUCUUAAAUGAGAUAUUAUCGGUCAAUCGUAUUAUAUUUUAUCAAGAGAGAACGGAGUGCAAUGCAGCUGUAAUUUUAUCGUUUACUUUUAUCUCUUGGACCACUGCAUUUUUGUUAAGAGGUGCAAUAAUACACGUCUUUAUCUGCCAUUCAAUGUUUACAGUAAAGAGAGGGCACAAAACUCUUCACUGCUCUGCAUGUGUCCCAAAAAUGCGAUUGGACAAAUUAUGAUUUGCAUGCUAAAAAGAGGCAAAUGAGGUUAAUUCGCACCAUAAUUAUUUGGUUUUCUGGACACCAUAAAAAGAUGUUAUACAGGCAGGGAAAAACCUUCAGAGUUAGCUACCAAAGAUAAUUAUCAAGCAGAUAUCACCAAGAGAAUUCCAUAGAGUCUGAAUCAAAGACAGAUUGCUCGCUCGUGGGGGUUCUUACUUUCUUUUGGGUAUAACUCACUGAGGUCACUGUCUUUUUUAUUUGCAUUUCACAGUUAGAGUUCUGCUCUGGAAGGUUUGUUCUGGAAACAUAUAAAAGGAGCAUCAUUUUGUUCUUGGGUAACCCAUAGUCGUGAGUGGGUCCAUUUGCAUGCUACUUAGUUGAAAAGUUGGACAAUUUGCUCCGACGCCUACCUCCUGGAUUCCAUGCUCGGUAAAACAAGAAUAAAAAAAAAUAUAUAAUUUACAAAUGGGGGAAAGAAAAAAUGUCGGAAAAAAUAGUAAAAUUCAUGUCACAUGCUAGUGAGAGAAGGGGUUGUUACACUCACUCGAAGUUCUUUUCAAAAUAUCGAAUGGUAUUUUACUUUAUGUGUCAGCGCAGUUGUGAAUGGAACGUGCAAAAGUCCAAAUUGGCGUUUUUAUUUUUCCCAUGUAGGAUGGUGACCUUUAAUAAAUAUUUAAAACAAAAGACGAAAAAAAAAAGGAGGGAAAAGGGAUCACAAAAGAUAAAAUAAUGUUUACAAAAGCUCAAUUAGUUUGCAAAUUACUGUUUGGAUUUUGAUAGUAUUUUAUUUGUCGUUCUAUAUUUGAUGUAAAAGAGAAUUUAAGAUAUUUCCGAAGCAAAAGCAUUAGUUUGCUCUGUGAUGUCCCACAUCGAAUAGGGGAGAAAGUUUCUGGCGCUAUAUAUGUAGAGGCUCCUCUUAACCAAGUAGAUGCGUUUUAAAACCAUGAGGGCCCCCUUAGGUCCAAAGCGGACAAUAUCUACAUGAUUGGGUGUAAGUCAUUACAAAUGGUAUCAGAGCCGAUCCCCGACCCCGGUGUGGGGGUUUGUUUGGCCCUGUAAGGGGUGUUUGUCUGUUUGACCCCACAAUCCCAUGGGACACAACGAGGACGUUGUGUCUGCAUGGGGGGGCGUUUGUGAUGUCCCACAUCGGAUAGGGGAGAAAGUUCCUAGUGCUAUAUAUGUAGAUGUUUCUCUUAACCAAGUAGAUGCAUUUUAAAAUUGUGAGGGCCUCUUUGGGCCCAAAGCGGACAAUAUCUACAUGGUUGAGUGUAAGUCAUUACAUGCUCCAUGUCAAUUUCAGCAUUUCUCAUAUGUUUCACACAUACACAGAAGAGCAUCGUUUUUUAAAGCAUGCAUUUAUGUUGGAUUAAUUUGGAUUUUGUGGGAACUGGGGCAAGGAUCACAUGGAAGAGAGGUUGACUUUUUUCAGUACUUCAAUGGUUGAAAUAUGUGAAGGCUUGAUUGAUACUAAAGCUUGAAAUUGCGACUCUGUCAUUUGUAAAAAAAUAUGACAGCUUCCAUGCUCUCGUUUGGUUGCAUUGUCCGGUCGAGAGGUGCAAAAAGCAUUCUCUCUCUUCUAAUAGUCUUUUCGUUUAAAUCAAGGGAUUUGCCUUCCCGGUCGAGGUCCAAUAGAGGGUAACGGUCACCUACUAAACAUUAAAUGCUCCAACAACUAGUGAACUGAUCGACCCCAGCUCGACUAGUUGAGGUUACUUUUUGGUUUUCUUGUCUCCCGAGGUUAGAAACCUAUAAAUAGAGAGCUUCACUUCAUUUAUGAGUAAGAGAACACCUAAAUUUAUUUGUUUACCUACUUGUUUUUGCCAUAAAAGCUCUCAUUUCUUUUCUUGGUGUAUUAAAUCUCCAUUUGCAUAUCCUUUAGUGCACCUUUGUGAUUCAUUCUAGCCUUGAGUUGUAUUUAAGCCUUUGUUGAGCUAGGUUGAGAGUUUCAUACUUGUUUAUUGAGUGUUAAAGCCUUCAAGUGAGUUAAAACUUGAAGAGAUUGUGUAAGAGCCCAUUGGAGUCGGAAUCCAAGUGUAAAGGUGAUUAAAAGCUUGGUUGAAGCUUCAAGUUAGUGGAACUCUCACUCGGUUAUGAGCUUGAGAAGAGUGGACAUAGACAAGGCAGUGUCGAACCACUAUAAAAUCUGAGUUUGAUUUCUCUAACCUUAUCUCUUUAUAUUUGCUUCUCUUGUGCUUAAAUUUUUUGUGUUUAAAAAGAAUUUUUAAAAACUCAAUUCACCCCCUUCUUGGGAGUUUUUCUCUUUUAAGAUCAGCUUUUAUUUUCUCAAUUGGUAUCAGAACUAUGCCUCUUGUUUAAGACUUAAUCGUCUAAGAGGAAAUGGCUAAUCCAUCAAGUUCAUCUCACAUUGAAAGUUUUGCAACCAAUAGACUUCUUUUUUUUUUUUUGCGGGAACUGAUUAUCCCUAUUGGAAAACUAAAAUGACUUGGUUUUUACAAUCAAUUGAUUUAGAUGUAUGAGAUGCCAUUGAAGAUGACCUAACUUUUCCUUCAAAACUAGUUGAUGGAGUCAUGGUUCCAAAACCUAAGCAAGAAUGGGAUGAGCGUGAUUGAAGAAAUUUUCAAUUAAAUGCUAAAGUCGUUUAUACUUUGCAAUGCUCUAUGGACAGAAAUGAAUAUAAUAGAAUAUGUCAAUGCAAAUCGGUUAAAGAAAUUUGGAGAUUGCUUGAAAUAACUCAUAAAGGAACAAAUCAAGUUAAAGAGUCAAAAAUCAAUUUACUUGUUCAUAGAUAUGAAUUGUUUUUUAUGAAAGAUAAUGAAACUAUUGUUAAGAUGAUCACUAGGUUCACCAACAUUGUUAAUGGUCUUAAAGCCUUGGGAAAGACCUACAAGGAAUCCGAAAACGUGAUGAAGAUCUUGAGGUCACUUCCAUCAAAGUGGCAUACCAAGGUCACCGCAAUUUAAGAAGCAAAAGACUUGAUCAAGCUACCUUUGGAGGAGUUCAUAGGGUCAUUGAUGACAUAUGAAAUCAAUUUGGCAAAGAAGUAACAAAAAGGUGAAGACAAAAAGAAGAAGAACAUAACUCUCAAAGCUACAACUAAGGAAGAAGAAGUUGAAGAAGAAAAACAAAUUGAAGAAGAUGAAGAUUUAGCCCUCAUCACAAGAAAGUUCAACAAAUUCAUGAGGGGUGAAAGGUUUAGAAGAAGAAGGUUCACUUCUAGAAGAGACUUUUCUAAAAAGGAAUCUUCAUCUAAUGGUGACAAAAAGAGAUGGGAAGAGAAAAGAGACUUGGUGUGUUUCAAGUGCAAGAAACCGGGACACAUUAAAUAUGAUUGUCCUCUCUACAAAAGUGAAGUCAAGAGGAAAAAGAAUAAGGCAAUGAUGGCCACUUAGAGUGAAAGUGAAGAUGAAUCAUCCGAAGAAGAAAAUGAGAAAGAAGUGGCAAACAUGUGUUUCAUGGCAAUAGAUGAACUUGAUGAGGUAAAAUCUAACCUUAGUGAUUAAGAUAUACAUGAUGCAUUUGAAGAAUUGUAUGAGGAUUUUUAAAAACUUAGUUUGAAAAAUAUUUCUCUUAAAAAGAAAGUUCAACAACUUGACAAAGAACUUAGAGAAGUAAAAGAAAAAUUUUCAAAUGUUAAAGUUUCUAAAACUCAUCUUGAAAAAGAAAAUGAGAUUCUAAGAAAGAAAAAUGAAUAGUUGAACUCCUCUCUUUCAAUCUUUUCUUCUAGACAAAAAUCUUUUGAAAUGAUUCUAACUAGCUAAAAAUGUGUUUUUGACAAACAAGGGUUAAGAUUUAAAUCUUCAAAAAAUCAAAAGUAUUUUAAAAACUAUUUUGUAAAGGAAUCCACAAGUGCAAGUCCUUCCACUACUUGCAACUUUUGUGGAAGAGAAUGGCACAUUAGUAGUACGCCCUUUAAGAAAUGGUUCUCAAAAGAAUUUAAAUGCAAAAACUAAAAAAGAUUUGGAUUGAGAAAUCCAAGGUCACUAACCCUCAAGGACCCAAAAAGAUAUAGGUACCUAAAUCAACUUGAGUUUUAUGUUGUAAGGUUCAAAGAAUGAUAAGUGGUUCUUAGAUAAUGGUUGCUCAAGACACAUGACCGGAGAUGAAUCCAAGUUUGCUUUUCUUAAAAAGAAAAAUGGAGGAUAUGUUACCUUUGGAGACAAUGCAAAAGAAAGGAUGAUUGGUCAAGGCAACAUUGGUAAUGGCACAUCCUCUCUCAUUGAAAGUGUUUUAUUAGUAGAUGGUUUCAAACAUAACCUUUUAAGCAUUAGUCAAUUUUGCGACAAAGGUUUUUAAGUGAUUUUUUAAGCAUCUCAUUGCAUCAUCAAGGAUAUUCAAAAUGAUAAAACCAUUUUCAUGGGCCAUAGAUGUGAUAAUGUUUAUGCUAUAAAUAUUUCAAAAUAUGAUGGCCAUGAUAGAUGUUUUUCAAGCAUGCAUGAUCAAAGUUGGUUGUGCCAUAGGAGAUUGAGACAUGCUAACAUAGACCUCAUUUCCCAACUCAACAAAGAUGAACUUGUUAGAGGCCUUCCCAAAAUAAUUUUUUAAAAAGAUAAAGUUUGUGAAGCUUGUCAAGUGGGAAAGUAAAUCAAAAACUCUUUUAAAAACAAAAACUUCAUUUCCACAUCUAGGCCACUUGAGUUGUUGCAUAUGGAUUUAUUUGGUCCCUCUAGGACACCAAGUCUUAGAGGAAAUUCUUAUGCAUAUGCUAUUGUGGACGACUUCUCUAGAUACACAUGAGUCUUGUUUUUUAGUCAAAAGAAUAAAGUUUUUUAUGAGUUUUCAAAGUUUUGCAAUAAGAUUCAAAAUGAAAAAGGUUUUUCAAUUACUUAUAUAAGAAGUGAUCAUGGGAGAGAAUUCGAAAAUAUUGAUUUUGAAGAGUAUUGCAAUGAGCAUGGAAUUGACCACAAUUUUUUGGCUCUUAGAACUCCUCAACAAAAUGGGGUAGUUGAAAGGAAAAAUAGAACUCUUCAAAAAAUGACAAGAACCAUACUAAAUGAAAACAACUUACCAAAAUAUUUUUAGGCCAAAACGGUUAACACUUCUUGUUAUGUUUUAAAUAGAGUAUUAUUGAGGCUCAUACUUAAGAAAACUCCCUAUGAGCUUUGGAAAAACAAAAAACCCAACAUUAGUUAUUCCAAAGUCUUUGGAUGCAAUAUUUUAUAAUAAACACCAAAGACAAUCUUGGAAAAUUUGAUGCAAAAUUGGAUGUUGGAAUUUUCCUUGGUUACUCAACUUCAAGUAAAGCUUUUCGAGUUUUAACAAAAGAACCAUGGUUGUAGAGGAGUCCAUCCAUGUUAUUUUUUAUGAAUCUCCAAGAAAGAGAGAGGAUUGAUGAUGAUUUAGGUUUGAAGACCUCUAUAGGAAGAUUGCAAAUCGAAGAUAGAAGACAACAAGAAGAAAAUGGAGAGAAUCCAAAGAAAGAAGGAUCACCAUUGGCACUACCCCCUCAUCAACAAGCGCAAGGUGAAUCAAGUCAAGAGCUUCCUAAAGAAUGGAAGUUUGUCAUCAAUCACCCACAAGAUCAAAUUAUAGGCAAUCCAUCUAGUGGGGUAAGAACUAGAUCCUCUCUUAGAAAUAUUUGCAAUAAUCUAGCUUUUAUCUCUCAAAUUGAGCCUAAAAAUAUAAAUGAUGUUUUAGAUGAUGAAAAUUGGAUAAUUGCAAUGCAAGAAGAGUUAAAUCCAUUUGAAAGAAGUGGAGUAUGGGAAUUAGUACCAAGACCUUCAAAUCAAAGUGUUAUUGGAACUAGAUGGAUCUUUAGAAAUAAAAUGGAUGAAAAUAGCAUAAUUGUUAGAAAUAAAGCAAGAUUGGUAGCCCAAGGUUUUAAUCAAGAAGAAAUGAUAGAUUAUGAAGAAACCUUUGCCCCCGUAGCUAGGUUGGAAGCCAUUAGGAUGCUACUUGCCUUUGCAUGUUUUAAAGACUUUGUUUUAUAUCAAAUGGAUGUGAAAAGUGCUUUUUUAAAUGGUUUUAUAAAUGAAGAAGUAUAUGUUGAACAACCACCCGGUUUUCAAAGUUUCAACUUUCCUAACCAUGUUUUUAAACUUAAAAAGACACUUUAUGGUUUGAAACAAGCACCUAGAUCAUGGUAUGAAAAAUUGAGUAAAUUUCUUUUGAAAAAAAUGUUUUAAAAUGGGAAAAAUUGACACAACUCUUUUUAUAAAAACCAAAGAAAAUGAUAUGCUCUUAGUUCAAAUAUAUAUUGAUGAUAUCAUUUUUGGUGCUACUAAUGUCUCUCUUUAUGAAGAAUUUUCUAAGUGCAUGCAUAGUGAGUUUGAAAUGAGCAUGAUAGGAGAACUCAACUUCUUCCUUGGACUUCAAAUCAAGCAACUAAAGGAAUGAACCUUCAUCAAUCAAGCAAAGUAUAUAAGAGAUCUUCUCAAAAGGUUCAACAUGGAAGAAGCCAAAACAAUGAAGACUCUAAUGAGCUCAUCCAUUAAGCUUGAUAAGGAUGAGAAAGGUAAAUCCAUUGACUCUAUUAUGUAUAGAGGCAUGAUAGGUUCUUUGCUCUAUUUGACCACUAGUAGACCUUACAUUAUGUAUAGUGUGUGUUUGUGUACUAGAUUUCAAUCUUGUCUUAAAAAAUCUCACUUAAGUGUCGUGAAAAGAAUCCUCAAAUAUUUGAAAGGGACAAUGGACAUAGGCUUAUGGUAUCCUAAGAGUGAUAACUUUGAAUUAAUUGGUUUUUUGGAUGCUGAUUUUGUCAGUUGUAGGGUUGAAAAAUAAAACACUAGUGGCACUUUUCAUUUCUUAAGACACUUACUUGUCUCAUGGCAUAAUAAGAAGCAAAAUUUGGUAGCUUUGUCAACAGCAGAAGCUAAAUACAUAGCAACUGGUUUAUGUUGUGCACAAAUCCUUUGGAUGAAAUAAACACUUAGUGAUUUUGAUUUAUCUUUUGAGCAUAUUCCUAUUAAAUGUGAUAAUAGUAGUGCCAUAAGUAUAUCAAAAAAUCUCGUGCAACACUCUAGGACUAAGCAUAUAGAGAUUAGACAUAAUUUUCUUAGAUAUCAUACACAAAAGGAUGAUAUAACACUUGAAUUUGUAAGCAUAAAAGACCAACUUGCCGAUAUCUUUACAAAACCUCUAAGAACAUUUUGUUGAUAUUAGAGGACAAUUAGGAGUGAUUUCUUUAUGAUCUAAUGUGAUGAAUUCUUGAUGAAUAUACUUUUUGAUUGCAUGAAUUUCAUGUCAUAUAUGCAUCAUAUAGAAAUAUACUUAGAUAAUGGUCAAAUUUCGACCAAAAAUCAAAAUUCCCAUGGCAUUAGGCAUAAAAAUUUUGGAAUUUCAACUGAAAAUGGUAGGAGGAGGAUCACAAAAUGAGAAAGUAUGCAAAAAUUGAAAAAUCAAAACGUUGACCAAGCGGUCAAUCGGACUAGACCGAUCGACUAGUUUGUCGAGAUUUAGGAUUUUUAAGAGACUCCAACGCUUCAAUUUUUGCACCGUUCUCCUCUAUUUCUUCACGGUUUCUCUGAUUUUGUCUUUUAGAGACUAAUUUGAGUGCGUUUUGGAUCAAUUGAAGCAUUUUGGAUUGGAUUUUAGGAAGAUUGAAAGUUAAGGUUUCGGAUUUGGGUCGCCUUCUCUUCCUCUCGCGUGUCACAAUCAGCUUUAGCAUUGUUCUCUUUCCAUUUUCACACACCUAGGGUUUCAGUUGUGAGCAUCUCUCUCUCUUUACCAACCACUACUCCCUUGCUUCUUCCAUAUGGCUCCUAGGCGAGAGUCCGCUACUUCUAGGGCACAAGGCAAGCACCCAACUGAGUCGUCUCAGUCAAAGGCACGUCGAAAAGUGAGAUUUGACAUUGCCUUGUUCAGUUCCAUGGAGGACUACCAACUAUACAAGCAACACUUUGCUUAGAGACGAGUAGUUCCCAAGAGAAAUAUUAAUUUUCCUCAACUUCAGCAUUUCGAAUUUAAGGGUCUAUUUACUAGGAUGGUUGGUUGUCUAUUGUCACAAUUUCGGAGCCGGUUUUCCUGACCUUAGUGCGAGUUUUUUACUCGAGGGCGACUUAUGGCAUGGGUGGCAUGAUCAUUUCUACUGUUGGAGGAGUUGAGAUCUGUCUGGACCCAGAGAGCAUCUGCCAUAUUUUCGAUAUUGCUCUGGUUGGACUCAAAGUAUACAAGUCCAAAAUGUGGCCCAUUGUGCCAGGAUUUGAGCUUAGAGAGGUCAUUCAGAGGAUUUGUGAACUUCCAGACGCCCAGGAGAUGGGCAAACCAUUGCCACACAGUUUGACGGUCAUCAACAGGGUGCUACACCAUAUAUUGUGCUCUAUCUUUCUACCACGAAGUGGACAUUGAGAUGAGGUCUCUUAUUAUGAGGCAUUCCUUAUUGACUCCAUUCUAACGGAGAGACGAAUUCAUCUACUAUGUCAUCAUUCACUAAGCCUCCUCACAGUGACAUACCACCUCAUCAGGCACCUCUUGCUCCUGACCAUGCUCCAUUGAUGGAUUUAUUUACUCAUAUUAGCUCUCUAGGCACUCGCAUGAAGGAGUUUGUUGUAGUUAGUGAUACAUGGUUCUACUCCAUAGAGGAUCGCAUGGAUCAGUAUCAGACUGGCUUCACGUCACAGUUUGAGUAUCUCCAAUAGAGGAUUGAGCAUAUUGAGGAUCACUUGAGCAUGAGAAGAUGAUGGCUUUUCUAUGCUCUGUGUUUCCACCUCCACCUCGUCAACCUUGAUUUCUUAGAGACCCAUUGUUUUCAUUUUGUAAUGUUGCCAAAAGGGGGAGAUAUUUAGGAUCUAGGACUCUAUAGGAGACUUACAUGCAUAUCAUUUUCAUAUCAUUGUUUGGAUCGUACAUAUUGGAUAGUGAUACUUUUUACUUAUAUAUGAUAUGCCUAUAUGUUUCAUGUCUUACAUUGUUUCUUAUUGCAAAUUAUCUCUAACAUGUCUUGAUUAUCUUUUUUUUAACUUCAUAAAUUUUGAUUGUUAACCCAUGAUUGGUUUGAGGGGAAGAUUCUUCUUCUCCUAGAUAACCAAGGUUUGUCAUCAUAAAAAAAUUGGAGAUUGUUAGCCCAAGGGUUCUCCUAAUCAUGUUUUGAUGAUAACAAACCAUGCUUAAGUUACUAAUUGGUUUGAAUUAUAAAGAAUUUCAAGUGUUAAUUUGAAAAUUCAUCAAAGAACCUAAUGGAUGCAAGAUCAAGAUUUUUGGAAGACCUUUAAUCAUAAGAAACAUAUGUAAGAUGAAUGCAUGGGUGCACUUAAGAUUUGCAUAUCAUUUCAUGCAUAUUUGGAAAACACGGUUUAUGCUUUAAAGUUACAUUUCCAUCAAAAUUUGAGAUCCAUCAAAUGAACCUUAGGAAAAAUGUUUUAAAAUUGGCAUAUAAUUUUACCUAAAGACCUUGCCUAAGUGUUAGAAGCAAAAGGACAAAAAAAAUAUAGGUUUUCUGGUCAAAAAUGGUGAACCAGUCAAGGCAUUGUCUAAAUCAGCUCAAUCGGCCAAGGUACCGGUCGAUCGGUUUCCCUUUCCCUGUCGAGAUCUAGUCAAGAGGUACAAAAAUCACAAUCUCUGUCUCUUUCUCUCUUUGUCUAUCUUCCAGUAGUCUUUCCUUCCCGGUCGAGGGAUUUGCCUUCCCGAUUGAGGUCCGAUUGAGAGUAAUAGUCACUUGCCAAAUAUUAAAUGCUCCAACAGUUAGUGAACUGGUCGACCCCCACCUUGCCCAGUUGAGGUUACUUUUUGGUUUUCUUGGCUCCCGAUGUUAGAAACCUAUAAAUAGAGAGUUCCACUUCAUUUAUGAGCAAGAGAACACUUGCAUUUAUUUGUUUACCUACUUGUUCUUGCCUUAAAAGCUCUCAUUUCUUUUCUUGGUGCAUUAAAUCUCCAUUUUGAUAUCCUUUAGUGCACCUUUGUGAUUCAUCUUAGCCUUGAGUUGUAUUUGAGCCCUUUUUUUAGCUAGGUUGAGAGUUUCAUACUUGUUAAUUGAGUGUUAAAGCCUUCAAGUGAGUUGAAACUUGUAGAGAUUAUGUGAGAGUCGAUUGGAGCCGAAAUCCAAGUGUAAAGGUGAUUAGAAGCUUGGUUGAAGCUUCAAGUUAGUGGAAUCCUCACUCAAUUAGGAGCUUGAGGAGAGUGGACGUAGCCAAGGAAGUGUCGAACCACUAUAAAAUUUGAGUUUGAUUUCUCUAACAUUGUCUCUUUAUAUUUGUUUAUCUUGUGCUUAAAUUUAUUGUGUUUAAAAAGAAUUUUUAAAUACCCAAUUCACCCCCCUCUUGGGUGUUUUUCUCUUUUAAAAUUAGCCUUUAUUUUCUCACAAACUAUUGUAGUAUAGUGGUUUUUAGGUGUCAUCCAUUAGGAUGAAUUGUUCUCGGUAAUUAAGGCGUGAAUGAGAGGAGAAUUAAUGAUUGUGAUUAAGUAAAAUUGAUUUGAAAAUUCAUGGUGAAAAAUCAAUUUAACAAUGGUUUCUAAUUGAGAAAAACAAUGAAAUGUGAAAUAAAAUAAAAUUAAUAGGAAAUGAAAUUCUCGAAGUUAGAAUUUUCUAAAAAACAAAUUCCAUGGUGAAUGGAUGUUGAGAUCUAAUUUUCAUCAAGUUAGAUUGAAAACCGAAAUUUUCAUAUAAACUGAUUUUUUAUUUAGUUUUAGGUCUAGAUUUAAUUUCCCUUAAAAUUAGGUUAUUUAAUCCAAGAAAUCAAUUCAAAUCAUAUAUUCAAUUCAUCUUAAAUUAUCUUCCAAUUAUUCACACAAUGCAACUAUUCAAUCUCAUCAAAUCUAGCUUUUAAGAAUUUAAUGAAUCUACCUAGUUUGCAUUGUAAUAGUCAUCCAUGACAAUUUGAAGAGAAAAAUAAUUCAAUUAAUCAAUCACUUGGAUCAAAUUACCUUUGCAAUUAAAGUUCAUUUCUCUAAUUCACCACAGAUUUUGUCUCUAGAUCCUCCUUUCUCAAAGAAAAAUGAGAUUUAGCCACACAUGAUUGGAGAUUUGGUCUCAUAAGGCAUGUUUAGCUAGUGAUAAAAUGAGAGAAAAUAAAGAAAAAUAGAGAAUUCGAUUAAGAAAGAAAAUCUAAAAAAUUCUACAAUUAGAAAUGUCCAAAAAGCUUUUUCAUGAGAAAAUCAAGUUUCUAUUUAUAGGCCAAGGUCAAGUGGACACUUGACAUCAUCUAAGAGGUCUUCCGGAAGCUUCUUCAUCAAGAAAUCUGGAGUUUAAUAAUAAAAUGGUCAUUUCACAAGAGCUCAAACAAUUUCGCAUGAUUAUGUGAAAUAAAAAAUGCAACAACAGCAAUUUACAUCUUCUUGGAGCAUUUCGCAUGACUGUGUGAAAUUUUCACAUGAUCAUGUGGAAUCGACUUGACAACUCUCAUUUAGCCUACAACAUAAUUCCACCUUUUGGUCCAUUUUUCAUAGUCAUGCGAAAUGGAAAUAUUUGAUUUUUAAGUUUUCUUUUGUCAUUUCUUUCAUUUCCUUCUCUUGAUUCCACUUCAACUACCUCCGAAUCCUGGUCCAAACCAAUUGCAUUACUUCUUUCAUUAUGCAUUUGGAUCAUCAUCAACAUUAUUUGUUCUCUUCAAUUUGAUUCAUCUCUUUUGUCACCAAUUUAUCAAAAUCAUACCUUGAAAUGACUCCAAAACUUCAUAAAACUUGUUAGUAACUCUUGCAAGGGCAACAACAUAUUAAUUAAGUGUUUUAGGCAUAGUUACUACUCAAAAGAUGCGAAACUCAUGAUAAUUAUUAUAUAAAAUAUGCUCUUUUUGAGUAGUAAUCAACUUUCUUGCAUAAGCAGACCUUUUAGGGUGGAGUACUAAAGACCAAUAUGCUUGUCCUUGUUGUAAUAAAGAAACUUGCUCUUAUUGAUUGCACCAUGGGAGAAAAUUUUGCUACAUGAGUUAUCAUCAAUUUCUUCCCACCAAUCAUAGAUUUAGACGUGACAAGAGGCCUCUUAAUGGCAAGGAGGAACUGACACUCACACUUAUACAAUUAUCGGGCAUUGAUGUGUUGCAACAAUUAGAAUAACUUACACCAAUUAUGUUGGGGAAGUCACAAAAGGCAAACAUGAAAACUAAAAGGAAAAAAGAAAAAUGUUACAUAUCACCACAACUGGAAAGAAAAAAGUAUUUACUUUCAUUUGCCAUAUUGGAAAGCACUUAUUUUACAUCAUAAUAAUUUAGACAUAAUGCAUAUUGAGAAAAAUGUGUGACAAUAUAAUUGAGACAUUGUUCAGUAUUGACGAAGAAACAAGGACAACCUAAAUAGUCAUCUCGAUUUACAAGCUCUAACUAUUAGAAAUGAGAUUCACCCAAUAGAAAGCAGGACCAAAUUUAUUUUGCUUGCAACAUGCUACUCACUCACCCCAAAUGAGAUUAAGGAAUUUUGCAAGUUUUUGAAAUCAAUAAAGGUCCCCAAUGGCUAUUCUUUCAAUAUCUCUCGUUAUGUGCAACUCAAUGAAAGGAAGAUAUAUGAGCUCAAAUUGUAUGAUUGUCAUGUCCUAAUGCAACAACUUCUCUCACUUGUAGUUCGUGGAGUUCUACAUAAGAAUGUUUGUGGAGUUAUCAUAGAAUUGCGUAAUUUUUUCAAGCAAUUGUGCUCAAAGGUGUUAGAAACAAAUCACUUACACCAACUUGAGAACAAUAUUAUUGUCAUACUAUGUAAAAUGGAGCAAAUAUUUCUUCCAUCAUUCUUUGAUAUUAUGGUGCAUUUACUUGUGCAUCUAGUAAGGCAAAGGUUGCAAGACUUGUGCAAUAUUGUUGGAUGUACCUAAUUGAACGAUAUUGUUAUAAUUUCAUAUGAAUCAUUUAAUUUUAUUUUAUAUUAUGUUCAGUUCAUUAACAUGUACAUUGGUCUACAUAUGGAUGAUGAUAGGUACCUAAGCACUUUAAAGUCAUAUGUGCGUAAUAGAACUUUUCUAGAAGGUUCUAUUGUAGAAAGGUACCUUGCAAAAGAAUGUACAACAUUUUAUUCUAGGUACUUGAAUGAUGUGGAAAUAAAGUAUAAUCACAAUGAUAGAAACUUUGUUGGUUUCAACACUAGAGGAGAUGAAAGGGGUUAUCUUUAAACAUAUUGGACAUGCAUUGGGAAAGCCCAUAUUUCAUUAACUUAGUUCAAAAGAGUGGUCACAAGCACAUUUAUAUGUGUUGACAAAUUGCGAAGAUGUCAUACCAUUCAUUGAGUAAAAAAUUUAUUUGAAUUUUAAUUAAAGCUCUAGUUUAUAUCCUUAAUCAAUGUUUUUUAAAUUCACAAGGAGCACAAGCAAACCAUCAAGGCUAGACCACAUAUACGUGUUUGAGACGUAGAUUUAAUUCAUAACAAGGAAUUUAUCAAGUGGUUUGAAAGACAUGUAAGUAUAUUCCUUAUUAUAAGGGAUUUAUUUCACAUUAUGUUUAUAUUGAAUCCAAACCUAUUAUUGAAUUGUAGGUUGAACAAUUACAUAAUGAAGGUCAUAUAUCUGAACACCUUCUCACAUUAUCAUGUGUUCCAAAUUCAUUAGUUACAUGCUUCAAAUGAUAUAUUGUCAAUGGAUUUAGAUCCCACAUUAAAGAACGUGAUAAAAAAGUUUUUAAAAAAAGACUCAGAAUAAUGGAAUUGUUGUAGUUGCAAAAACGUCAAGCUUUACAAGUGCAUGUGAUAUGAGUCCAAUUAUUAGUGAUGCUCUCUACUAUGGUGUUCUAACUAAAGUUGUUGAGUUACAUUAUCUUGGUGAAAAUAAGGUUGUUUUAUUCGAGUUUGAUUGGUGGGAUGUUACAAAUAUUGGAAAAUUGAUAAAAGAUGAUGAGUACAAUUACACAUUUGUUAACUUUGCAUGAAUUCUAACCACGAACGAACGAUUUGUACUUGCAUCUCCAGCAAAGUAAGUGUUCUAUGUGAAGAAUGCGAAUGAAUCAGAUUGGCAUACUAUCAUGGAGAUGCAACCUCAAGACCUCUAUAAGAUGAACGGGAUAGGAUCCAAUGGUGAUUUUGAACCAUUUCAACAAAGUGAACUACAUGAUCACUAAUAUAUCUCAGAUUUAGUUGAUGAAGAUAUAAUCAAGUGGAACAAAAGUGAUGUUUUAGGACUAAUCAUCCUAAAAAAUAUUGUAGUUUCUUAAAAAAAAAAUGAAAAUGAAGAAGAUAAUUGAACCUUUGUCAUACUUUAAAAAGCAACUAUGCAUUGUUCAUUUUGUAUGUUUUGGUUUUCUUCAUUUAAUUUCCUGAUUUUUGUGAUUCAAUGUCAUAUUAUUGAUCUUGAAAUAUUUUUCUAAUUUUUCAUUCUACGAUGGUUUCAACAAGGAUGACAUCAAGUCAAAAAAGGAAAUGUGGUCCCACACACAAUAUUGCAUUACAGGGAUUAAGGUCAGGGAAGAAGGUAAAAGUUGCAUUUAAUGAGUACAAUCAAUUGGUUAAACAGAAAAAUGGAAAACACUUAUCGAGCUACAUAGGGACACUUGUAUCUAACCAACACAAUGUACCUCUCCAAGCUAGUGAUUGGAAAAAUGUUCCAAAUGAUGCAAAAGAGAAAGUAUGGCCUUUGUUUUGGUAUGUUGUAUUUCUCACUAUAUGAUGUCAUUUCACUGUUAUUCUAUUUUGUGACUAACGUUUGAAUCAUAUGUAAGAAAAAUUUGAAGUAGAUAAAGACUGAAAAGAUUACAUGUUGGGUAUAGCCUCAAAUAAAUAUAGAAGCUAUAAAAAUAUGAUGAAUGCAAAAUACUAUGACCCUUGGCAUAAGGAUGCAUGAGGAGAGGUUAAUACAUAAAUCACCAUUUGUCUCUGAUGUUGAUUGGAAGUGGCUUGUCUCUGAUGCAUAAACCAAAUCCCCCACUGAAUGUUUGAUAUUUGAUAGCAGGAAAAACACACCCGCAGCUAUACACCUCCAUCAUUCAGAUAAUUAUAGUGGGGGAGAUGAUUCAUGGUUGCCCUUAUACCCUUUAUUUGCACCAUCUAUUGAGAUUCUUUAUCAUGGCCAGGUUUUACUGCAGCAAUAAGAUAUGGUGGCAACAAUUUUAUCUAUAGGUGCGGUUCCAGACCGCCUCCAUAGGUGCGGUUCCUGACUGCCUCCAUAGGUGCCUCUUCUUGUAAUGUUUGUUCUGGGAAUUACACUUGAAAGCCUUAUCGUGAUAAGGGAUUACAAACACUAGUUCAGAGGACAGCCAUGUUAAACUUCCACUAUGUUUGUGUCACAUUAUCAGCAGCCUAGUGUUUAUUGGUCAUGCUAUCUGCAACUAAUAUAACCCGGUGAACUUCAAUCUAAAUUCUGAAAGUACUCAUGUGACAGAUGGUGCCUUUCAGCAGAUAUCAUCAAUUUAAAAGUAGUGUGUGUGCCUAUAGGUGGGAAGGCCUUGGCAAAUGUUCAGUAUUCCGGUAAUUCAAGAAGGAUAUAUCUAAAAUAGAUUUUCUUCUUGCCCAUUUCAAUAGUUAAAAUUUGAGAAGAUUGUGUCCACAUCACACAAAUAUUAUUGGUCCUUCUGUUGCAAUUUACCUCUGAACAUGUCUUCCAAUUCCCACGGUCCUGUUACUCCAGGAAAACUAUUUCGGUCAUAUUGAAAAAAAAAAUAUUAAAGAAGGUACACAUGCUUUUAAGUGGACUGGGGCAUUCAUAUCAGGUGGUCUGUAUCCACAUAUGCCACUUCGUGAAAGGUGGAACAGCCUAAUCACUAGGCUAUUUAGUGUGGCCCAGCCACGUUAAUCAAGCACAAGUCUUCAUACUUAAAGUCAAAUGGUGUCUUUAGUCUCAUUACACAUCGCUAUUUGAAGAUUAACUCAUCACUAGUGUAAUGCGAUUAAGACAGUCCUAACUCAAUAUUUGUUCUAGUUUUGGAUGCAAAUGCUUGCUGGUUUCAUCAUUGGAUGGGAUAAAGGUGCAAUCAGGACUAUGAAUACGUGCAGUAAUACUUCAUUCUCUUUUUUCUCAAUGAGACUUCUUGGCACAAUUUUGCUGCUCAGCAACCUACCUUUCCAUGGAAAAUCAGUUGUGACUGAUAGUAAUGGAUAUAUUCUAGAAAGCUAAACAUAGAUAGCAUUCAAUAUUAUCGAUAUAACAUUAACAGCGUAUGUCUCAAUGCUCAUCAGCUACAAGCAAUGGACAAACACUUUGAGUAACUCACAGCAGUCAAAAUUCCUAAACAGGACAGACGUGACAGAUCUAUAUAUAGAACACUGCAUAUGAGUCACAGGAAAAGAUAAUACGGGUACAUAGAAGCUCUUAUUUUACAUAUUACUCAUACUGAUCAAAGUCGCUCAGUUGGGAUGGAUGGGAGAAGGAGGUUUGAGGGGUGGCUUGUGCGGGGAAGUUGGCAGCUUCUUUCCGGGAGCUGGUUGCUUCUUUGCUGGAGUUGAAGGAGGCUUAAUCUUCCGAGGUGGCUUGUAUGAGUCUUCAGCAUUCUCAGCAGGAGGGUGACCAGGGUUGUGACCAUAAUGUGGUGGCUUCUCUCCCUUAGGUGGUUUGCCAACUGGGGUUGGUGGCUUGUUUUCUGGGAGUGGCUUCUCUCCCUUGGGUGGUUUGCCAACUGGGGUUGGUGGCUUGUGUUCUGGGAGUGGCUUCUCCCCCUUGGGAGGUUUUUCGAAUGGGGUGGGUUUGUGUCCUGGUGGUGGCUUCUCUCCCUUGGGAGGUUUACCAAUUGGGGUCGGUGGCUUGUGUUCUGGGAGGGGCUUCUCUCCCUGGGGAGGUUUAGUGGGUGGCUUGUGUUCUGGAGGUGGCUUCUCCACCGGAGGCUUAUGCUCUGGUGGUGGCUUCUCGAAGGGGGGAUGCUCAGGGUAAUCACCAAGUGAGGGGGUGGUGAGAACCACCAUGCCAAGCAACAACACUAGCAAGUAUGUAGUAGACAUCUUUGGGUUUGGACUCAGACAGUGCAAAACUACGAGAAAUCGCUAGCCCUUUAUAGCGGCUCGGACCUAAUACUGACAUAAUAUAAAAUAAAUAUUAUAUUUUAUCAAGAGAGAACAGAGUGUAAUUUUAUCAUUAAUACCGAUCGAGGCCAAAGAAAGAAGACCCAUAAUCCAUUUCCCACAAGCAUACACAAUGCAGCUGUAAUUUUAUCAUUUACUUUUAUCCCUUGGACCACUGCAUUUUUGUUGAGAGACACAAUAACACAUUUUUAUCUGUCAUUCAACAUUUACAGUAAAGAGAGGGCACAAAACGCAAUUAGAUAAAUUAUGUUUUGCCUGCUAAAAAGAGGCAAAUAACUUUAUUUGCAACAUAAUUAUUUUGGUUUCUAGUGACCCCGGGGCCUUUCGGUUGGUUUGGGAUCGGAAAAUGAACAUCAUAGGGGGGGUUGUGCCCUUAUGGGCAUAUAUAUCUGAUAGCUUCAACUGGCCUUGUUCCUAGAAAGAAAUUGCCAAAGAUAUAAACUUAUUCCAGGCUGAAAGUAGAUGAGAGUCAUAAUGAACAUCAACCUUUGUUCAGUUUGAUUCAAUGCCCCCAUAGUGUUCAUUUCACAGAUCUGAAUGAUUAUAUCCGUUGAAUACAUAAAUUAAUGAAGACAAAUAUGAAACCCAAGAUACAUCUCUGCAUAACAACCCCAACCCUGGUUGCUAUGUUUCCCUUCUUCUAUUCACAUGAGGAUACUGGUUAUAAUUGUCAAACUUGCAACAAGCCCUUUGACACCUAACGUCAAUGGACGAAUUAAAAGUCUCCUUCAAACGUCUAUUUCACAGCAUGAAGCUUAUAAAGGAUGCUGACAACCUUCAGAGUUAGCGACAAAAGAUAAUUAUCAAGGAGAGAUAGUUCCAUGAGAAUUCCAAGGAGUCUGAAUCAAAGACAAAUUGCUCACUCAAGGGUUCUUAUUUUCUUUUAGGUACAAAUCUCUUGAGUGUUGUUAAAGAAACACGUCACUGUCAUUUUGAUUUGCAUUUAACAUUUCACUUUUGUUCUGGAAGGUUUGUUCCGGAAACAUAUCAAAUGAGCAUCAUUUUCUUCUUCGGUGACACAUGGUCGCGAGUACGUGGGUCCAUUUUCAUGCCACUUAGUUGAAAAGUUGGAAAGAAAAAACAUGCCAACAAGAAGAUAGUGAGAGAAGGGGCACUUCAAGCCUUUAACAUGAACAAACAGUAAAUAAAAGAUGUUUCUCCACUCAUAAAAGUGUGUUAGAUAGCAAUAUAACGAAUCACAUCCAAAAUCUUUACUAGGCUCAAACAUAAAGAAGACUCAUUUUUAAGAAAAGAUAAAAAUGGCAUUGUCUGAUAGUAUCCAAUACACGAGAUGGCACUUAAUUUGUACAAGAUCUGUCAAUGCUGACGCACAUUUUCUGAUUAAAAAAAAACUGAUCAGUCAAAAGCAAUGAAGAGAAGUGAUGACAAUGAAUGAUGCUUCCAAUAUUUUCACCCCUUAUAGUGUUCUUCAUGAUUCAGAUAUAUAAUUGGAAAUAGAACAACCCUAUGCCAUACAUUCGUCUAAGUAUGGUGUCUAAUUUUUUGUGUCAGCGGUUGCGAAUGGAGCGUGCAAAAGUCCAAAUUGGCGUCUCUCCAUUUCCACAUAGGAAGGUGACCUUUAUUGACAAAUACCCAAUAUUUGUAGACAUUCCUUAAAUAUCAUAACUUCUUGUUGAUUUGAAAAUCAUUUUUCAACUACCAUGUUUUAAUAAAUAUUUUUUAAAAUGUAUUUUUAUCAAAGUCCACCAUGAUGGAUAAUAUUCACCAUGCAAUAAUUAAUAAAGUACAAACUAAGCGAAAUGAAAAGCAUUUUCUUUGCUUUGAGUUGAUUUUGGUUGCAUUGAGUUGAUUUUGGUUUCAUGGUUUUUUCAACUCUUAUUUUGAUUGGAAGAUGUCAAGAAAAGAAAACAUAAAGAAAAAUUAAAAGGGAAAAAAGAAGAAAAAUAAAAAAAAAUAGAUUUAAAAGUUAAUAAAUUAUUUUUUAUAUUUAUUUUAAUUCAUUUCACUUAUUUUUCUUUUACUAUAUAAAAUUUAAAUAAUUUAAAUUUUAUAAUUAAUUUAAUUACAUUUCAUUUUCUUCUAUAUUUAAAUAUUGGAAAAAUAUUUUACUUAAUAUUUUUUUCUUUAAUUUCUUUGGCAUUUUGGGAACCAAACUUAGCCUUUAAAAUAAAAAACAAAAAAAAAAUGAAAAUAAGGAGGGAAAAGUGAGAAAAGAUAAAAACAAUAUGUAAAGGAUUUGAAAAGUAUUAGUUUGUAAUUACUAUUUGGAUUUCAAUAGUAUUUUAUUUGUCUUUCUAUAUUUCAUGUAAGAGAGAAUUUAAGAUAUUCCCCAAGGCAAAGCAUUAGUUACCUGCAAUCAGUGGUGAUAAGGCUCCAAGCCAAUUUUGGGCCCCAUAUCUUAAGACAGUACAAUUUCCAUUUCAACAUUUCUGAUUUCUCAGAUGUUUCACAUACCACAGAAGAACAUUGUUUGUGAAAAUAUGCAUUUAUGUUGGAUUUUGUAUGCUGUGGGGACUGGGGCAAGGAUCAUAUGGAAGAGUGGUUGACUUUUUCUGUACUUUAACGGUUGAAAUAGGAUAAGCACGGGCAUUUGUGAGGCUUAAUUGAUUUUGAAGCCUGAAAUUGCGUUUCUGUCAUUUUGUCAAAAAAAUGGCAGAUUCCAUACUCAUAUGUUUGGCCUGUGGCCAUGUACAGAUGCCAUUUAGUGACCAGUUUGUAACUGUCAAUCGUUGCGUUUUGACUCUGCCUCAACAACAUCUGCCAUUGACGGGUUUUCAUACUUGCAAAUCAAAUAGUCUUUCGUCCCAUCAGGAAUUUCGGUUUAAAUAUUAUUAAGCAUACGUUUGGCUGACAAUCAUUAUCCAGUUCAUGAUUUGGUUUCUUACCCUUAAUCAAUGGUUUCUAAGUGAAUAUAUGUAGAAGGAAAUCCGAAGUGUAGACAGUAGUAUCGAUAACUCUCAAUAUUCUCUAUAUAAUAGAAUAAACAGCGUCAUAGUGAUCGUCGCCUACAAGCAAGGUACAAAUACCAAAACGAGUGACUCACAUAGACAUCUCCCAACAAGAUGUAGUAGUGACUGACACAUGGACACAAUUAACUCGUAGAAAAGGAUAAGACCAUUGCACAGCAGCUCUUAUUUUACAUACUACUUAUGCUAACCAAAGUCAAUUAGUUGGGAUGGGUGGGAGAUGGAGGUUUGUGCGGUGGCUUGUGGGGCGGAGUUGAUGGCUUCUUUCCAGGAGCUUCUGGCUUUUUCAUCGGAGCUGAAGGAGGCUCAAUCUUAUGAGGCGGCUUGUAUGAGUCUUCUUUACUCUCGACAGGAGGGUGGCCAGGGUUGUGAUCAUAAUGUGGUGGCUUCUCUCCCUUAGGUGGCUUGCCAACUGGGGUUGGUGGCUUGUGUUCAGGAAGUGGUUUCUCUCCCAUGGGAGGUUUAGCAAUUGGGGUUGGUGGCUUGUGUUCUGGGAGUGGCUUCUCUCCCUUGGGAGGUUUAGUAGGUGACUUGUGUUCUGGAGGUGGCUUCUCCACCGGAGGCUUGUGCUCCGGUGGUGGCUUCUUGGUUGGAGGGGGCUUGGGGUAAUCAGCAAGAGAUGGGGUGGUGAGAACCACCAGUCCAAGGAACAACACUAGCAAGUAUGUGGGAGACAUUUUUGAGUUUGGGCUGAUCAGAUGAUGCAAAACUAAAGCAUUACGUGACCUUUUAUAGCAUGUAGCUCCCAAUACCCACUAAGUAUUGUGGGGUCCAUUUGUGCCCUACGGGGUUGAAAACUUAGACAAUUGGGCAAGGACCCACCUGACUAUGGAGGACUAGUGAGGUGUGAUCAUAGCUUUAGGAUUUUUCUUCCUCUGCAGCCGUCGUGCCGUUGGCAUGAUUUUCUUAAUCUUAAAUAAAGGCAUAGUUAUAGAGUUGUUUAAUCUCUAAAUGGGAUUUUAUAUAUAUCUUCAGAUAGCCAUUAAUAUAUUUGAUGAAGAAAGAAAGACAAGUGCAUACAACAUGUAUACGACUAGCUUUCAUGGAGUUCAUUUAUGAUCAGUUUUCCUGUACAUGUAAACCAGGAUCAUAUAUAUGUUUCUGUUCCACAACUAUUUUGGAAUCUUGUUUAUCAGUUUUUAUCAUUAUAAUGUCACAUAGGCUGCCAACUUGGGCGCUAAAAGAACCAGUUGGGCUAGUUCGUUUCAGAAUUUCAAUGUGGAUUCAGGAAUUGUUUUGUAAGAUAUGCGAAAUAGUAGAGGGAUGAAUAGUGUUUCAUUAAUAAAAGUGUCCUGUAAAUUAGAAGGUGUCAUAGAAACUAUAAUCAAUAAAUAACUUUUUUUCCCCACGGGUGGUGUUUCUUGUGGGGAUCAGUGACUGGUUUAGGUUCACCCAAAAUGAGUUCAGACUAAAAUUGGUUUGAGUCAAUGCCGUGUCUCUUUUUUCCAGAAAUCAACUAUUUUAUGCAUUGAAUAAAUCAUACAAAGAAAAUAUGAACGCCCGCAAAACCUAAACCCUGGUUGCUAACUUUCUAUGUUUCAGUUCUAUUCACGCAAGAAUAUUAGUUUAAGUUUGGGAAAAAUGGCAACUUACCUAGUGAUUACUUGGUUUUGGUUUGCGACUAUUUACGCAACCAACCAUGAGUUUGACUUUAACGUCAUGGGUUGAAGCCUCCUACAGGAAGGGAGAAAGCUCCACAGCUAGCUCCAAAAGAGAAUUAUCACAUUGAUAGCUCCAGAGAUUCCCAAGGGGACUGAAUCAAAGACAAGUUCCUCACUUUUUCUUCUUUUGAGGCCAAAUAUGAACCAAGGAUCACACAACCUCAUUCAACUUCAUAAGUUUGAUUUCAUGCAGUUGAACACUGGGUGAAGGCCAUGACAAGAAUUGAUUCAAAAAUUCUAUCACUCUUUUAAGUAAUGGAAGAUUAUUAUCUCUGAUUGGCAUCACAACAGCACAUGCUCCUAGAUCUUUCUAGACACUCCAUGCAAUGAAAGCACAAUGGAUCUUGUAACGAUAGAAACUAAGCCAUGCUACAGUACUAGAUGAUGAGGUAAAACUAGUAGACACGGGUGGCAGCCUAUAUGGGAGGGACACAAGUCUAAUUGAUUUGCAUUUCAGCAUUAUAGAUAGGUAUGUUUUGGAAGAUUUGUUCUGGAAAUACCGCACCAAGUAGGAUUCUUUUUCUCUUUAGUGGGUCCACUUGCAUGCCAAUUAACGAGUUGAAAAGUAUGAGCACCUACCUCGUGCUCGUGGAACCGAAGGUCAGUGAAGUGGGGCUCCUUUUGGCCUCGUGUAAACUUGAUUCAGAAGUGAAGUUAAUAGUCUUCCAUUCAGAUGGAUACAUGGGAAUUUUUCUCUUUUAUUUAUUUAUUUAUUUUUUUUUUGUGUGUGUAUGUCAAAGGAUAAUGAAUGAAGCGCGUUAGCUUGUUUUCUGACUGGAACCGCAGAUGUCCAAAUUGGAGUUCCUUCAUUUCUUACUUAGGAUUGUUACAUGUAUAAACAAGGUAUAAGAAAUAUGCCAACGUGUCUUGAGGAGUUAUUGAUUAGAAAUAACAAGUCACCCGACUGUAGAGUUCCAAGAUUUGAAUCUUCAGACCCUAUAGCAGCCUCUGGGGUACGUGGCAUCCUAUAGCAUAUUAAUGAAGGCUUUUUCGAUUUAGACUUCACAAUACCAAUUAAUAUGUAUGCACAAAAUGGAGAUGACCCCAAAAAAAACAGAAUCGCCAUAGUUUAUGAGGUUAAGGUGAUUCUCCACUUAAUAUCUACAUUAGCUAAUUAUGUAAAUCAAAUGAACUUCUAUUUUUCCUUUUUUUUUUUGGUUUAUGUCAAAUAGUAGCCCAUAAUUAACCCAACCAUUAGCCUGUUUGAAUUGAUUUCACAUGCACAAUGUUGUAGUAGUUCAUAUUUUGAAUUUUAUUUUUACAAAGGUAGUUAAGGAAAAUGAAGUAUAAUAAUUAUAAAAGCAGACUAUAUACACUACAAUAAUUGUUAGAAUGGUAUCUCAAAUUCUAAUUUAAAAUAUUAUUUUUUGUAAAAGAAAUAUUAUAUAGAAUAUUUCCUAAUUUUAUAAAUGAUUAUAAUUAGAUCUUUAUAAAAUAAGGAAAGUUGGUAAGAAUAUCUUUAUAAAUAUUUUAGGUCAUGAGAGAAAGAAAUGGGAUAAAAAUGUGAUGAAGAGGUGAAAUAAGAGAGUUGAUUAGGAUAUAGAUGUGAAGAAGAAAGGGAUUCAAUAUAUAUAUAUCUUUCAAUUACCACAUUAAAACCCUGUGAACCUUUUAUAUGGUUUACUUUAUUUUUAUAUUCCUCCUUUAAUAUAUUUACAUUAAUGCUUCCAUUGGCACAACAAUAACGAAUUACAAAUACAAGCAACAAGUCCCAUGUUUUAUUACCAAAAGCAGGUAAAAUCCACCUAAUAUAUUACAAUAUAUUCAUCCAAUAUUUUAGACCAAUUCUUCACCAUAAAUAUCAUAAUGUGGCUUUUGUUCUUUCUUAAAUUUAAAUUGAAUUGUCUUAUAUCAAUUUGUUUGUGAUUUUUUCAUUAACUUCACUUUCAUUUGGUUAUCUUUGGUUUUUGAAAAGUAUUAAGGAAUUAAUUAACAAAAUAAUGUUAAGAAAAAUAAUUUUCUCUCUUUUGAUUUUGAUUUUGUAGUAGAAAAAUAUAAUUAAAAUUAUUUAAAAAGUAUGUAAUUUUAAAUUAUUUAAUAUUUAGAUAAAAAAAAUAAGUCUAAUGAGUUUAAAAUAACAUAUAAAAAUAAUUUAUUUAUUUUAAAUUUAUUUUUUAUUUUCCAUUAUGUUCUCUUUCUCUUUUACUUUUUCAUAUUUUUUCUUACGAAGAAUCAAACACAACCUCAUAUUAUAUGUCAAGUGUUUGUCUAUAUUUGAGCAAUGUUAGAUACGGCCAUGGAUUCAUCAAACUAAACUGAUUUUAAUAGAUACUUCACAAAUUGAUUUAUACACUAAAUCAUUGGAUAGCAAUGAUGCAUUGGAAUUAAACGUAGGAUGAAGCUCGAAGAACACUGUUUGUGUAACAACAUAUUUAUGAAAUUAUGCAAAGGAUGAGCUUCGGGGUAGUAGUACAAGGUCAUUAAUGGAGAGCCGUGUUAAACCUUGAUUGUGAUUGGAUUCCGUUAUCAGCAACAGCAACCUUGUUUGUAACCUUGAAAGUCAUUCUGUCCACAUCGAAACUCCAAUUUGACGUUUGUAAUUACCAUUCCUGGAGUGUUCCUUGAUUGAAAUUUAAAUAAUAAUUGCGGCCCACAAGGAAUAUUUUCGAUUCUGUGGGAAUUUGACAAGGUUUGUUAGAGAAGACUGGUGACAUGUUGACUUCAAUGGUUCAAAUAGGAGACGUAUGUGGAUUUGGGGGGUUUAAUUGAAACUGAGUCCCUAUGGCUUUUUAAUAUUUGCAUUGAGCAGUCUCCAUGUGACUUCCUAAUUCCCACCAACCCUCCUGUCCAUGCUGUGAAACUAAAUUGUAAUUUAUCAGCCUUUGUCAAUGGUUUCUAAAUUAAAGAUAUAGACCAUGCAUGUACUUUAAUAAAAGCAAAUCUAAAGUGUAGAUAGCAGCAAUGGUGACACCCAAUAUUCUCCAUAAAAUAGAAUUAGAAUAAGCAGUGUUACAUUGUUCAUGAUCACCUACAAGCAUACAAGAACUUCCAUGAAUAACUCAUAGCAAUUGCCAACAGGGCGUCGUAGAGACUCAUACAUAGAACACUAUCCACCCAGAGGAAAGGACAAGACCAGUGCGCUGCAGCUCUUAUUUUUCACAUGUAUACCACCACUCGUAAUAACCAAAUUCACUCAGUUGGGAUAGGUGGGAGAUGGUGGUUUGUGGGGUGGCUUGUGGGGAGGAGUUGGAGGAGGCUUUAUUUUCUGAGGCGGCUUGUAUGAGUGUGCAGGAGGAUGCCCGGGAGUGUGACCAUAAUGUGGUGGCUUCUCUCCCGUAGGUGGUUUGCCAAAUGGGCUUGGUGGCUUCUCUCCCUUAGGAGGUUUACCAAUUGGGGUUGGUGGCUUGUGUUCUGGGAGUGGUUUCUCUCCCUUGGUAGGUUUGCCAAUUGGGGUUGGCGGCUUAUGUUCUGGGAGUGGCUUCUCUCCCUUGGGAGGUUUGCUAAUUGGGGUUGGCGGCUUAUGUUCUGGGGGCGGCUUCUCUCCCUUGGGAGGUUUGCCAAUUGGAGUUGGCGGCUUAUGUUCUGGGAGUGGCUUUUCUCCCUUGGGAGGCUUGCCAAUUGGGGUUGGCGGCUUAUGUUCUGGGGGUGGCUUCUCUCCUUUAGGAGGUUUGCCAAUUGGAGUCGGCGGCUUAUGUUCUGGAAGUGGCUUUUUUCCCUUGGGAGGUUUGCCAAUUGGGGUUGGCGGCUUAUGUUCUGGGGGUGGCUUCUCUCCCUUGGGAGGUUUGCCAAUUGGAGUCGGCGGCUUAUGUUCUGGGAGUGGCUUCUCUCCCUUGGGAGGUUUUGUUGGUGGCUUGUGUUCUGGAGAUGGCUUCUCCCCUGGAGGCUUGUGCUCCGGAGGUGGCUUCUGAAAUGGCGGGGGCUUGGGGUAAUGAGCAAGAGAUGGAGUACUGGUGAGAACCACCAUUCCAAGCAACAAUACUAGCAAGCAUGUGGGAGAC